This 94382-nucleotide long non-coding RNA is filed under the name Marmota monax (woodchuck). The record is from RNAcentral. Lineage: Eukaryota; Metazoa; Chordata; Mammalia; Rodentia; Sciuridae.
UUUAGAUCAUGUCUCUUCAUGAAAGCUUCCCUGGUCACUGGAGGUAAAGGUGUGUUGGCUUUCUCUUCUUGUCUCCUCUUUUGCAGCCCUAGUUACUCACCUGAAGUUUGCACAUGCUGUUCUUAUCCUGCUUGUCUUGACGUGUGUUGUUUUCCUUCUCCACCUAGAUUUUGAAUACAGUUGCAAAGCCUUUUUCUUAUAUUCCCCUGAAUCCUCAAAAUCAUUUAGCAGAGCUUGGUAUUAUAACAAAUAUUUUUUGGUAGAUAGCAAAUGUUAGUGUAGGGUUUGGUACAUAGCAAAUACUUUUUGACAGUUAAAUAAGUAGAAGUAUUAUCAUUUUCAGAGAAAGUUUGAAAAGGUCAUAGUAUCGAUAGUGAUUUCUUCUCCUGUAGUCUAUUCUUAGAAAAUAAAAUACAGUAGAUUAUGUGCAUGAUUUAAUUUCUCAAAUCUCUGUGAGGAUAGUCUAUAAAGAACUUAUUGAAUAAUUUAUGGUGGAUAUCAUUUAUUGCAGCAUAUAAAUUGAAUAAAGGGAGAUUAAGGGGUUUCAAUGUAUUUAUUUUUAAGCUUCUGAAUUAACUUUCUCAUGAUUUAGAGAUGCAUGUUGCAUUUUGAAGAACAUAGUAAUAGCAGGAAUGAGAAGCAUUGAAAAAGGACCAAAAUAUAUACACAAUAGUAUGAGGCCAAUAAUAGCACAACACACACCUGCUACCUUCUGUUAUAGUUUGGAUCUGAAAUGUCCCCCAAAGGCCUAUAUGUUAAAAGCUUUGUCCUCAGCAUGGCACUAUUGGAAGGUGGUAUAAACUUAAAGUGUGUGUGUGGGGUGCUAGUGGGAGAUUUCAGGCUCUAUGCAUGCAUGCUCUUGAAGGGAAUUGUGGGACACCAGUCCCUCUCUCUGUCUCUAUAUCUCUCUGUUUCUCUUUCUCUCUUUCUUAUCUCUCCUCCUCCACCAUGCAUUCUUGCCACAGGGCCGAAAUAAUGGAGCUAACUGGUCAUAAAUUGAGGCCUCCAAAACCAUGAAUCAAAAUAAAUCUUUUCUCUUUUUAAGUCAAUUAUCUAGGGUAUUUUGUUAUAGAAGCAGAUAGUUAACAUAGCUUACAGGCCACAUGGUUAAUGGUAAAAGUAGGACAGAGGAUGCUGACCCUUGGUUCUUUGAUAAGACUUCUUUUCGGACUUCUCUUUCAACACAGACUAAUCUCAAAACUGUCUUCUAGUCAUACUGGUGAGUAUACUGGUGAGUAUUUCUGCCUGUCAAAGCUGUCUUACACAAUUAACUUUGCCCCUGAUCCUUUGGAGACAUUUAAGUGAUGGUAGGGACAGAGAUCUUUCUGUUGCCACUUGUCUAUCAGCUCCUGUUGCUACUUUUAUUAGCUACAACCAGCCCCUUGCUAAUAUGAACAUUAUACAGAAGUAAAACACAUUUAUUGGAUAUGCAUACCAGGAUUUUUUAUCCUUUGACAACUUGGAUAUGAAAACCACUGCACCACCAACAAAAAUCUGUGUUUUCAAGGAGCUCACAGUGAUGAAGUCAGUUGUAUAUACAGGCCUUCAAUUUUUUUCCAUAGAAAUUUUCUCCCCUAUGGGAAGCUUGGUUAUCUUUGCUUAAGGCUUUAGUAUCAGGAGGGUCUAGCUUGACAGCUUGGCUUAUCCAUGUAGUAGCUAGUUAAUUAAUUGGGCCAGUUAAUUAAUCUCUUCAAUCUUUAUUAGCAUCAAUCCUAAAAUAAAGGUAGUGAUGCUUUUAUUCUAGGAUGGUGGUGAGAAUUAAAUGAGAAAAUGUAUUCAAUGCCCCUAGAGUAGGGUGUUAGACACAGUGAGUAAAAAAAACCUUCUCUUUGCAAAGACAAAGUUGAAGAGGAUGAUCUAUUUCCUGGGGCUGACUCAGACCUGUUGGCCCAAGGAUCCACUGUUUCUUUACAAUCCAUGCAGCAUCCUUCCACGGUUAGCCUUCCACCCACUCCACCCAUCCUCUCCCUCUAAAUUGCCAUCCACCCACCAUCAGAGGACAUGACUUUCCCUUUCUCCCACUCCACAUGGUUAUGCAAGAGUGAGGCUUCUGUAUCCCGGGAGCCCUAUACAGGCAAACUUGAGAAGAAGGAGUUAUUUCCAGCACCAAAUGAAGCAACUUGUCUCUCACUUCAUCUGUGAGUCAAGAAAUUUAUUGGUCAUAAGUUUUGAUAUCAUCUUCUUAUUUGGAAUAAACCCGAUAAGUGGUUCACUCUCUCUCUCUUGGCUUUAGCUUUCUUGUUUGUAAAAGAAAUGAUUGUGAAAUGAGAAGGCUGGGUUGCCUGUGAUGACUGGAGCUAUGAUGGUGAGAAGUACUGGAAAAGCAUUUGGCGGAACGAUCAUUGAGAAAUCCAGAGAUCUGGACUCAACCUCUCUAAAAGGGUGAACUCAGACUGGAGAUUUAAGUGUGGGAAGAAGAGGAAAGAAUUUAUGUUGUAAAAUAUCCUGACUUAAAUCCACUUUGCACUGCGAUGUUCCCUUUUUUCCCCUCAUUUGAUCUAAAGAUGAAGAGGAGGAAAAUAAUGACCUGAGAAAGGGAUGGGUGGAAGGAAUAACAGAAUGUCAUGGUGCUUAUAUUGGGGAUGGGUUUGUCAGAGCAACCAUCAGUUCUACCCCAGGACUUUCUUCCUUAGAUGAGCACCAAAAUCCAUUGCUUCUGGAUUUGUCUCCAGGAAGGAAAAUAUUCAAAAGUUAGAAGCUAAACACUGUAAUGAUUCACUACAACGAUUGUGCAAGAGUUUAUCUAAAAUCUCUGGAAUGUAUUUAGGUUUUCAGCCACUACCUUAUUUUUGGGCAAUGGUUUUCAUAAAGUAAAAAUUUUAUAAUUUUCUUGAAGGAAUCCAAAAAAUUGUAGUCUCUGAGAGGUGGCUGGAAUAUGAUUCCUAAGACUCUUCUUUCUCAACCUUUCCUUCUCACACAAAUUUAAUUUACUCGAUGUCAUUAUCUUAGAUUUCAAAAUAUGAAAAGUCUCAUUAUGUUCCUAGCCACUGUCUCCAGGAGAUAGUAUUCCAUUGACUUGCCUGAAGAAAGACAGCACAUUACAUAUAAUCAUGUGUUUCCUUAUUCCGGCCCCUUUUCCCACAACAAGAAACCACAGCGCCAGCGUGCCACUUACGCUGUCAUUCUAUUCACUUAAAAAUAAGUAGGCUUUUUGUCAACACCACUGUGACAGGCUAUAUAUAUAUAUAUAUAUAUAUAUAUAUAUAUAUAUACACACACACACACAUAUGUGUAUAUAUAUAUAUAUAUAUACACACACAUAUAUUUUAUAUAUGUAUAUAUGUUUUUUUUACCUGUGAAAACCAGAGAAAAUAUUUCUUAGUAUUAAAAAUAAGCUAGUCCCUAGGAAUUUAGACUUUCUAUAAAAUGCUGCUUCUGACACAAACCUCAUUUGCAAGAAGGAAACUGGAAAUGUGAUGUGACAGAGAUUGACAGGUUGGAAAAGGAAGUGUGGCAGGAGAAACUCUGCAUUCAAUGUUCAGCGGAGACUUCUUUGUGGGGAUUUACUGUCCAAUAGCUGGCUAACCAUGACAACCAGAACAACAGUGAUGUACAAUAAUUAAGCCUUUAAUUACCUUCUAGUCAUUUACAUGUGUUAAUUCACUGUGUCCCAGGAUUCAGGCUCUCGAGUCUCUGCUUUUACAAAGUUCUUACUCUUAUGAUCUCAUUUUAUGUGGAAAAAAAAAUAUAUAUAUAUAUAUAUAUAUUUAUAUAUUUCACCUCAUAGAAGUCUAGAGUAUUUGAUUGUUAUCAGAGGCUGGGAAGAGUGGUGGGGAGAGAAGUGUGGGGAGAGACUGAUUGAUGAGUAUUAAGUUAUAGUUACAGAGGAGUAAGAAGCUCUGGUGUGCUCUUGCACAAUACAGUGACUACAGGGCAUAAUUAUACACUGAAUACUUCAAAAAGCUAGGAGAAAGGGUUUUGAAUGUCUUUACCUUAAAAAAAUGAUGAAUGUUAAAGGGGACUGAUGUUUGUUCUGAUUUACACAUUGCAUGACAUAAGCAUGUAUCAAAACAGUACAUGGUACUUCUCCAUAAAUAUGUAUGAUUUUUAUAUUUUAGGUAUCAUUUAAAAUAAAUUAAUUUAUUUUAAAAAUUCCUCAUUACUGUGGUUAAGUAUUGGGAAGAAUUAGGGAAGAGCAUUCCAGAAAAAGGAAUGGCAGGUAGAAAUUUUGUAAGCAGGCAGGAAACCAGCUAUGUUGAGGAGCAAAAAUAGGUCCAGAGAGAUUUGUACAGAAAGAACUAGGGGAGCAGUUUGUAAGUAUGAAAAGUGUAACGGAGGCCACACGAAAGAGUUUUCAACUUAUUCUUUAGUCUUAUGACUUACCUUAUUCAUUAUUAUUACUUUUUUUAGAUAUUUGAAGAUAAACUUUCUUUUAAUUUGUAACCAGUGAAUAAUCUAUGCAUGCUAGGAAAACAGAUAUUGGAUUUUGUUUUCAACUUAUAACAUCUUAUUCUCAAUAUUAUAAAAAAAUCAUUGAAUGUAGUAGCUUUUUAGUAUUUGUAGUCUCUAAAAUAUCCAAGUAUAAAUUAUUCACCAGAUUCAAUAACAUCUUAUCUGAACUAGGCCUGUUUACGACUCCAGCAGACGGUUCCUAUUAGGUGCAUUUUUCCUCUUGAUCUUAAGAUUUUCAAAAAAGUAUAAACAUGUAACAUCUUUGAGCAAUUUGAGCAAUCACAGUUUUCUCUGCUAGUAAAGUGGAAUGGUGAUGGAGAAAAUGUCUUUUUAGCCAAAUAUAGACCCAAAUCUAGAUAAAUAUAACUUUAUUGCCCAUAACUUCUUUCUCAGGAAAACUUUCCCGUCUUCAACAGGAUGGUUUCAGUUUAAGUUUAUCCUUUUAACACAUUGAGGCAUUCCUUGGUGAUCAGAACUAGAAUAUCCAUUUACUAGGAAAUUGGCUUCCAGAUAUCAUCACCCUUAGUGAGGAAUGUCCACUCUAUAUACAAGCACAAAGCAUGUGGGUAGGUAGGCACUCAGCUUUUUAUCACCAUGACCAAAAUACAUGACAUGAACAAUUUAAAAGAGGAGAGUUUAUUUGGGGCUCAUGGUUUCAGUCUAUUGUCAAUUGACUUUAUUGCUUUGGGUCUGAAGUGAAGAAGAACUUCAUAGCAGAAGGGCAUGUUAGAAGAAAGCUGUUCAAAUCAUGGCAGCCAUGGAGCAGAGAGAGAAAGGGGUCAGGGACAAGUCAUAAAGGAGAUACUUCCUUCAACUGGGCCUAGUUUCUACCACCUCCUAGUAGACCAUUCAACUAUUAGUGGAUUAAUCCAAGAUGAGGUCAGAGUCCUCGUGAUUCAAUCAGUCCCUCAAAACCCCACCUUUAGGACGUUGCUGCACUGGGGACCAAGUCUUAAACACAUGUCUUUUUUUGCAAGGGAUAUUCUAUAUCCAAACCAUAACAAAAGCUGAUAUUUGAUUUUAGAGACUUAAUUUUUUAGAGCAGUUUUAGAUUCACACACACACACACACAAAAAGAAAAUGAGAGGAAGUUACAGUGAUUUUCCAUAUACUCCUCCUUACCUUCUGUGUGCACAGCUUUCGCCAAUACAACAUCCCACCCCCCUAGGAUGGUACAUUUGUUAGAAUUGAUGAGCCUACAUUGACACAGUGUAAUCACUCAAAGUCUGUCUUUCACCCUCAGAUCAUUCUUCCUGUUGUGCAUGGGUUUACACUAAUGUAUAAUGAUACAAAUGUACCACUAUGCUAUUAUACAGAAUAUAAUAAAAGUUCUCUGUGUUCUGACUUUUCCUUCCUUCCUCCUUCUUAACUCUGGCAACCACUGAUUUUUUAAAACUCUUCUCAUACUUUUGCCUUUUCCAGAAUGUCAUAAAAUUGAAAGCAUACAGUAUAUAACCUUUUCAGAUUGGCUUCUUCCACUUAGUAAUAUGCAUUUUAGUUUCCUUCAUCUGAUUCACAUCUAGAUAGUUCAUUUCUUUUUAGCACUGAAUGAAAUUCCAUUAUCUGUAUAUGCCAGAAUUGAUCCAUCACCUGCUGAAGGAUGUCUUGAUUACAUCCAAGUUUUGGCAGUUAUGAAUGGAUGCCAAACACUUAUAAGCAGGUUCCUGUGUGAACAUGAAUUUUCAACUCCUUUGGGAAAAUACCAAGGAGUGUGAUUGCUGGAUCAUAUGGAAAGAAGUUUUAGUUUUACAAGAAACAGCCAACUUAUCUUCUAUACUGGGUGUACCAUUUUGUAUUCUCACCAGAGCUCCUGUGCUCUGCAUCCUCAUCAGUAUUUGUUGCUGUCAGUGUCCUGGAUUUGGGCCAUUCUAAGAGGUGUUUCGUGGCUUGUACACUAGUGUCUCACCAUCGCUUCUCACUGCUACUGGAAUCUCACUGUUGUUUCAGUUUGCUUUUCCUUGAUGACAUAUAACAAGGAGCAACUAUUGAGCUGAAAAAAUACCAUCAUUUUAAAAAAGACUCUAGUGGGGGAAGAAGAGAAAUGGCUUUCAUAUUCCUGGGCAGAACUAAAGAGCCAAGUUCUCUUGGUGUGAUGGAUAUUUUGGAAGCUAUAAAUCUUUUGAGUCCUCUGUCAGAAGACAAAAAUCAAGGAUUGGGGAUGUAGUUCAGUAGUUGGGCACUUGCUUAGCCUGUGAGAGGCUCUGGGUUUAAUCCCUAGCACCACAAUAAAUAAGUGCAGAAAGAAAGAAUGAAUGAACGAACAAAAGAACAAAAGAAAGAAAGAAAUAAGAAAGAGAGGAAGAGAAAAAAAUAGAUAAGGGUAUUAACAACAUCUCUUAAAAGGUGGACCCAUUUGGACUAAGUGUUGAUUAUCUGAAUCAAGAAACAGAUGGGAGUGAGUAAAAGGGGAUGUUUCCUCAGUAGGUUGAUGUUUUUGGCAAGAGUACAGCCGAUGUUGCAAGACGGGAAACAGUCUCAAGAUGAAAAUCUCUUACAGGUUGGCAUUUGCCCAAAACUGAAUGUUGACAGGGAAGUGCAGGCACACCCAAAAACAUCCUGAUUAAAUUGCAGGUGUUGUGCAAAACCAAGUGGGAAGAGAAAGAGUUUUUAACUAGUAAGCAAAUUCUGGUAGUUGCCUUACAUCUGGUGUGCAUAACAAGUAAUAUUAUAACAUCUCAGGACACAAGAUAGUUAGGUUUUUGUUGUUCAGCAGAAUUUUGAGAAUCAUACACUAUUUGAUUUGUGUAAUAUUUUUCAGAUUAUAUUUUCUAAUGAAUUUUUUAGCAGAAAUAACUCCCUUCAAAUACAAUCUUAAAUGCUACUCUACUGUAAAGAAGUAGAGCAUAUUUUAUUAGUAAUAAUAACUUGAUGAAUUCAAACUGAACUAAUUUACUCAUUACAUAGGCAAUAAAUGAAAUCAGUGGUGUGUUUUCAUUUGAUUAACACAAAAUAUGGAAUCAGAGCUACUGUGACACUUUUGAUUUCACAUAAUCCUUAAAAUCUAAUUUAUUUUAGUAUUUUUACAUUGUAUAAAAAUUAUAAUUAGCCUUGCAAAUGAACUAUAAACAAGAUUUGUUUAGCAGAUUACCUUGUAACCUCAGGAUACUCUUGUAGAAGCCUUUAUUCUGAGACCCAUUAAAAAAUGAGUCAAACUGGAAAUAUAAGUUGGUGGUUUCCAAUGUGUUAACAUCUAGUACAUGGCUUUUUGGAGUGUUUAAAGUACUAUGAUAUUUAAAACAUUUUUUAAAAACCCUUGAAAUGCAAAUUGAGGCUAACAUCUGUUGAGAUCUUUCCACAAAAGCUCUUCCAAGCCCUGAAAAGGACACUAUUACUUCCUAGUGUGGUGUUGACCAUUAGUUCAAAUUUUUCGAGAACUGAAAAGUGUGUGAUCCAGCAAAAUAAACAAACUUAACCCUGUUAAAUAAAGUAAUUUACAUUCUUACUAGGAAAUGUCACAGUCGAGACUGAAAUCUGGGCUUCUUGACUUCUUUCCUGUUUGAUUUUCAUGGAGAAUAAAUUCAACACAAUAUAUAAUGCUUAACUAAAUGCCAAUUUUAUUCAUUCAGUACUUUAUUAGAACAUGACUUGUAGGCUAGUAUGCUACCUUUAUAAUAUAUCUUUCACCGGCUAGAUUAAAGUUGCUUGCCUAAAGAAACUGAGCUAUGUAUUUUUCUGUAGUAGCUCGCACAGAGUGCAUAUCGUAGGCAACUAAUCAUAUAUAUCACUUAUGCAUUUAAGAAGUAUGCAAAUUAUUCUCAAGUAGACAUCUAUUAUUAAUAAUUUACUUAUCUAGGCAUUCCAUUGAUGUUUCUAACUGCACCGUUUUCAGUGUAUAAAUUGAUGUAUCCAUAUUUUUUGUUUGAAACCUCAUGAACCAAUUUUAUGCACUAUUAAUUAAUAUUGAAUAUCCACUGUUUCUCCAGCACAGGGAUAAUUCUGUGGAUACAGUGGGUAGUCUUGUUUUGCAGCUAUUUAUGACAUUAUAAAUGCAAGAAACCAUUCAAUAAAUGGAUACUCAUAUUUGCUGAAGUUGUCAAUAAAUGGGGCCAUUAACAGGAUGGUUGGUAUAACCUUCUCUCAUUUGGAAUGGUAGCAAGUAGUAAUCUUUAGGUUUGGGUUUAUGUUGUGAGGAGAUCAGAGUUCCUUCUUCAGAAAUAUCCUGGAUUUGCUUGCCAGUAUUUCAUGCAUUACUCCUAUGUGUCCUUUCUGUUAUCCACCAAGUAAAAGACUUGUUUGGGUCUCUGAUUUUCAUGACAAGAUUUCAAUCUUAUUUUUUUUAAAGUGUUAGAAUGAACUAUAUAAAAUUGGCCUUUUGGGGUUGGGGUUGGGGCACCACAUAAAAAUAAAAUAAAGAUAUUGUGUCCACCUAAAACUAAAAUAUAAAUAUUUUAAAAAAUUGGCACUUUUAUAGACCAGAAAAUUUCAAAAAUUGACAAUUUCAUGUGUUUUUGCAUAGUUUAUGAAUCUUACUCAAAUCAAUCAGCUGUUUUCUGUCUGAAUCUUAUCAAAAGCUCUAUGGAUAAAACUAAUAGUAGAGAUUCAGUUUAAAGAAGGGAUCAACAAAGCAAAUGUUCGUAUUUUAAUGAUAUUAAACGAAUGUUCAUAGCAUAAAUGAUACACUGAUUUUCAUUCUUAAAUUGCUCUUUUAAAAAAAAUUUUUUGAGUUUCUAAUACGUUUUUUUUCUAGUUUGCACGUCUUUAUCGAGGACUUAAACAUUUUAAAUUCCGAAGUAUCAAAUUUAAGAAGUUCUUCUAUUUCUUGAGUGCUUCUUUGCUCAUCUGUUCUGACUGUUUCUUUGAACUCUUUGUCGAUUUCAUCUAGUGACUGAUAAUUCUUAUUUUUCUGGCAUGAGUUCCCCCAUUUCUUGGCUUGAAGUUUCCCUUUCUUGGUUUCCUCCCUUCUUUUCCUGGAAAGCAUCCCUAAAUAAGUUCCUGAGGAGAGGACAUGUGGAAAGUAAACAUUCUGAAUCUUUCUGUAUCUUAAAUGUUUUUACUUUACAUUAUAUUUGAUUGCUAAUUUGACUAGGUAUAGAACCAUAGGUUUCAAUUUUUUUUUUUUUAACAGUAAAGUCAUUUUUUGGUUACGACUAUUUUUUUUUUUAAAGAAAGUCUUAAUUUACUUCUUAAUCUAUUUAUAUUUUAUUUACAUUUGUAACUUUGAAAUGUCUUCAGUAUUUAAAAGAAAGAUUAAGAAUUCAUUGAUAUCAUUAUUAGGGGAAAAUACAAGCAAAUCUAAGAAAAGAAGGGAGAAAACAAAGUUGGAUAUAUUUUUAUAACUAGAUAGACUUUAUUCGCUGAUGAACUGGGUAGUGUUCUCUGAUUCACUUUCCUUUCUAUAUAAAUUUUGUUUUUCAUGGAGCAACAUUGUAUCAUUUCCUCCCUUUUGUUUAAUUUCAUGGGUACCUAUCAUAGUUCAACAUCAAACAUUUUGCCAGAAUUGUAAAACUUCUCCCAAUGUAUCCAAACACAUCAAACUAUCUUACAAGCUCAUUGAAAAGCAUUGAUGUCUCCCUCUUGGAAGGAUGGGGUUUGGUGCUGUCUAGUGCAGCAGAGUGGCCAUUGUAGUAUAUAUCCCUCACCAUCAUGGAAAACCCCUUCAACUCUCUCCUGAAUUAGAGAUUCUGUUUCCUUCUUUCUGCCUCCUUGUUCCUCUUUCUUGUUUACUUUCUCCAUCAGUUCCAGAGAAAGGGCACAUGACAUGACAUUUAUUUAUUUACUUGGAAUCUUUCAUGUCUGGAAUAUUCUUGGUCUGUUCUCACUCUUGAUGAAUAAUUCGGGCAUGGGGUUCAAUAUUGAAAGUCAUUUUCUCUUAGAAUUUUUUAAAGCAUUUCUCUACCACCAAAGCAUGACAUGGGUCUGAUUCUCUGCUUAUGUGUGUAAUCUAUUUUUCUUUCUGAUUUUGGAGGAUCUAAGACCUUUUCACUCUUGGUAUUUCAGAAGCUCAUGAUUUUGUGUCUGGGUGUAGAUUGACCAGUCUUCAUUGUAUUGAGAAUCGUGCAAGCUCAGUUCUUAUAAAUUUUCUUAGAUUAUUUCUUUGACAAAACUUGCCCAGUGUUUUCUUUGUUCUUUUCUUCUGAAGCAUCUGUUGGUGCUUAAAUGUUGGACAUUCUGGCCUGUGGUUCUGGUUCAUUCUUUAUCUUUUAUUUUACUUUCUGGAUUGCUCUCUUCCUUACCCUCUAAUCCUUCUACCACACUUUAACUUUUUUUUUGUAUCAUAUUUUUAAUAUCAAGAACUGCUCCUUGUCUUAAUAGUCUAUUAAAAAUAAUAUCUUGGGCUGGGGAUGUGGCUCAAGCGGUAGCGCGCUCGCCUGGCAUGCGAGCGGCCCGGGUUCGAUCCUCAGCACCACAUACAAACAAAGAUGUUGUGUCUGCCGAUAACUAAAAAAUAAAUAAAUAUUAAAAAUUAAAAAAAAAAUAUCUUGCCUUCCGUUCCAUAGAAGCAAUUAUUUAUCUCUGCUGGGGUAAUAAUUUAUUUGGGGAAGGGUUUUUCUGUCUCUACUUUCUCAUCUCUCCUGGUUUCUUUUAGUGAUUGUUUGGUGUGGUUGCUAUUGUUUGUUAGAAGUUUCCUCAAAUAUUUGUGCUCUCUGGGUCUUCUCUCAUGCACAACUUUGAUGCACCAGAAGGCUGACUGCGGACUCUGGUAAGCUUCAUUCUGGUAUGAUUGGAUUGGAUGUUUCACUGAAGGAUCUACAACCAUCAGUGUCUGUAGUUUUUUCUUACAGGUUGGUUUUCCUAAGAUUUCCUACCAAAGGGCCUCACUGGUUGCUGGUACAGAAAAUGGAGCCCUACUAUGCAGUAUGUCAGCCAUCAUUUCAAUGUUUCAUUUUCAGUAUGUCACUUCUAAUUUGACUUUCAUGAUGUAUGCUCCAAUCUCUGCUUCAAUCUCUAUAAAAAAGUAAUUUUUCUUGGGUGGUGAAAGGGAGGUCCCCAAGCAAGUUCGGAUUGCUAGAUCUGGGUGCAACUGGUUUUUGCUUUCUGAUUCAGAAGUUGCUUUUAAGUAUCUACCUGUUUCAGCCCAAUUCUUCCCUCCCCGUCCAGAGGUAAAAGAAGUCUUCGAUUUUCACACUUUCCAACAAUCUUUACAGUUGAUAAACUUAUUCCUUAUCCUACUCCGUUAUUGGUAUGUUUAAUUUUUCCCCUUUUUUAGUAAGUUCAUCAUCCCCACUUGUUGGCUUUAUAGAUUCUAAAGUUUUGAUAUUGUCAUUUUAUUCUCUCUCCUCAUAUUCUUUGUAGGUUUAUGUCUUUUUUUUCCAUCUCCCUAGUAUUAUUUUAAUGGAGUGUGGUAAGGGAAUGAUGAAGACAUAUGUUUAAAUUCCCCAUGUUUAACAGAAAUCUGUUUUAUUUUUAAUUCAACAUGUAAUAGCAUAUUAAAAUUGGGGAGGAUUUAAAAAAAACAAAAAUCACAUUAGUUCAACUAUUUUGCAAAUUCUUUAUUCAAAUGUUUACAUUUUUUUCCUGGUUUUACUUACAUCACACAUACUCCUAUUUACUUUGCAAUUUAAUAUUUCAUCAUACACAUUUUUAUAUUUUCCUCAGAGUAUCCGUAGUUAUAGCCUUAUAACAUUUCAUAAGUGUUGAUGUCAUAAUACUAGCUUAUCCAGUCUCUGAUACUGGGUUCUAAUUUUCCUCCAUCAUUUAUAAUAUUGAAGCAAACAUCUCUACUUUUUGACAUUUUUUGCUUCCUGCAGGAACAUUCCUUGCAUUGCAAUGGCUGGAUCCAAGAGGAAGAACAUCUUUAUGAGUCCUACUACAUAUUUCUGUAUUGAUUUUCCAAAACAUGCAUUCCAAAUUUUAAAAUGCAACGUAAAUUAUUUUUAUCAGCAACUUGGUCCUUCAGAGAUUGCUAUGGUUUGAAUCUGGACUGUUCACAGGUGAGGUGGCGCUUUUAGAUAAUGACUGGAUUGUAAGGGCUCUGACCUCAUCAGUCCAUUUGAUGGAUUAAUUCAUUGACAAGUGCAUGGACUACUGGGAGGUAGGACCCAGUUAGGGGUAGUAAGUCUAAUGGAGUGCCAGGAAAGGGCUUAACUGUCCCCCACCUCAGCCCCAGCACUCUCUCUACCAUAAUGUUUGGCCUCAUGUUGCAACACUUAUAAAAUGUUAUUGCUCUGGGCCAAUGGAGUAGGCUGAAUAUGGACUGAAACCUCUGAAACUGUGAGCCAAAAUAAACUUUUACUACUCUAAGUUGUUCUUGUCAGGUAUUUUGGUCACAGCCAUACAAAGCUGACUAACACAGAGAUCUUCCCUAAAUCACAGAUUUUUCUCAAGAGAAAUGAUUUCCUUAAACGAUCUAUGGUAUACAGAUAUGUCUGAGAAUCUGAUUAAGGCUAUGGGCCUCCUUCCCACUAAAGUGAAAAGCCUCAGCUGCAUGUUGACACUCUCACGAGUGCACUCAUAUCCCCAUCUUGACACAUAAUUUCAGGCCCCUAAUGAAUUCCUCUGAAUCCCAUUCUGUGGACUCUGGGGUAAGACCUCAAUGUUUAUAGAAAGCAACCUCCAGAGCUAUGAGCAUCAGAAUUCAUUAUAGUAGAGAAAUUCAAAUUAAUAUAAAGUGGAAUCGCUGAAUCUGAGGAUCUCAUAGUCUAGAUUUCUUGCUCUUUUCCUUGCCAUCAUGGGGAAAAAAUCUAGGGCCUUGGAUUUAUGAGGUUAAAUCUAGUGCCAUGGAGAAGGAUGAGGAGCCGAUUCUUCUAAUCUUGGCCCAUUUCCUUCCCCUUAACGUUGUUUUCCUUGCCCUGAAAUGAUUAUCUCGAAACAUGAUCACCAUAGAGGUUGGGCACACAAAGUUAAGCCAAAAAAAGAGCAAAAGGGGAAGUUUCAACAGGGAUGGGGUGUGAGAAAAUUGAAGAAAAAGAAUAGAAAGAAGAACAUGUGGAACUAAGAGGAGACUAUUCUGAAGUAUUGUACAAUCAAACAUGAUAAAACGCAUAUUGAGGAACUGAAAUUAGAACUCUUGGUAACCAUGGGAACAUCACAGUUAUGGCUCAACUGUUAGAAAAACAGUACUGGGAUUUCUUUGAAAUGGAAAUGAUUGUUUAGAUAAUGACACAUCUCUAGUAUGCGGACUGAUAGUAAAGUUCCAGUUUAAUAGGAAAUAGUGGGCCAAAAUGUGAAGAUCUUUUAAAACCCAGUAUUCCAAAACAUUUCUCUUUAAAAUAAAUGCAAUUAAGGAAAUUCUAUCAUUUGAAUUUUUUGCCACAUGAUUUCUUCAUGAUUUUAUAGCCACAAUAUUCCUAUAUUCCAUAGUUUUCCGUUUCCCUUCUCUUUAUAUUUGCUAUAUUUAGUAGUUUUUCAGUAGCUUGCUCCUGGAAAAAUGUCAUGUGAGGUUUCUAUUAUUCUAGUCUCCAGAUCCCAGAGUUAAUUUUAGAAAGAGAAUUUAGAAGUUAGAUGCAGAGUAAUCUUAAAAGAGAAAAUUUAUCUACUUAUAAGGAAGUACUGAGGUCUGUGGUAUUUUUUGCUAUGAAGAAACUUUACAAUAAUAAUAUAGCAAAAUAACAUUUAUUUCAAACUCAGCCAUACACUAGGAUCUAUGCUUUUUGAUUACAAAUAUAAACAGUUCUCCUGAUUUGUUUUUACCACAUUCCAUGUUUACAGAAGAUUAAACUAAGGUUUAGAGAGAGGUAAAGUAGUUGCUCUAAGGUUAUCAAAUCAGUAAAUGACCUUGGUGAUUAGACCCCUUGAACCCUCAAACUUUAUGCUCUUUCUAACUCUGUGUGGUCUAAUUCACAGUUGAUUUAUUUCAGUUUGUUAAGGUUGAGAACAUCUGUGUGUUGUUUAUUAUUCUCUGCAAAAUCAGGAAUUCUUACUGCUGAUCCCGAUGACUCUGGUAAACUCUUUCCCUAAAUCAUUAACCUCCUGAAUCUUCAUGGCUCAAUUUAAAAUGCUACAUACUUGCACUAAAUUUUUCCUUUAAAUGUUCAGUAGGGCCAUCUCUCCUUUCUGGAAUUUUCUGUGAAGUUCAAUUUUGCAUUUCUUUAGAACUUUCUCUUUUAUCAUAUCCACAUUUGGUUCAGCUACUUGACAAUGUCUUAUAUACACUAAAUGUCCACCGGACACCACCACCUCACUCAUUGUAUGUAGUUUGUUUUUGUUGAAUUACCUGAUUGUGUUGUUCUCUGUAGGUCUUCAAGUGAUGAGUAGACAGAUCAACAGAAGAUGAGAAUCUGCAGAAAUGUGGACAACAAUUAAAAAGACUAUAAUGUUUUAAUCUUUUCUCACCUUUUGAGGAAGUUUUUAUAGAAUAGGUAGAGGAUUGUGUAGAAAGGAUUUUUUUUUUUUUUUUUGGAAAAAGACAGAAAGAAAUUCCAUUAGUGUUCAAAAAGACACUGGGGGGAGUGGGAGGAAAAAACUGAACAAACAAAAAAGACAUCAGGCUUAGGCCUUCAUGCAACUGCCUGAAGAGGAGGAUUUUCUAAUAAAAAUGGACUUAUUUUCAGCAGCUCAGCACCUCAGGAAAGUAUAAGUGUAUCAAUGUUUAUAACAUCAAUGAUAAUCACAACCAAUAUGCACCUCAAACAUUUCAUUUCUAUUGAAGAUUUUCCAACUAUGCUCAGUGUCAGAUGCACUGUUUCCUUCUCUGUAUCUGGAAUAUUGUUUUUGCAGACCUGGCUACUUUCAGAUAAACCUGAUAUUUGAAAACUUAUUUAAGAUAAGACAGUCAUAUUCAACAUGGGUGCAUUUUCUCUGAAUCAAUGAUCAAACAUCUGAACAUCUUUUCUGAAAGUUCUAACAAUAACAGAUGACUUUAAAAGAAUAACAACGAUGGGUUGAGGUUGUGGCUCAGUAGUGGAGCACUUGCCUAGCAUGUGUGAGGCACUGGGUUCUAUCCUCAGCACCACAUAUAAGUAAAGGUCCAUCAACAUCUAAAAAAGAAUAACAAUGAUAAUUUUCAUAGCUUCCAUUUAGAUAAUAUUCUUUAUCUGAAAAAACAGAAACUCCCUAAACAAAAAGCAAGCCCUCCAACUUAACGAAAUUAGCACAAAAUGCUCAAGUAAUAUAUACUUAUUAAUGGUAAUAAUUGGUACUAUUAAUUUAGAGUGUCCAUAAUUUAAAGCUGAUGGUGAUAAUUUGAUAAACUCUUCUGUAUGACUUAAAUGAUUGGUGCCUUUAAGAAGUUAAAAGACUACCUCAUUUAAUGUUGGAUCAUAUGGAUUCAUUAAGCUCUCAUUGGAGCAAACCAGGGAGAUCUAAGUUUCUUCCUCUGCAAGUCUUAUCUGUCCAUCACCAGUUGCAAAAGGUUCAUAGUCUGGGCAGAAUUCUACAUGGAAAUGUAUUUUCAGUUAGAUAUGCAUCUGUGGGAGCCCUUGGAUUUUUCUUGGGUGAUGUUGCUGCCUCAAAUUGACAUAAUCUAUGCAUUUUUUUUCUGAAUUUUUAAUUCAGUGUUAGUUCUGUGAAAGGAAUUAGCUACUCUUAUAGUAUGUGUUGUGUUUGGAAGGUUUAUAAAUUACAAAAUGUGUGGAAAAUAAAUUAUACUUAAAUGCUGGUUACUAUCAUCAGGGUCUCACAUUUAUUCAUACCAUCAACUGAAUUUAAAUAAAGCAUUUAUUUUCUAUGACUAUGGUAGAUGGAGUGUUCUCCCCAUCUCUCUGCAAAGAUGUCUGUGUUCUCAUGCCUCGAGCUUGUGGAUAGGCUACCUUCUUUGGCAGGUGGUGGGCUCAACCUAAUCACAUUGAUCCUCAGAAGGGGUGAGCCCUUUCAAGAUAGGGAGAGAAAGAGGUUCCAGGGGAAUAUGCUAAGAAAGAUUCUCAUGAACCAAAGAAUGCCAGUCUUCUAUAGAAGUUAAAAAAGGACAUUAUUCUCCCUUAAGAUCUUUUCCUUUCUGGAGAGAAAAGAAGCAGCCCUGAUGAUUUUAGACCAGUAAGAUCCUGUGAGAUUUCUGACCUACAGAAUUGUACGAGAAUAAAUUUGUGUUGUUUGAAGCCACUCUAUUUGUAGCAAUUUGUUUGGGCUGUAGUAGAAAACAAAAUGCAGUGACUGAGCUACACUUUGCCCUGAGCCUCCAUCCCUUUAGCUGUCAGGGAAAGCACUGUACACUUAUGAAGUGUAAGUAUUUCAAUCCUUUCCUAUUUCAAAGGAGGUUGAGGUUGCUCCGUCACUGUUGGGUAAAAUGUAGCUCUUCCAGAUUUCCUGUCCUUUCUUCUGUUCUUUCAAAGAUGGUUCACAGACAAACAGGGUGGAAGGGGCCCCAUGUGUCUUCCUGGAAAUGUGGGAAAGUUGAUUUAUUUAUGAGCAGCCUCUGGUUAUGGAUCUGUUUCCAUUUAUCUUUGUUUGGUGGCCUCUGCUAAAUGUGUUGAUAUUAUAGCUGGUCCUACCUAACUUUUGUGUCUGCCCUGGGAGAGGGGUGAUUUGGGGAAAAGGAAAAUAAGAGUCACAGAGGAUCCUUUCUAGAGAGGAGAAAGAAGUAAAUAUGUAAUCUGUCCCUUGAGGCUUAACCUAGACCCUGCCAUUGCCUAUGGUCAUUGAGGCCCAAUCCAUAAUCAGCCUUGGACUCUGCUGUCUAAGUGGAUUCCUUUCACUCUGCCAUGGCUCAUUCCAUGUGAGAGCUAUUAACAUCUUCUGCAUGCUAUGCCCAAUCCACGGGAGGCUCUUCUAACAAAUAUAUGCCCUGAGUUUUGGGCCAUUUUGUGUCGAGAUUCCUGUUCCUAUCUGAUUGUACCUGAAGCAUUUUCCCCCGUCUGUGCACAGUGUUUUCCUGUGGUGUGCAAAACCAGGAAUCCGACCUUCUCACGCAGCUUCCCUUUGUUCUCUUCUUAAACUCUCUUGUAUUCAAAACUGUAGAUUUCUUCUCCUUCUUGACCUUGGAAGAUCCUUUCCCUGCAUCUUUCUUUCCUUUCUUCUAGGUACCAGCUUCACUUUUUAAAUCUUAGUGGGAGGGCUCUUUUCUUCACACUGGAAAAGACAUGCUAUUAUCUGAAAUGGCUCAAUUUCCCUCUUGAUGGAAGAGUUGCAGGACAACAACACAUUAGAAACUACAAAGACUGAAAAAUGCAAUGGUUUUGAGCGAGUGUUGGCAUAUGAUAGCCUGCAAGCUGGCUGAACUGUUUUCAUAAAUAAAGUUUUAUAGGGACGUAGCCAUAUCUACUCAUUUGCAUAUUGUCUCUUGUUGUUUUUGAGCUACAAUGGCAGAAUCGGAGAGUGCAAUAGAUACAUAUGGCCAGAAAAAUCUCAGAAUAUUUACUAUCUGGCCCUUUAAGAUAGGAGCUGCUAACCUCUAGUUUAGCAUAUUAAUUAUGUUUUGCUAUGUAACAAAUAACCCUCGAAUCUGGCGGCUUAAAACAACCAACAGUCAGUAUCUCAUAGUUUCUGUGCAUCAGAAACCGAGGCUUCUGUAACUGAGUGAGUCUGGUUCAGUCUCUUAGGAGACUGUGGUCAGGUCUGCAGUCCUUUCAAGGAUUGUUUUGGCUUGAAGAAACUAUUUCCGGCUGGCACAGGAGAUUGUUGGCACAUCUCAGCUUCUCAUGACUAGAAGCUUCUGUCUUGUGCCUGACAGGGCUCACCAUGGGGCUACUCCAUAUGAUGGUUGCUUGCCUGAGAGCAGGUGAUCCAAGGGGCAGGGUGGGGUAGAGAGAAGCAGUAGUCUUUUAUAACUAAAUUUAGAUGUGACAUCUUUUAACUUUUACCCCCAUUCAAUGUGUUAGAAGUGAGCACUAAGUCCAGCCCAUGUUCAAGGAGAGGAGAUUUCACAAGGGCUUGGAUACCAGGAGACUCAUCUUGGAACUAGCUAUUACAUUUAGUAACUCUUGCUCCCAAAUUCUACUUUCUUUUGUUUUUUUAAUGGUCUUCCGUCACUGUAGCUCUUGAAUUUAGGACUAUGAGUAGUGAAGUCCUGAAGUCACUUUAGUAAACAGCCUGAUUCUAAGACAGGCAUAAAGAUUGCUGGUCUGGUCAGCGUCUGUGAGCCAAACCCAGGCUGAGAACUUGAAAGUUGAGAAAUACUUGAGGAAACCCUUAGGACACACAGGGCAAGGAUUCAGAGAGAACAGAGACCAGUGGUCAGGACAAGGCUGGUUUGUGGCAAGGCAGGCAGUUAAAGGAGCACUUCAUCAACAAUGAGAACUUUUAUUUGUUAAUUCUUUAACAUUCCACAAGUAUUUAUUGAGUUCCUACUAAGGCCCAGGCACCACUGAAGGCUUUGUGAAUAUAACAACAAAUUGGCAAGAGAAGAUGGCCUCAGACAGGAAACCUCUUACAGCAGGUGCUUCCUUUGGAUGUUGACAGCCAACUAGCGACUUCCCAGGAUUUGACUCUUUUCAGUAUUUGUGGCAGAAGAUAUGUACAUACAAAGAUAAUAGGUAGAGUGAAGAGUGUGUUCAGGGAAAUAGAGGCAGGUCCUGGAAAUGUUUUAAUGCAUUUGCAGUCUCUCCCAGUUUCAAUGAACGUUUUAAGAAUGUUCUUUGUGACUCGAGAGGUGGAGGCAGGAGGAUCUUGAGUUUGCAGACAGCCUCAGCAACUUAGCAAGGCCCUAAGCAACUUAGGGAGACCCUGUCUCAACAGAAAAUAUAAGAAGGGUUGGGGAUGUGGGCAUGUAUCUCAGUGGUAAAGAACCUCUGGGGUCAAUCUUCAGUACAAAAAAAAAAAAAAGCUUCCCAAAAGAACAUGCUCUUUGCCCCAAAGUUAGAGUCCCUGCACAGUCUUAAAGGGUCUAUGAAAGCUAUCAACUGUUGAAAGUAUCCAUAUACUGCUUCAUGUUUGUAUUAACCUGUUUUAUUGAGCCAUUUUAAAAAAUAUAUUUUUGACUAGUCUCAAACAAUGUUUGUUUAAUAACUGGAUCUCAAAUUUAGGUAUAGAAGCCUCUACCCAAACCCAAGAAUUUCUCUUCCUAUUGAGAUGGAUGCAGAGAGGAAUGAUUGAGGGAAGAGGGGGCAUUUUCUUGGUUCAUCUAGGAGAUGUCAGAUUGAUGAGGAUGAGCUGUAAAGGCCUCUUUCCUAUGCUGACUGGGUGGAGAAGUACUCAAGGUGGCCUGCCUCUAGGACAGUGUAACAGUUUUUGAUCUGUAAAGUUAAUUUCCUCUAUCUGUGUAAUUGAAAGUCAGUUUUAGGAUCUCAUUAGGCCCAAAUAGUCCAUCGCCUGUACUUGCAGCCGUGGUUUAUUGGUGUGGAAUUUUUUAAUGGAUCUCUGGAAGAGACACUCUGGACUCUAUGGAGCUUAUAAGAAUGUUCAUUUCGGUGGUCUGCAUUUCAAAAAGGAGAGAUUUGGUGAAAAACAGAAAACCUUGGAAAUUUAUUGUUUGAAUGUGCAUCUGUGAGAAAAAUGGAAUUUUUUUUUUGAAAUUGACUCAUUUAUUUUUAAUUCAAAAAACUGCAAGGAUUUCUAUUCAUUGUUACUCUACAUAAAUAUUUUACCAUGUAUACACUUUCAGAGAGUAGAUAAGGAGGGGGAAAGUUCUGGCUCUGUAGUGGCCUGGCUCAAAUAUCCUUUACCUCUUUAUACCUUUUUACUUCUCUUUCUCUUUUUUUGUAAACUAAAAAAAUUAUUUGUUCUUUUUAGUUAUACAUGACAGUAGAUUGUAUUUUGACAUAUCAUACAUACAUGAAGUAUUGGAAAUGUAAUUUAAAUGAUAUAAUGGCUAAGCAAAAUAUUGAGUUAUACUAGAUAGCCACAGCCAUAGCACUCUAGCUUUGAGUGCUUUUUCUUGGAGAUUAUUCUAUUCAAUGCCAAUGGUAUUAGCACCAGAACAGACAUGAAGACCAUUGGUACAGAAUAGAAAACACAGAGACAAACCCACAUAAAUAUAGUUAUUCAUACUAGACAAAGGUGUCAAAAACGUACAUUGGAGAAAAGAUAACCUCUUCAACAAAUGGUUCUGGGAAAAGUUGGAAAUCCAUAUGCAGCAAAAUGAAAUUAAACCUCUAUCUCUCACCCUGCACAAAACUCAACUUAAAGUGGAUCAAGAACCUAUGCAUAAACCUGAGACCUUGCACCUACUUAGAAAAAGUAGGCCUGAAUUUCCAUUAUGUCAACUUAGGAACCAAAUCCCUCAAUAAGACUCCUAAAGCGUGAGAAGUAAAAUCAUGAAUCAAUAAAUGGUAUGGUCUAAAAAGCUUCCUCACUGCAAAUAAAACAAUCAAGAACAUGAAGAGAGAGCCUAUAGAAUGGGAGAAAACUUUUGUCACCUGCACCUCAGAUAGAACAUAAAUCUUUAGGAUAUAUAAAGAACUAAAAAAACUUCAUACCAGAAAACAAAAAACAAACAAACAAAUAAAAAACAAAAACCCAAAUAACUCAAUGAAUAAAUGGGCAAAGGAACCGAACAGAUACUUCACAGAAGAAGAAAUAUGAUCAAUCAACAAGCAUAAAAAAGUUCAACAUCUCUAGCAAAUUAAAAUGAAAUGCAAAUUAAAACUAUACUGAGAUUUCAUCUCACUCUUGGAAUGGCAAUUAUCAAGAAUAUAAGUAAUAAUAAAUGUUGUGAGGAUGUGGGGGAAAAAGGUACACUUCUACCUUGCUGGUGGAUCUGCAAACUGUAACAAUAACUCUGGAAAGCAGUAUGGAGAUUUCCUCAGAAAACUUGGAAUGGAACCACCAUUUGACCCAAUUGUACCAUUCCUCAGGGCAUAAUCAAAGGACUUAAAGUCAGCAUACUGUAGUGAUGCGGCCACAUCAAUAUUUAUAGCGACUCAAUUCAUAAUAGCUAAGAUAUGGAACCAACCUAGGUGCCCUUCAACAGAUGAAUGGAUAAAAAAUAUGUGGUAUAUAGAACCAUACACAAUGGAGUAUUACUUAGCCAUAAAGAAGAAUGAAAUUAUGGCAUUUGCCAGUAAAUAGAUCAAACAGGAGACUAUCAUGCUAAUAAGCCAAUCCCCCCAAAACCAAAGGCCAAAUGUUCUCUCUGAUAUGCAGAUGCUGACUCAUAAUGAGGGGAGAGGGGUGGUUCACUGGAUUGGAUAGGGGGAGUGGGUGGGGGAAUGGAAAUGGGAAAGGCAGUAGAAUGAAUCAGACAUAACUCUCCAAUGUUCAUAUAUGAAUACAGUGUAACUCCACAUCAGGUACAACCACAAAAAUGGGAAGUCAUACUCCAUGUAUAUAUGAUAUGUCAAAUACAUCCUACUGUCAUGUAUAACUCAAAAGAACAAAUAAAAAUAAAAGUAACGUUAAAAAGAAUAUUACUAGUAAAAACAAUUGAGAUAAAAUUAAAUAUUCAUAAAAAAAUUAUGCACAUAAAAAUAUUAAUAAUAUCUGAUGCCAGACACACAAAUGUCUCACACUUAUUUGGCAUUUAGAGGUGAAAGGUUGUGAAACACCAAAUACACCAGAAGAAAAUAGGCAAAGGGCUGAGUUUGAGUGAGUAAAGGAAGAUAAAUCAGAUGAGACUGCACACUGAUGACACUCACCAGGCUUGCUCAACAGCAGAAUCAGGCAAACAGCAGGAGAAAAAGGAAACAUUUUGGCCGAGUCAGCCACCCCCAGCAUCUCUCUUCAAACCCUCACUAAGAAAUCCCCAGCACUGGAUGAGUUAUUUCCUCUUUCUGCAUUAUGAGUACAAUGGGAAAAAACAGGCCCUAGGGCUGAAAUAUUGAAGUUAGGAAAGAGUGGCAUGAGUAAUAACACAAUAAUGAAUUAGACAGAAAGGCCUAGAGGCACACAUCUUCCAUUUAGACAGCUUGGAUUGAGUAAAGUCCAUUUUGGUAAAGUAGAUAUUGGACUGGCUUUCCCACCCCGUCCCCCUGCCCAAUUUUUUUUUUUUGUUGGUGCAUUAUAGUUGUCCAUAUUGAUGGGAUUUGUUGUUACAUAUUUGGACAUGCACACAAUGUAAUAAUAUAAUUUGGCCAAUAUCACUCCCCAGCACUUCCCUCUCCCUUCCCUACCCUCCCACCCUACCCCUUAGUCCCUUUCCUUUAUGAUCUCCCUUUAAUUUUUAGGAGAUACACCCUAAUUUUGGUUUCCUUUUAAUUCUCUAGUUUCCAUAUAAAAGAGAAAACAUAUGAUACUUAAUCUUCCGAGUUUGACUUAUUUUGCUUAACGUGAUGAUCUCUAGUUCCAGUGAGUUGUCUAUAAAUGACAUAAUUUCAUUUUUCUUUAUGACUGAAUAAAACACAAUUUUUUUUGAGUGUGUGUGUGUAUCACAUUUUCUUUAUCCAUUCAUCUGUUGAUGGACAUCAAGGCUGGUUCCAUACUUUGGCUACUGUGAAUUGUGCUACUAUAAACAUGGGUAUGCAUGCAUCAUUGUAGUAAGAUGGCUUUAAUUCUUCAGUCAAGAAGUGAUGCAGUUAGGUUACAUGGUAGUUCCAACUGUUAAUGAUAUUAAACAUUAUUAAUGUAUUUAUCAGCCAUUUGGAUUUCUUAUUUUGAAAAGUGUCUGUUUAGUUAAUUUGGCCAUUUAUUAAUGGGAUUAUUUGAUUUUUUUUGUGUGUGUACAUUUUUUGAGCUCUUUGUAUAUCCUAGAUAUUAGUCCUCUGUCAGAAGAGUAGCUAGCAAAGAUUUUUCUUGCAUUCCGUGGGUCCUCUCUUCACAUUCUUAAUUGUUUCCUUUGCUGUACAGAAGCUUUUUAAUUUGAUGCUGACCCAUUUAUUAAUUCUUGGCAUUAUUUCCUGAACUUUAGGGGUCCUACUGAGAAAGUCGUUGCCUGUGCCUAAAAGCUGGAGUGCUGACUCUAUAUUUAUUUCUGGAAGUUGCAUGGUUUGUGGUGUAGUUAUGAGGUCUUUGAUUCAUUUUGGGUUGAUUUUUGUGCAGGGUGUGAGAUAGGGUCUAGUUCCAUUCUUCUACAUGUGGAUAACAAGUUGUUCCAGCAUCAUUUGUUAAAAGACUGUCUUUCUCUAAUGUGUGUUUUUGGCACUUUUGUCAAGGAUCUGAUGAUUGUACCUGCAUCGGUUUGUCUCUGUCUUCUAUUCUGUGACAUUGAUCUAUGUGUCUGUUUUUAUGCCAGCUAGUUAUUGUAGCUCUGUAGUACAAUUUGAAGUCAGAUAUUGCCCUUUUAGGCUUAAAAUUGCUUUGGUUAUUCUUAAUUGUUUAUUCUUCCAAAUGAAUUUUAGGACUGUUUUUUUCUGUGAAAUUCUAUGAAGAAUGUCAUUAGUACUUUGAUGAGAAUUGCAUUGAAACUGUAAAUUGCUUUUGGUAGUAUGGACAUUUUAACAAUAUUCAUUCUGCCUAUUUAUGACCAUGAGAGGUCUUUCCAUCUUCUGAAGUCUUCUUCCAUGUUUUAUAGUUUUCAUUGUAGAAGUUCACCUUCUUGGUUAGAUUUAUCCUUACAUAUUUUAUUGAUUUUUUUUAAAGGUUUUUGUGAAUGGAUUGUUUUCCUGAUUUCUUUCUCAGCAGAUUUGUUGUUGGCACAUAGGAAAGCUAUUGACUUGUAUAUGUUGAUUUUAUAACCUGCUACUUUGCCAAAUUUGUUUAGUAGCUGUAGCAGUCUUCGGUGGCGUUUUUGGAUCUUUUAGGUAUAAGGAUCAAAUCAUCUGCAAACAGUGAUAAUUUGACUUCCUCUUUUCCUAUUUAUAUCUCUUUUAUUUCCUUCUCUUGCCUAAUUGCUCUGGCUAGAAUUUCUAUCAUUAUAUUAAAUAGGGAUAAUUAGAGUGGACAUCCUUGUCUUGUCCCAAAUUUAAAGGAAAUUCUUUUCAGUUUUUCUCCAUUUACUAUGAGGUUGGUUUUGAGAUUUUCAUAUACUGCCUUUAUGAUGUAGGUUUCUUUAUCCCUAGUUUCUUCCGUGUGUGUGUGUUUUUUUUUUAAUCAUGAAAGAGUGCUGAAUUUUGUCAAAGGCCUUCUCUGCAUCUAUUGAAAUGACUAAGUGAUUUUUGUCCUUAAUUCUGUUAAUGUGAUGAGUUACAGUUAUUGAUUUGCAUUAUUAAACCAUCUUCGCAUCUCUGCAACAAACCAGCUAGGUCUUGGUGUGCAGUCUUUUUAAUAUGUUAUUAAACACAAGUUGCUAAUAUUUUAUUGAGUAUUUUUACAUCUAAGUUCAUCAGGGAUAUUGGUCUGUAGUUUCCUUUCCUUGAUGUAAGAUAUUGGACUAUUUUCAAAGUUGUUUUCAUCUCUUGUCCAGGAUGCUCCUUUCCUCUUGGCUUUUCUCAUUAGCACCUCCUGGCUGGGUUCAAAAGCCACGGCACCUCCUUCCUCCCAGUCUAUAGCCCAGCCACAUUUUCUUUAGAUAAAAAUGCUUUUUUCAAAGCCCAACUUAAUAUCCAUUUCCUCUAAGAAAACUUCUGAAUUCCUCCAGUCCAGUCCAAAAGGAUUUUCUCUUUUUUUUUCUUCUUAAUGAAUAUCUUUAGCCCUUUAUUAAAUAGGUCACACCGGCCUCUGUAAGUGACCUUUACCUACAAGUUAUUUUUACAUUAUGUCUUCCUUAUUAAGUUAAAAAUGUGAGGGCAAAAGGCUUGCCAUGAACAUCUUUAUAUUUUCUGUAAAUAUUACAGAAAUAUUUUAAUAUUUAAAAUAUUUUAAUAAAUAAUUAAUAUCUACUCAGCAAUACGAGGGGUAUAAUAAGUCAAUAAAAGGAGUCACUAUUUAUUGAUUUGAAGUGUAAACUCUUAAUAAUUUGUGAGAGGAAUUAGGAAUUAAGGUAAAAGUACCCUGUUUCUUCUGGAUAAAACUAAUCAGAUUCUAUCUUGUUUUGCUUCUUUGAAGAAUUGUGAUGAAAUCAAGAAAUCUAUUUGUUGUUUUUAAAAAUCUCGAGGAAGCUAUUUUAUUUUAUUUAGAAUUCUUUGACUUAACAAAACAAAACAAAACAAAAAGGUAAUUGAUUCAACCUAUCUUUGAGUUCCUUGGAGGCAUGGGGCCAUGCGGUUACUGUGUUGACUGCAGCUUAUCCUUGUGAUAGGUUCUGGAAUAUUUAAAAUUUUCCCCCUCUGCAGAGAAAUAUCCUAUUUAAACGGAGCCUGGGGGAAAAAAAAUAAGCAGAACGACCUCGUUUUUUUGCCCUUCCUGCUCCCUCUCAAGCCUCUCACACUGUACUCUCUAGGCCUAUAGGCAACACUUGCGAGAUGUGUCUUCCUUUCCUAAACUCUUUGCAAUUAAGUGGCUUUGAUCUUCAUCACACUUGAGAAACAGUUUUUGAAAAGGUCAGUAGUGACUUCCUUUUUGUCAAAAUCUCUCAGCAGCAUUUGCAGUUGAUCACCUCCUCCUUGUGACUCUCCACAGCCUUGGCUUUGACCUUGUUCCUCUCUAGUUUUUGUCCUAGGGGGAGGGAGAAUUAAUUUGUUAAACACACAUCCUGGUGCUGGGAGUUUUCUCAGUGCCGUUGUAUUUGAGCCUAUGUCAGCCCUUGGAGGCAGGGGACAUUCUAGUACACCAUCACUGCAGUAUGAAUUUGUUUUGUUUCCUUGGUUAAUUAUUUCCUACAGGUGGGGCUCCUGGGGCUCAGCUGGUUAUGUUAAUUGACAGUGGAUUCUACCUAUGAACUCCACUGCCUCUCUUGUCGCCCACAGUGCCUGACACAGCAAGUCUUCCCUGGCUUAAUAAAUAUUUGUUGACUGAUUGUAGAUGAAAGUGCCCCGACCUUGAAAAGGAAGACCGACAGGAACAUGGAUCAGGGUUUGGUUGAAUAUCUUUUUGUUUCUCAAAGUGCUUGUAGAGAGCAGGGAGCAGCGCUGUCAGUCAUGUAUCACCUUAUAAGAAGAAGUAACUCAUUCAUAAGAAAAUCACAUGGGACAUUAAUCUAGAAAACCAUUAGCCACCAUCACGUGUAGGCCAGAGCAGACUUCCUUCUGACCAUAGGAGAACCCUCAUCGGGAAGUGACUGAACGAACCCUGAGGUCUCUGUCUGAAUUAGAUCAGGGCGAUUAUAUUUAUUAUCGACUCUGGGCAACUUUGCCCAGUUUCUGCGUCAGAUGCGCUGAAUUUGUACUUUCUGUCUGACACACAGACACUUUAUCUCUCAUUUCCAUGUGAGAUUAAGGCUGGCCGUGGUGAGAUGGGAGCGUGGGGGCAGUGCUGGUGAAGUUAGUCUGUGUCACCCUCUCUGUUUCCUCUUACAGUCCCUUUAUCCCCUUUCAGUUCCUCCUUUCCCACCAGGUGCAGCUGGGUUUUUGCUUCCCCAUUGACUCUCUCUGGCGUAGGGGAAGUGAUGGGAACUAACUUUUGCGUGUGUGCCUACUGUGAAGCAGGCUCAGGAUUGGAUAUUCUCGAGUCACUGCUGCAUCUAGAGUCUCUUGGUAACUCUGUAAGGCAGCUUUUGCUAUUUCUAUAUCACAGAUUGAAACUGAGGUUUUGAGAGGGUAGGAAAUUUGUUCAAGUCUCACAGCUUAUAUAGACAAAGGUGGGAUUUGAAGCUUGACCUGACUUCCAAACAUCUGGAUUCCCCAUGUUGUAUAAGCCUGUCUUCUCAGAAGGGAAGAAAUGAGAUAAAACGGUUUAACAGCUUUGUAGCUUAUGACAGGGAGAACAAUGCUCUUCCAAUAAAACCCCAGCAAAAUUUUGCCAUGGUUAGCAGGCUGAAGCAUUCAGGGUGGACGGGGCAGUAUCUUGUCUGUUGGUACAUGUGACUGAUUGGGGGAUAGGAUCCUCUUGUGUUUACAUGUGCCCCAUAGCAUUGUAGCUGACCUCUUCAUGUAAGCAUCUUUGGCCACUUGUGCUCCAUUACCUAGCCUUCAGCACUUAGAGACUUUUUUUUUUUCUUUGAUGGAUGUUCUUUCAUUAGUCCUGGGAAAAUGAAUUUAGUGAGCUAAGCCUUCCCUUUUAAUCAAAGGAAAUGCCUACUUUAAAAUAAGGAGCAAAACUCUCCCAUGAGCACUAAGUUCAUUGAUCAUGGGGCUGUGUCCAGGAUCCAGAUGAAUGCCUUUGAGUCAUGUCACAUGACUCAACUGUGAGCUUGCUUGAUGCUGCCUGUUAGGAGUUUAGGAGCUUCUGUGGGGCAAGGAUCGUGGCAGGAACAGUACAUGGUUGAAAAUGAGCACACUUACAAUAUUCUAAGAAUAAUUUAAAGAACUGUGAUUAGGUCUGGAUCCUCAAAAUAAACCUAAGUUUCGUGGUGAUGAUUUGUUUAUUCUUACAUUUAAAUAUAUUUAGGUUAACUUACUGUAGUUAGCACUUUAAGAAAACAAGCAAAUCAAAUGCUGAUCAUUCAUUUUUAGUCCUAAUUUCCAUAAUAAAAAAUCAUAUAAUUGAAUAAUUGACAUUUAAAUUUAUGUAUGACUUUUAUAAUUUUAUCAUAAGAUGGGUGAUUGGGAGGGGAGGGGGGAUAGGAAGGGGAUGGGAAGGACAGCAGAAUACAACAGACACUAGUAUGGCAGUAUGUAUAAAUGUGGCUGUAUAACCAAUGUGAUCCUGCAAUUUGUACACGUGGGAAAAAUAAGAAUUCAUACCCCAUUUGAAUCAAAUGUAUGAUAUAUGAUAUGUCAAGAUCAUUGUAAUGUUUUGAGCAACUAAUAAAAAAAUAGUUAAGAAUAGAUUUCACAAAUGUUUCCUUUUAAUAUAAUCAAGAUUUAAAAAGGAAGUUAUUUUAAAUUUAGAUAUGGAUAUCAGGUUAAUAUAGGUCUUUGCCAUGAUUAAAAUAUCUAGCUCCACAGUCUUUUGAAUACUUACUCUUAUUUGAUUUUAUACAUGUAUAUUUAAAAAAUUAUUUUGUAAAAAUUUUAAAAGGUAAUAAAAUUAUAUUAUCUGUGAGAAAAAAAUAAGAUGGGUGAUUUUUGCAUUAAGGACUUUGUCAGUUUUCCUAAGGGCUUCUUUUAAUUAUUAUUUUUUAUUCAAUUCUAUUUUUCUUUCUUUCUUUCUUUCUUUUUUUUUUUUUGCUAUGCCUGUUACAUCAGCAUCUUUACUGAUUUCCUACUCACUAAUUUAUUGAUAUUAAUCUAUCUCUGUCUGCUCCUAUUUGGUGUGUUGGGGUGUGUGUGAGAGAGAGAGAGCGAGUGAGAGGGAGGGGAUCUAAGAAAGAUUCUCAACAUCACUUUCAUCAACCAGUGGAAUAAAAAAUUUUAAAUCCAGAGUUCUGCUGGAAGACUUCUAAUUAUCUCUAUUGUGAAGCCUUUUAAGAGAUCUGAGAGGUGGUGCAAUUUUGAUUCGAGGUGGGAUAAGGAGAUGGUAAGAUCAAAUGGCACUUAAGUUCCAGGCCUGUCAUAUUCUUGUGUUAUGCUUCUCAAAAAAGCAGGGGGUUCAUUUAGCUUCCAUUGACUUCACUACUGAUAUCUUUGUUUCUUUAAACCUCAUUUAUAAUUAUAUUCUAUAUAAAUUUAAUUAAUAAGAAUCAGUUUUUGUCCUAGCAUUUAGACAAAGAGAACAGGUUAUUUAAACAAACAAAACAGGUUAUUGGCAAAGGAUAGGCCUGCUUAUUCAUCUCUCCUUUCUCCCCUACAGAAAUAGGUAUGUCCACAUAUUCGAAUAACAACAUUAUUUGCAAAGUAUAGAGGAAUUUCAGAGAGAGGACAAUACUUGCUUUUUCCUGUUGCUGCUUUAACACGCUGUCAACUAUGUAAAACAAGAUUUUUUCCUUUCUCUUAUUAAAGCUGGAUGAGGGAAUUUGGUUAAUUCUGUCUCUCUUUCCACUAGAUUGCCAACUCCUUGACAAAACUCGUCUUUUUUUGUUCUGUGUCCCCAGGAUCUCACUUAGGAACUCCAUUGAUGUCUGUUAUAUUUGUCUUUAAUUGAUGUAGAAAUGAAGAACCUCACUUAGAAGGAAGGAAAUGGUAAAUGGUUGUGAUGGGAAUGAAGCGAGCUGUACUGACUCAGUGAGGACAGGAAAUAAAACACGGUUGACUGGCAAAAAGAAGCCAGGACAGAGGGUAGUGUGUUAUGAAAGGGGCAGAGGCCAGAGUGGAUGGCUAUUCCCCUGGAAAAGUGAGCAAGCUAGAACAGGCUGGCCUGAGCACAUGCAUGCUUGUAAACAGACUGCUAGUGACAGGCCACAACCAGCCUCUAUAGUCACUUUCCAUACUGCGUCCUAAUAGGAAAUGACACUCUCUCAGCAAGUGUCAAUAUGACAUUUAGUCUGUGAUUAAUACAAGGCGAUGGCAUCUCCUUAAAAAUGGAGAUUUCCAAUGACCAUACCAGAAACUUCCAGUCACUAACAGAGGAAGGAGACAUUUUUUGGAAAACAUGUUUCUGUUGAAUGCACUCAUAUAGCUGAGAAGGAAAGUUAAUUAAACAGAUGAGAAACUUCCUGAGAGGCAUUGGAUCAAACCUUAUUUCCUCCAAAAGAAGCAUGAAAACCGUAAUAACUGGCAUUCACUGUUUGGGGACUUGGCCAUCCUUGGUUUGCUUUUACUUGGUGGGAAGAGAAGAAGGUGAUACCCCUGCUUUUGGGUUGGGUUCACUGAGUCACCAACUUUGGUUUUCUCUUAUGCAGAACGUGUCUUAAAUUGAGCUCCAGGUGGUCUGAGUGGGGUCUGCCUUGAUACAGUCACUGUGCCCAAAAGGACAUUCUCAGCCAUCUCUCUCUGCUUGUAGUAGCUCAGGAAACAGAAACAAAUUUUGAUUUCAGUGAAUCCAAACUUUAUUAGCAAAGGAGAUAUGAAGCAUGAAGGAGAUGAAAGCAUGAAGCUCCUGCCAAGGCCACACACAUCUGUUAACAUUCUUUUGAUUGCUUCCCAUUUGGCUUAUUCUUGCCACCUCUGUCUCUCCAUCUCAGAGUAUAUAAGUAAGAUUUCAUUGCACUGGAACUUUGUGCAUUAUCUCGUCAUCAUUAGAGAGCUAACACUGACUUAGAAGAUCGGAGAGUUGAAAGCUCUCUCUGAAGGGUAUGAACCUUCACUUCCAUUUCUCAGUGUUUCUGCUUCUCUGAAAUAGGGAAGAGUGUAGGUCUUCGUUUCCUAGUGCCCCACUUGUCUUAUCAUUAUUAUUAUUUGUACUUUGCAAAACUGAGUCACUGAAACCUAUUUCCUAUUUCACCACCCUGCAGACAUGGUGUCAUUAUUAAGAAAAGAAACCUUUUUAUUCUUCGUGGGUUAUCAGGAAUAUCUAAGUUGUAGAUCUCUAUCACAGGACAUUAGUUUGUGAUAUAAUAGCUGUUCUUAAGAGUUGCUCUUUCAGUCUUCAAAGUUAGUAACUAUUGGGCCAACUGAAGUUCAUAAAAGGUAAAUCAAGUACCAGAUUUCACUUAAAUACAUAUGAAAGAUGAAUAAAGAGAAAUUGUAACCAUGCUCCUUUUCAAUUGGAAAUUAUUGGAGGAUUUAAAAAAUAUAGAGUGCUGAGAGCAAAAUAUCAAUGAAAACGAGAUUUGGAUAGCUACUACAUAACACACUGCAGGCUGAUGCAGGAAAUAGAAACCCCNNNNNNNNNNNNNNNNNNNNNNNNNNNNNNNNNNNNNNNNNNNNNNNNNNNNNNNNNNNNNNNNNNNNNNNNNNNNNNNNNNNNNNNNNNNNNNNNNNNNNNNNNNNNNNNNNNNNNNNNNNNNNNNNNNNNNNNNNNNNNNNNNNNNNNNNNNNNNNNNNNNNNNNNNNNNNNNNNNNNNNNNNNNNNNNNNNNNNNNNNNNNNNNNNNNNNNNNNNNNNNNNNNNNNNNNNNNNNNNNNNNNNNNNNNNNNNNNNNNNNNNNNNNNNNNNNNNNNNNNNNNNNNNNNNNNNNNNNNNNNNNNNNNNNNNNNNNNNNNNNNNNNNNNNNNNNNNNNNNNNNNNNNNNNNNNNNNNNNNNNNNNNNNNNNNNNNNNNNNNNNNNNNNNNNNNNNNNNNNNNNNNNNNNNNNNNNNNNNNNNNNNNNNNNNNNNNNNNNNNNNNNNNNNNNNNNNNNNNNNNNNNNNNNNNNNNNNNNNNNNNNNNNNNNNNNNNNNNNNNNNNNNNNNNNNNNNNNNNNNNNNNNNNNNNNNNNNNNNNNNNNNNNNNNNNNNNNNNNNNNNNNNNNNNNNNNNNNNNNNNNNNNNNNNNNNNNNNNNNNNNNNNNNNNNNNNNNNNNNNNNNNNNNNNNNNNNNNNNNNNNNNNNNNNNNNNNNNNNNNNNNNNNNNNNNNNNNNNNNNNNNNNNNNNNNNNNNNNNNNNNNNNNNNNNNNNNNNNNNNNNNNNNNNNNNNNNNNNNNNNNNNNNNNNNNNNNNNNNNNNNNNNNNNNNNNNNNNNNNNNNNNNNNNNNNNNNNNNNNNNNNNNNNNNNNNNNNNNNNNNNNNNNNNNNNNNNNNNNNNNNNNNNNNNNNNNNNNNNNNNNNNNNNNNNNNNNNNNNNNNNNNNNNNNNNNNNNNNNNNNNNNNNNNNNNNNNNNNNNNNNNNNNNNNNNNNNNNNNNNNNNNNNNNNNNNNNNNNNNNNNNNNNNNNNNNNNNNNNNNNNNNNNNNNNNNNNNNNNNNNNNNNNNNNNNNNNNNNNNNNNNNNNNNNNNNNNNNNNNNNNNNNNNNNNNNNNNNNNNNNNNNNNNNNNNNNNNNNNNNNNNNNNNNNNNNNNNNNNNNNNNNNNNNNNNNNNNNNNNNNNNNNNNNNNNNNNNNNNNNNNNNNNNNNNNNNNNNNNNNNNNNNNNNNNNNNNNNNNNNNNNNNNNNNNNNNNNNNNNNNNNNNNNNNNNNNNNNNNNNNNNNNNNNNNNNNNNNNNNNNNNNNNNNNNNNNNNNNNNNNNNNNNNNNNNNNNNNNNNNNNNNNNNNNNNNNNNNNNNNNNNNNNNNNNNNNNNNNNNNNNNNNNNGUGUGUGUGUGUGUGUGUGUGUGUGUGUGUGUGUUGGGGAUAUUGGAUUGGGAGUAGUACAGAAGGGAGGAGCUGUAGGAGUUGGCUCAUUCUUCACCAUGAUUCCAGAUCAGAACUAGAUGUUAGAGGCAUGAAACCAACAGAGCUGUGCUUUCCCAAAUACUGAUACUGCCACUGUACUCUUCCCACUGAGAAGAUUUGAAUCACCAACCUUCUUUAUGUCUCUUGUUACUAUUGUAAAAAAAAAAUGCUUGGUUCACCAAAGAUUUAUUAAGCAGUGUAUAAGUGUAUAUUCAUGUUCAAGAUUUUUUUUUACAUGUAGAUCAAUUCUAGAUCUUGUUUAUUUUUUUUUAUUUUUUAUAUUUUGGUGGUGCUGGGAAUUGAACCCAGGCCUUAUGCAUGUAAGACAAGCACUCUACCAAUUGAGCUAUAUCCACAGCCCUAGAGUUUUUAAUUAAGUAAAAAAUUUGGAAGUAGAUUAAGAGGUCUCAUAGGAACAGUCCAGGCUCCUAAGGACCAAAGUCUGGGAUUUUAGAAUGGGCCAUCAUUCUGGAACAGUGAGCUUGCAAACAUUAUUGUAUAGAUGCCCACGAUAUCCACGAAUGGAGAUUUUUGUCAAAUUAUUUUAUUUUAUUUUUUGCCAGAUUUGAUAUGCAGUGAGAAAGCAGAGGAAAAAGACCUGAAAAUUUAGAUGGGACUGCUACACAUGUAAAUAUAAAAUAGUUUGAUAAGACAUAAACAUUGCAGCAUCAAAAGAUUGUGUCCACUGGAGGGGCAAUGGUAGACAAUGACAGAUUCUAUUCAAUGAUAGAGAAAAUUUGGAGAUAAUUCCUCUUCCAUCAGGUAGUCUGGAUGAAUUAACGUCUUUCCUCGGAGAAACUUAGAUUCUCAUUACAUCAGGUUGAGCCAUCAGGGGCAGGAUAAUAGAACAUACACUGCAAUGGCAUACACUGUUCAUGCAGGACCAGAGAAAUCACUGAUAAAUGAGAAAAAUAAACUAUUUUUCCAUUUUUUGUACCAUCCAAAAUUUUUCUGUCAUAUUAAAAAAAAAGCUAGAGCAAGUACAGGCAGAGUACAAGUUCUCUCUCAUUCUUUCUCACUCUCUAUGUAGAGGAGUGUGUGUAUGUGUGUGUGUGUAUGUUUGUGUGUGUGUGUAUGUGUGUUAUGGUUUGGAUUUUUAAUGUGCGAUAGGCAUUGCCAGCCUAUGGUACUACAGGGAAAUGGUGGUGGAGCCUUUAGGCAGUUGGCCCCAGUGGAGGGACAUUAGGUCAAUGGAAAUGUGCCCUUGAAGGGGACAUUUAGACCCUGGACCCCUAUUUCCUUUCUUUGCUUCCAGUUUCCAUGAGGUGAGCAACUCCUCUGCCAUGCCAUCUCACCAUUAUGUACUGCAUUGCCAUAGGCCCAAAGGCACAGGGCCAAGAAGCCAUGGACUGGAACCACUUCAACUUUGAGCCAAAAUAUAUGUUUUUCUCCUUUUAAGUUGUUUACAUCAGGUGUUUUGUCAUGGUAAUAGAAAUUUGACUAACAUGAUAUUUAUUUGUAUCCUUAUCUUUAUAUAUCUGUGUAAUAUAAAUAAAUUAAUACAGGCAUAUAAUAAACACAUCAAACAAUGUAAACUAGAAUAUGCUCACCCCCUUUCUCAGGCUCAUAAUCAAUUGCUCUUAAUAAUAAUUUUCUACUAAUAGAUUGAUUAAUAUAUUCUAAGCUUUUUUUCUAGACAUAUGGCAAACACAUGAACAGAAAUAUAUGAUUUUUGCAUAAAUUGAAAUGAAAUGUUUAUUUCUUUUUAUCAUUUACUAUUUAAAAAAUUUUUUUUAUGAUUUAAUUUUUAUUCACAGUACAUUUUGGGGCACAUUUUCAUGUCAUACACAUGUAUCCAUAUAAUUUGAAGAAAUGAUCAUGUCACAUUAUAUCUGUUUUAAAGCUUAAUCAUGUUUUUUGAAGAGGGGGUACCAGGAAUUAAACCCAGAGAGGCUUAACCACCACCCACAUUCCCAGCUGGUUUUAUUUUUUAUUUAGAGACAGGGUCUCACUAAGUUGCUUAGGGCCUCGCUAAGUUGCUGAGGCUGGCUUUGAACUUAUGAUCUUCUUGCCUCAGGCUUCUGAGCUGCUGGGGUACAGGCGUGAGCCACGGUGCCCAGCUAUGGUUUUUUUAAAAAACUACCUUCUUAAGGACAUUUAUACUAUUUCCAGCUUUUCUGACUCUCAAAAAAGUUCUUGCUGAGUAUGGUGGUGCACGCCUAUAUUCCCAGCUACUUGGGAGACUAAGGCAAGAGGAUUUUACUUAUGAAGCCAGCCCGGGCAACUUAAUGAGACCCUGACUCAAAAUAAAAAUUGAAAGGGCUGAAGAUAUAGCUCAGUGGUAGAGUGCUUGCCAACUAUAUGCAAGGUCCUGGGUUUAAUCCCCUAGUACUGAAACAAACAAACAAAAAACAAGAAAAAGAAAAAAAUUCUAUAAGAAAUAGUUAUGAUUUGUAGACUUACUUUCAUAAGCAGAAUUCCCAGAAGUAGAAUUGCUUGAUCAAAGCACCUAGGUAUACAUUUAAAAUAUUUGUAGGUGUUGUCAACUUGUUCUCCAUAAAUUUAAGAUGUAUUUAUAUUUCUAGAUACAUUCUAAGGGGCUGGGGAUGUGGCUCAGGCAGUAGCACGCUCGCCUGGCAUGCGUGCGGCGCGGGUUGGAUCCUCAGCACCACAUACUAACAAAGAUGUUGUGUCCGCCAAAAACUAAAAAAUAAAUAAAUAAAAAUUCUCUCUCUCUCUUUAAAAAAAAUAGAUACAUUCUAAGAAUUUUUAUUUAUAAAUACCCUCAGCAAAAAUGGUAUUUUUAAUCUAAUAUGGAUAACUUUGUUAUCUUAAUGCUUGAAAUUGCAUUUCUUUAUUAGUGAGACUUUUGUAUUAUUGAUCACAUAGAAUUUUCCUGUGAAUUACUUAUUAAAAAUUUUUGUCAUUUUUUUCCUUUAGUUUAUCCCCAUUUUACUUCCUUUUUAUUGAUUUUUUUAAAAAAAAUGACAGUGGAAUGCAUUACAAUUCUUAUUAGACAUAUACAGCACAAUUUUUCAAAUUCUCUGGUUGUAUAUAAAGUAUGUUGACACCAAUUCAUGUCUUCAUACAUGUACUUUGGAUAAUGAUGUCCAUCACAUUCCACCACCCUUGCUAACCCCCUGCCCCCUCUCAUUCCCUCCCACCCCUCUGCCCUAUCUAGAGUUCCUCUAUUCCUCCCAUGCUCCCCCUCUCUACACCACUAUGAAUCAGCCUCCUUAUAUCAGAGAAAACAUUCAGCAUUUGUUUUUUUGGGAUUGGCUAAUUUCACUUAGCACUAUUUUCUCCAACGUCAUCCAUUUACCUGCAAAUGCCCUGAUUUUAUUCUCUUUUAUUGCUGAGUAAAAUUCCAUUGUAUAUAUAUGCCACAUUUUUUUUUAUCCAUUCAUCUACUGAAGGGCAUCUUCAUCAUGUGGGAUUAGGUGCCAGCUUCCUUAAUAAGACUCCUAUAGCACAAGAAUUAAAACCAAGAAUCAAUAAAUGGAAUGGAUUCAAACUAAAAAGUUUCUUCUCAGCAAAGGAAACAAUCUGUGAGGUGAACAGAGAGCCUACAUUCUGGAAGCAAAUUUUUACCCCUCACACAUCAGAUAGAACAAUAAUCUCUAGGGAACAUAAAGAACUCAAAAAGCUAAGCACCAAAAAAACAAAUAAACCAAUCAAUAAAUGGGCCAAGGACCUGAACAGACACUUCUCAGAAGAGGAUAUACAAUCAAUCAACAAAUAUAUGAAAAAAUGUUCAUCAUCUCUAGCAAUUAGAGAAAUGCAAAUUAAAACCACUUUAAGAUUUCAUCUCACUCCAGUCAGAAUGGCAGAUAUUAUGAAGACAAACAACAAGUGUUAGCGAGGAUGUAGGGAAAAAGGUACACUCAUACAUUGCUGGUGGGACUGCAAAUUGAUGCAGCCAAUAUGGAAAGCAGUAUGGAGAUUCCUUGGAAGUCUGGGAAUGGAACCACCAUUUGACCCGCCUAUCCCUCUCCUCAAUCUAUACCCAAAGGACUUAAAAUCAGCACACUACAGGGACACAGCCACAUCAAUUUUUAUAGCAGCACAAUUCACAAUAGCUAAACUGUGGAACCCAUUUUACUUCUUUUUUUUUUUUUUUUGGUACUGGGGUUUGUACCCAGGGGCUCUUAACCACUGAGUCACAUUCCCAGCCCUUUUUAUUUUUCUUUUGGGGAUAGGGUCUUAUUAAGUUACUUUAGGGCCUCACUAAGUUGCUGAGUCUGGCUUUGAACUUGUGAUCCUCCCGAGCCUCUGGGAUUACUGGUGUGUGCCACCACACCUGGCCCCCUUUUACUUCUUACCUCCUUAUAUUUUAUAAAUGUUAACCUUAGUAUUUUCUACACUUGGCAAAUAUUUUAUCCAGUUUUCCAUUGGGUCACUUGUCAUUCUUCAACCUUCUGUAUUUUUCCCUCUGAGCAUGUCAAGUUGAAGAGAUGGAUUUAUUUUCACUAACAUUUGUGUUAAAUGAAUAGUAGAGAAAAUACAACUUAAUGACUCAGGUUAAUUAAAAGAAGACCUUGACUUUUAUAUUGAAUUCACUGAUUUUUAGACUAACUUCUUUUACAGUUUUCAUCACAAAACUAAUAGAGUUGAUAGAAACCAUUAAUAGCUUUUUUGUUUCUCUCUCCCAUUUUCUUUCUGGUUAUUUUUUUUUCCCACACCCAGAGGACUCCAUUGGCAUUUUUGUUUCACUUCCAUGGUGACAAAGUGAUAAGUCAUUAUAGGUAGUUUAGUAAACAAAAGACAGAAUAUAUAGGUAAUAGAUUUGUACUGUAAAUUCAGUUCUUUUAUAAAAAAUGUAGAUGAUAUUGCCUGUUUCUUGAUUUAGAGGGAUCUGGAAAUAAUAAUUUGUAUCAUGAAUAUGCAACUCUCUUGGCCUUCAUCAUAUCUUGCUGGAGGUGGCUGGUUGUUUGCAGGUAAAGGGUGAGCCCCUGAGAUGUCCUGGUCUAUAUGGGUCAGUCACUAUGUACUCACUGCCACAUUUCAUCCUUCUAGUGACCUCCUGAGAAAUGGAUAAGAAAGUCCUAAUUUUUACAGGCAAUAAAACAGGCUUUGGCCCAUGAAGCAGUAUGCACACAGUCAUAAUACAGUGAAAGAGAGAUAUGAACCUGGGGCUGAAUGGAGUGACCUUGAAGAAGUGUAGGAUUGACAACAAAGCUGAGUUUUCUUUUUCUUUUUUUCUAUUCUGUCUUAUCUAUCUAUCUAUCUGUCUAUCUAUUUAUUUAUGUUGUGAUGCUGGAGAUUGAACCUUGUACAUGUGAGGCAAGCACUCUACCAACUGAGCUAUAACCCCAGCCCUAUUCUCUUCAUUUUUGACAGAGUCCUUGACGUAGGUUUCAAUAUCUAUUGACUGUAUUUAAAUGUCUGUGUUCUUUUUAAUGUUCCAUGCUGUAUCUGGAACAAGGAUGAUAGUUAGUCUUCCUCUUAACAUUAUUAUAAAGUUUAUCUUUCAUUCUCAAAUGAGAGCAACAGCUUCAUUCUUUAUUUUUGUAAUUUAUAACUUAUUGAUUGGUUUAUUCAAGCUCAUGCAGGCUCCUGAAGAGGAAGAAUGAUGAAUUAUCUAACAUUGCUUUUAGACUAAUUUUGGCUGAAAAGCCUCAACCUGACUAAACUGGAAAUUUUAUGUCUUUAUUGAAGAAUUAUGGGUCUAUCCUUUUUUCCAAAUUAAUUUUUCAAACCAAAGUAAAUUGUAGGCCACAGAAAGGUUUUGUGCAAUUUGUUAAAGAAACUUUUGAGUGUUUACCAAGUACUUAACACUGUGUUAUAUAUUAGGGAUAUUAUAUUGAAUAAAAUGUCUCCUAUAAAUAUAAAAUGUAUGUCAAUACAAAGAGAAUAUCAUAACAUGAUAUACAAUCAAAAAACAUUUUCCUCAUUAGAAAUGCUUGCUAGAAAUCUAGAAAUAAUAAGUUAGCCAUUUAGGAAAAUUUCCCCAUGCAUAUACCUCUGAUAAGGUGCAAAUAUUUUAACAUAUUUGAGGCAAUUAACCCUUCCUAUUGUGCUUCUCAAAGAGAAUAAGGCUAUGUCCCAAGGAAGCGAUUGUUCUAAAUUUAUUAUUCAAUUCAGCUAAACAAUUGGUUUUAUUUUUUCUCCUGAGUAAAAAUUGGUUAGCUGUUCUUUUAUCACAUUUCAAACAAAUUAUUUUUUCUUCAUAUACUGAAUUUGUAAUUUUCUGGUUUUCAUUAUGAAAACAACAAUUAACAAAAAGUGAAAUAUACCAAAAACCCCAGGAAGAUACAUGUUUUUGAAUACUUUGUUUACUAUAGUCAAGUAUGCAUCCAGAUAAUUUCAUAUUAUUGCACAUCUUCUGUAGUUCUUCAUUUAAAGAAGUAUAUUUAUUCUGUGGAUAAGUCUUAAACAUACUUUUUUUUCUUAAAAGAGAAAUAUAUGGUGUAUAUAUGUUCAUAAGAUCUGAGAAAUAAAAACAGUUUCGUGUAAGUUUAUCUUACCAAAGUCAGUAAUCUAUAUGUCCCUUAUAAAAUAUCUUCCAGCACAUGCUGAAAAGAUUUUCUCUUUGAUUAGUAACACAAAGACAAUGAAAACAGGUAGAUUAGGACAAGAAGCCAAAUGACCUAAGAGGAUUAAAAGAUUAAUGCCAAGCAGAGGGAGGCUCUCUGCUCUGCACACCCUCCAGGCUAUACAGAGCAGGCUAUAUAUCUGCAAAAUAGAGGCUCUUUCAGAAAAUGUCCUUUAUCAGUAAGAGUUUAGCUUGCCCUUGACCAUUUGGGGCACAUGAGAUAAAUAGUUAAUGAAGGUCUUUAUGAAAAACACAAUAGCACAUUACAUUUCUUACUCUGAAAUUCUAGGGCUCUUUCAGUUGGAAGAAGAGAGGAUCCUAGUGUUACCCUAAAUAUCAAAGUCUGUAAUUUUACUCAGAAAAUAGAAACCAAUUCAACAAGCUACUAUUAUAAUGCUGUGCAUUGAUGAAUCUUAGAUCCUCAAUUUCUGUGCUAAACAGCCUCCUUUCUGUGGCAAAAAUGAGUUCAAUUUUCACUUUUAUCCUGACAAAACUUUACCAUCAUUCUCCUAAGGCCUAAUUAGAGACUGGGAUUUUAAAAAUGUUUCUUUAAAAUAUUAAGCAGUAGAUUUAACAGAAAAGUGUCCCAUCCUUUGUAGACUGUUCCAAUGACAGAUAAGAAUUGAAGCACAACUGAUACGAUAGUUUUAUCAUCAGCAACACAAUGAGGUUUCUCUAAAUCCACCAGAAAAAGGUCAGACUACUGGCUGCAUGAAUGUGGCAUACCCAGGAACCCAGGUAGGGGGAAGUUGACUAUUCAGUUAAGAAAUAGUAGAGACUAGCAGAUAUAGAAAAAGAUGCUCAACCUCAUGAACAAUUAGGAAAAUGAAAACUAGAAUGACAAUAGUACACUGACCAGAUUGGCUAAAAUCAGGUUGCAAAAUCACAUCCAAAGGAAGCUUGGUAUUUCUGAGGGAAGCUGGAGAUGUACAUAACACAUGACCUGGCAAUUUUGGGAAUGUACCCAGGAGAAAUGUUUGCAAAUGGGCCCUGGACCUAUGUAUAAUGGAAAAGUAAAUUGCAAUACUAAAAGUAACAUAAAUGAACAAAUGACAAUUACAGGCAACAUCGAUGGAAAUGAUCAUGAUUGAAGGGUUCAACAAAGGAAUCAAAGGAUCACAUGCAUUAUGUUUCUGUUCCUAGGAAAUUCAGAACAGACUAACCAAACUCUAUUGCUUGGUAUGCAUGCAUAACUAGUAGCCCUGAAAAGAAAACACAAGUAAGGAUAAUGGUUUUCUCUAGGAGAGAGGAACACAUAGGCAGCUUCUGGGUUGUUGAUAACAUUGUAUGUAUUGAUCUGAAUUGGACUAUUUGUUGAAAUAAUUAUCACAAAGUUCAAAGAUACUUUAUGUACUUUUCUAUGUGCAUGUUAUAUAGUGCAAUAAAAAUAAACACAUACUCAUAAACACAGGUUCUGAAACUAUUGUGCACAGCGUGUGAUUAUACUGUGCCUAAUACACUAGAUUGGGCUUAGGUGUAUGGAAAGCAGUUCAGGACUGACAUCUAAGAAGAAAAUGUGCACUGAACUCGAGGUGCAUUCUCUUUUAUGUAACAUCAUUGCUUGACCAUGAUCCAGGAUUGGGUUAUUAUCCCACAAAAUCCUGUUCAAUUCAACCAACUUCAUUCAUUCUUGUGACUGUUCACUUAGGCUUUUUGCAUUGGGGUAUUAGUCAUAGGUAUUAAUAUUUUAAAUUAGAAUUGGUUGGGAAUCUCUAAGAAUUGCUCAAGACUUUUGUUUUCAUUCCAGUGCUGCUUUCUUUCUAAAUGACGUGUAAAUUGGUUUCUGUUAGCCUCUUUGUACCUCAAGUGGCACAGGCUGUGUUCCAUAGAUAGGAAAGGAGAAAAUAUUUUCAAUGAUUUUUUUUUUUAUCAUCUCCAAACAUACGAGCAGGAGACUAUCUGAAAGAUGUUUUCAUCUGACUAAUUAGGUUAGAAAUCUCAGGAGAAAAGUCCUAUUUGCUGUAUUUUAAUGGAAAUGCUUGUUUCUGCUUGAGAAUCUUGCAAGAACAGAUUUCUCCUUUGGCACUUCCUGCUGAACUUCAAGUAGGAAGGAAAAAAAGAGCCUUUUAUUUCUCAUCAUUUGGGAAACUUAAACUUGGGCUGCAAGCAACUCAUGUGCAAAGACUGUGACUUCUUAAUUUUGCUAAAUACAUAUUGUAUAACAUGGAGCUGUGUAGAAUGCCAGAAAUUAAUGCUUUUUUGCCUUCCAGAAUUAUGCUACUUCAGUGCUGUAUUCCUAAGGGCCUGAUUUUAGUACAGGCAAGUCAAAGGAUGGAGUGUAAAACACUUCUAUCUUUAUUUGAAACUGGUUUUAUUUUAUUUUAUUUUCAUUUUAAGGUCUAUGAAUGGGAAUAGUUGGAAUGAACUGUUCUUCCAUUUUCUCAUUACCUUAUAUUUGCCUGUCUUACCUUCUUUUUUUUUUUUUAAUUUUUUAUUGUUGGCUGUUCAAAACAUUACAUAGUUCUUGAUAUAUCAUAUUUCACAAUUUGAUUCAAGUGGGUUAUGAGCUCCCAUUUUUACCCCAUAUACAGAUUGCAGAAUCACGUCAGUUACACAUCCAUUGAUUUACAUAUUGCCAUACUAGUNNNNNNNNNNNNNNNNNNNNNNNNNNNNNNNNNNNNNNNNNNNNNNNNNNNNNNNNNNNNNNNNNNNNNNNNNNNNNNNNNNNNNNNNNNNNNNNNNNNNNNNNNNNNNNNNNNNNNNNNNNNNNNNNNNNNNNNNNNNNNNNNNNNNNNNNNNNNNNNNNNNNNNNNNNNNNNNNNNNNNNNNNNNNNNNNNNNNNNNNNNNNNNNNNNNNNNNNNNNNNNNNNNNNNNNNNNNNNNNNNNNNNNNNNNNNNNNNNNNNNNNNNNNNNNNNNNNNNNNNNNNNNNNNNNNNNNNNNNNNNNNNNNNNNNNNNNNNNNNNNNNNNNNNNNNNNNNNNNNNNNNNNNNNNNNNNNNNNNNNNNNNNNNNNNNNNNNNNNNNNNNNNNNNNNNNNNNNNNNNNNNNNNNNNNNNNNNNNNNNNNNNNNNNNNNNNNNNNNNNNNNNNNNNNNNNNNNNNNNNNNNNNNNNNNNNNNNNNNNNNNNNNNNNNNNNNNNNNNNNNNNNNNNNNNNNNNNNNNNNNNNNNNNNNNNNNNNNNNNNNNNNNNNNNNNNNNNNNNNNNNNNNNNNNNNNNNNNNNNNNNNNNNNNNNNNNNNNNNNNNNNNNNNNNNNNNNNNNNNNNNNNNNNNNNNNNNNNNNNNNNNNNNNNNNNNNNNNNNNNNNNNNNNNNNNNNNNNNNNNNNNNNNNNNNNNNNNNNNNNNNNNNNNNNNNNNNNNNNNNNNNNNNNNNNNNNNNNNNNNNNNNNNNNNNNNNNNNNNNNNNNNNNNNNNNNNNNNNNNNNNNNNNNNNNNNNNNNNNNNNNNNNNNNNNNNNNNNNNNNNNNNNNNNNNNNNNNNNNNNNNNNNNNNNNNNNNNNNNNNNNNNNNNNNNNNNNNNNNNNNNNNNNNNNNNNNNNNNNNNNNNNNNNNNNNNNNNNNNNNNNNNNNNNNNNNNNNNNNNNNNNNNNNNNNNNNNNNNNNNNNNNNNNNNNNNNNNNNNNNNNNNNNNNNNNNNNNNNNNNNNNNNNNNNNNNNNNNNNNNNNNNNNNNNNNNNNNNNNNNNNNNNNNNNNNNNNNNNNNNNNNNNNNNNNNNNNNNNNNNNNNNNNNNNNNNNNNNNNNNNNNNNNNNNNNNNNNNNNNNNNNNNNNNNNNNNNNNNNNNNNNNNNNNNNNNNNNNNNNNNNNNNNNNNNNNNNNNNNNNNNNNNNNNNNNNNNNNNNNNNNNNNNNNNNNNNNNNNNNNNNNNNNNNNNNNNNNNNNNNNNNNNNNNNNNNNNNNNNNNNNNNNNNNNNNNNNNNNNNNNNNNNNNNNNNNNNNNNNNNNNNNNNNNNNNNNNNNNNNNNNNNNNNNNNNNNNNNNNNNNNNNNNNNNNNNNNNNNNNNNNNNNNNNNNNNNNNNNNNNNNNNNNNNNNNNNNNNNNNNNNNNNNNNNNNNNNNNNNNNNNNNNNNNNNNNNNNNNNNNNNNNNNNNNNNNNNNNNNNNNNNNNNNNNNNNNNNNNNNNNNNNNNNNNNNNNNNNNNNNNNNNNNNNNNNNNNNNNNNNNNNNNNNNNNNNNNNNNNNNNNNNNNNNNNNNNNNNNNNNNNNNNNNNNNNNNNNNNNNNNNNNNNNNNNNNNNNNNNNNNNNNNNNNNNNNNNNNNNNNNNNNNNNNNNNNNNNNNNNNNNNNNNNNNNNNNNNNNNNNNNNNNNNNNNNNNNNNNNNNNNNNNNNNNNNNNNNNNAAAAGCAAGUAACUUGCUCCUGCUCAAAACAUACAACUACAGUAUUAUGUUUCUUUGUGAUUUUAUUCAAACAGUUAAUGUUCUCAUUAUAAACUUGAUUCAUUUAUUUAAUCCCAGAUAUAUACUAAGCACCUACUACCUGCCAACACAGGUGGGAGGAGAGAGAGAAUGAUAUAGUCUCAGCCUGCAGGGGUGCACAGUUUUUGCUUCUUGAGAUUUCUUUAGAGCUUUUGCAAUGUGUUUACAUUUCUGUCUUUAGCAAAUUCUUUAACCAAUGAGCUCUCAGUCCCUGCUGCUUUAGAGGUAAGCCAAGCCCUCCUUUUCUCCAUUUUCCACAAACUCCAAUUAUAAAAAUGGAGACUUUUUUCUUCUUCUUUCCCUAAAAUUCCCAAAUUGAGUGGAUACAUCUCCUGUUAGCAGUGCAGCAUUUCCACACGGUGAAGAGAUAAUUUUGUGAUUUUCCCAAAUGUAAUGACUACUUGCCUCAGUCUUGGCUAAAUGUUAAUGAGUCUCAAUUCUUAAAUAUUUCAAGAAGAUUAAAGCAUUUAAUUCACACACACACACACACACACACACACGGGAUCCUGAAGUGUUCAUAUCUAGUCCUGAACAUUCAAGUCACAUGUUUGAGCAUAAUCAUUAAUGAGAGACACAUGUGGAAUUUGUGCAUAAUUCCAGGACACUGAUAAUUCCCAAUUUUAAAUGUCACUUUGGGCCUUUCUCAUAUUCAGUGGAAUUUUCAGAUCUGAACCGAGGUGGAGUGCUCUAUUGGACUAUUGACUUGGGUGGAGAAUUACAAGUAUCUUUUGGCAAUUUUCCACCAGGCAUAGCUCCUAAGUAGAGAAAUAGAAUACUGGGAAAUUCUAAUCCAAAGUUGAUACUGGAAAAGGCAUGGUAUACAGAAAGCAGUGUGAUGUUAAUCAAGGAUAAUGGUGUUCAUUUCAUCCAGAAUUGAUAGCAAACAGAAUUUGUGAGUGUGGGAGAACAUUUAUCCCAUUCCUUCACUCUAAAAAUAAAGAGACAGUUUGGUAUGGUGGUGCACACCUAUAAUCCUACUUAUUCAAGAGGCUGAGGCAGGAGGAUUGAAAGUUGGAGGCCAGCCUCAACAGCUUAGUGACACCCUGUCUCAAAACAAAAAUAAAAAAGGGGCUGAGGAUGUGGCUCAAGGAUACAGCACCCCUGGGUUCAAUUCUCAGCCCCCCAAACAAACAAAACAAGGCAAAACAACAACAGAAAAGGAGGAGACAAAAAGUCCAGAAAAGUAGAAAAGUUAAGUGACUCCUUUAAAGUUGUUUAAUUAUUAGUUAAAAAAAUUCCAAGAUUCAAGUUCAAUUAUUCAGAUUCUUAACACAAUGCUCUUUUUUACUAAAUCUUUUCCCCAAAUUUUUAUAUGUGAAAGAUUAAAUUUAUAGGCUUUCUACCUCUGAAAUGAGCUUCUUUUAAAUUAAAGAGUUUUUCUUCAACUCUUUUCUUCCCCAGCCACUAUUUUUAGGCUUCAUUUAACCUCAGUUUGGGGUUACAUCACUACAUUAGUGGCCCCAAACCUAAGUCUGCAGCAGUUACUUGGAGGCCUGGCUACAAUGUGGAUUCCUGGACCCAAUCCCCAUAGCUUUUGAUUCAGCAGAUUUGAAGCAUGUAUAUAUGUGUAAGAAUUUGUAUGCCUAAGGAGGUCCCUGGUGCUGCUGCUGUUCCUACUGGUUGGGGACUAUAUUUUGAGAGUUAGAAACCUACAUGAAGCAGGCUUAAUGACCUCGUAUCAGCAAGGUUUCUUAUGGCUGUAUUUCUUGUUGCUCAAUUUUUUUGGCCUCCAAAAUAUUGUAAGUUAUCAGAUAAAUCCUGAUCCAGGAGCUAGCUGCCCUGUAAAGUCAUCCAGCAUUGGCUGCUACAUGGAAAUCAGUGUGAAAAAGAUUUUGUGCCUGUGCAGAUGGCUAAUGAGUCAGUCUGGAAUAAGAGAGUAGCUCUUUAGCAUGUCUGAUUAGCACUCACAGCUCCUAAGACCUAGCCUUCCUUCUCUUUCCCUCAACAAAAUAACAUUAAAAGUGUCAAAUGCUAAGAAAACAGUCAUAAAAAAAUGUUUUAUGAGUCUCUACAUGUCUUUAAUUCUUAAAGAGGCAAGGAGUUAAAAUAUUAUUCUAACAGUCAGGAUUCUUAGUUGCAGCAAUAAAAUUCAGGUUAGCCAGUGUAAACAGAAAAAAAGAUGUAAUGUAAUGUAUCAGGGAGCUUUCAGAAAGUGAGUGAACUUAGAAGAAUUUGGGUCCCAUUCAGAAUCCUCUGGGGAAUGUGGGAUUUAACUUUCCAAUCUGAAUUCUGUAGAAAGGUGUGCUAGGAGAUUGCACUGGUAGUUGAAUGAACCAGUCUGAGUGUCUUUCACAAUUAUCAUGACUCGAUUGUGACUUAUUCUUUAUUCUCAAGGUGAAUGCUUGUAAAACAUUACGUCUUGGCUUUACAUACUCACAUAAUGAUUUAUGAAUUAGGCUAGGGUUGAAGGAAAGAUGUGAUGGUGAACUGACCAGUAAAGUGAAAAAUUUGUAAAUAGUUCUGUUGGUACAAAAAGCUUAGUGGUACCUGGUCCUGGGAUUUCAGGAUUCACAUAGAUCUUCCAUUUGAAAAUAUACUUGUAUAAAGACAAUCUGACAACUAUUGCAACCCAAUACAGAUUGUUUUGUUACCAGGGAUCCUAGAGUUUUUACUUAAAACACUAUGUUUAUGGGGGCUGGGCUUGUGACUCAGUGGUAGAGUAUGCGCCUAGUGCAUGUGAGGCCCUAGGUUUGAUCUUAAGCGCCACAUUAAAAAAAAAAAAAUAUAUAUAUAUAUAUAUAUAUAUAUAUAUAUAUAUAUAUCCCACUAUGUUUUUGUGGUAUGGGAAAAUUUAUUGGUGUUAGAAUUUUGGAGAAGUAAUAUUUUACCACAAUAUGCUAAUUAUAAAGACUUAUUGUACUAUUAAUAAUUUUGUAAGCAUAUGUUGGCUUAAAAACAUCCUUGGGCCUCAGCGGUUGGCAAGUCUUCUUAUGAAACUUGAGGCACCUUAGUUUAUGACCAAAACUAUUUCCCUAUAAAUAGAACUGGAAUCCUGUGGGCUAGGUGAUUCUGAAUAGAAUCUGGCUGGAGCAUCCUGCUUGAAUUCUUCAUUUUUCUUCCAUACAGCAUUCAUUGAUGGCCAUAUCAUUGUGGGAUCCAUCUAAGCUGUCAAAACAGAAAGACUCCCAAUGCAGUGGCUUAAACAAAAGGAGAGUUUAUUUCUCAAAAGCAGGCAAUACAGGGGUGGCUUCUUAGCUCUGUUGUGUUUAACAGUUUCCAGCUCUGUGAUCAGGUUGGCUACAGACAGUCAGAAGGGGAAAAGAGGAAGUACAGACACAUCCCUACUAGUAAAGAGAAACCUAGAAGCUAUGCACAUCCUUUCUGGCUCAGAUGUUACUAGUCAGAACCUAGUCACAGAGCCACACCUAUUUGCAAAGGAGGGCAGGGAUUGUCAUCUAUAAUCAGGAAACCUCAAGUCUAGUGGAAAUUUGUGUAGGCGAUACUAUUACUGAAAGAGGAAGUGGAUAGAUAUUGUUGGAAGGCUAACAGUGUUUGCUACAAUGGCUUAUCAGAAAUUGUUAGGUUUUUUUUUUUUUUAAUCAGAGCUGCUAUGUGGGUGGACUCUACUCUGGCCAUCUGUGCUGGAAGUGAAGCUCCUCAGAAGGGUCAGUGAGGCGAGUCUCAGUUAAUUCCUGGUAAACAGAUGAUAAAAAUGAUAGAACUGCAGUAUUGGAAAGGAUCUAUCUUUAGGAGUGGUGGUGCACACCUGUCAUCCCCGCUACUCAGUAGGCUGAGGCAGAAGGAUCAUAAAUUUGAGGUCCUCCUGGGCAACCUGGUGAUACUCUGUUUCAAAAGAAAAUAAAAAGGUCUGGGAAUGUAGUGCAGAGUUAGAACACUGCUGAGUUUAAUUCCCAGUAACUGCAAACAAACAAACAAAAAAGAUAAAAGAACAUCAAUUGUCUCCCAGUCACCCAAUCCAACAAACACCUGAGAAUCUUAACCAAAGGAUCUCUUUUAGACUUGCUGAGUUUUGCAUGUGAAAACUAAGGAGUUGGUCAAAGUCAAAGAAUUAUUUGUGACCAUCAGGACUAGAAUCCACAGAACUGGGUAAAUUUUAUUUUCUAGCUAUUCUUCCUGAAUUAACCCUUUGGACCUUGAUGUGUAUUUAUAAGCCAUAAUAGUCUAUGUACUUUUAGAGUACUGUUAAGUACUGUGAAAUAAUUGAGCUAGUACUUUGAUAAUGACUCUCCCUUUCACUUAUCGAAACAGUGGAGUCUUGUUAAAGAAAAGUUAAUGGUUAUAGAUAUUUGGAUGAUCAGACAUAUUAGUGAAAAGAGUAUUGAAGUAGAAUUCAAAUAACCUGAACUAAUCUUGGCUAUCUCCUAUUCAUCUAUAUUACUUAUGGAAAAAUCAUUUAGCUUCUCUGAGUCUUGAGUUGUUUUUGAAAUAAUAAAUUGAACUAGAUGGUAAACUACUCAACCAUGGGCAUAGAGACCACAGAUCCCAACCAAAUAAAACAAUAUCAAUCUCGAAAAAUUCAGCUGGGUGAAUUGGUGCAUCCUGGGAGAAUGUUCCCCAACUUUUAGCAUUCUAACCUUUCUCUUGAAGUUGAAUUGUUUGCAAUAAAAAGUCAUAACUUUAGCCUGUAUGUUAGAAUGCAACCUUACUUACCCUUGGUACUUAAAGGAUAAAAGUUUACAUCGAUGCUGUCAUCUGAGGAUUAUGUGUUAGUUUCAAACUUACAUUUCAAAUAUAUUUGAGAAAAGGUAAUGAAUGAUCUGUAAGAUCAUUCUGGAACAAAGUGAAAGCAUUGUCUAUUUAGAAAAGAAACUUUCUUAGGUCCUUCUAUAAAAUAAAUUAUAAACAAUGUACAUAGUGGCUUCUAAAAUGGCAAGGAAUCCAUUUGGUCAUAAAAGGAACAGUAUCUGGAGCCUAAUUCAAAAGCCUGUCACAUUUCAUUAUGUUUCUAAAGACUUCGGCCUUGAAGAGAGGACAAUUGUGGGCUUGUAGGUGAGGCUGAAUAUUAUCUUUAGUGAGGUCUAGAGAUAAACACUGCAGUGAGAACAGAAUCCAUUUAGGAUGCAUUGGACAGAAUAAUUCUAAAUUAUGGCAUUGAAAUUCCCACUUCACUUAUAGGAAAGAGAUAAGGCCAAACACUCCAGUUAAUGGAACAUGAGCUACUAAUUUCCCGAGGAAGACAAAAGGAGGGGGUGUGUGCUGCUCUUACAUGGAAUGAACAAUUUUCUCCAGUCUCAAGGUUGACAAUGAGGGAUUGUGACAAGGGAGAAAGUGAUAGAAGAGGCAGCCUUAGAUCAAAACAAAGGACAAUGGGAAGUCAAACAAGGACUCUUAUCAGUUCCACAGGUGAGUUCACCUUCCUGGCUUUAAGGGUCUUAUUCAUUAACUGGCUGACAUGGGCCCUAGGACCAGGGCUGUCUCUGCUGUCUGUGUUGGUGUGUUUAGACACACGUGUGCAGCUCAGUCUUGUAUGAAUAGUAUCCUUUAUGACUAUUGAAAAAAACAGUGCUUUUCUUCCAAAUGGAUGAACAUGGGUUUGUCACCACAACUUCACCUUAUUUACAUGAGAACAUGGGAACUGAACAUAUGAAGAGCACUGGACACUUUGGAACUGAAAACAAGAUUUCCAAGUUGGGAAAACAUUCAAGUUCAGGUGAUCUGCAGACAGGGGAAGGCACUCCAUCCUAGAAUCCCACUGAUAAGGGUAGUGUUCAGGGAGAUGGGGUCUUCUCACCCUUCAGCUCAUCUUCUAACUUCCCUAGCAAUCUUUUCCCCAUGCCCUCUUGAGGCUGUCCACAGCCAUGGAAGAAGUGGAACCUUUGUGUUAGACAAAGGAGAAUGAGGCCAUGGCCCACCAUAACCUCUGGGAAGACUUUAUUAACCUUCCUUCUUGGACAUAUGGAUAGUGUACUCCCAGUUCUUCUUCUAAGAGUCCCGAGUUUUCUGAAGCUUUCUCACUCUGUGCUGAAUAAAGAACAGGAGAAAGAAGAAUAUUUGAUAUUAUAUUGUCAGGCUAGCUGAACUUGUCCACCCUCUGGCUUCCUGAACCAGUCAUUUUAUUCACAAUAUUCUUGAAUAUACCCCACAAAUAUAUAAGGUCUUACCUUUUCUUUGCAAGUCUUUUGGGAUGAAAUGAAAUAUUUCUCUCUUUCUUUCCCAACAUCCUUCUUUCCCUCCCUCCCUCCCUCCAUCCUUCCCUCCCUUCUUUCUUUCCUUCUUCUCUUUAUGAAGAUUUUCCUCUAAGAUUUUCCGUUGUCUUUCUCCUGCAAACACCACCAGGAAAAUGUCUGAUUAUCUUGUCGGUUUGUUUCCCUAUUCAGAAUAAUCUUGGGAAAUUGUUUUUAUGGAGUAACUCCAGAACCUAAACUGUCUACAGUAUUCCUUGAAUUCCACAAUCAAGACAGCUUUGGACUUUCUCCUGUACAUUCUGAUGUGGCAGGGCCCCUACUACAUUGAGACCAUUACUCUAGAAAAGGCCUGACACCAUUAAUUAGGCUGACCUUUAGGAGGCAGGAUAAUGAUUCUAUAGUGCAACUAGAAAGAGUUCUUCAAAAUGUGGUAGAAAAAGAUGACUUUGGUAUUAUUCCACCCUUGGUUCAAAUUUUAAGUUUGACACAUACUGGGUGAGAGAAUGAUGUCAAAGUCAUGGUGGGGAAUCACAUCCCUCUGUUUUGUCCAAUGCAGAGGUUUUCCCCUUCUUUAUGUCUGUAGAAGUCCUAGGAAGGGGUGUGGGGAAGGUGCUGAGAAGGUCACUAAGAAUACCAGAAGGUGAGCUGGAGUGCCAGGAACCCAUUUCCCAAGAGCAGGGAAGGUUACUGUAACUUCUAUGAGCAUCAAUAUCCUUAUUUGAAAACUUGAGAUAAUAAUAAUGCUUCCUAUUAUAGCAUUGCUAACAGCCAUAGUCCAGACUUGAGAAGAUGUACAAUCAAUAUGAAUACCUCUUUUUUGUUGUUGACAAGAAAACCUCCAAUUCUUGUAGACUUUUUUCCUUUUAAUGGCACCUCCAGUUUUUGAAGGGAUGACUUUUCCAAGCCACCAUUCUGAGCAUUUUGCUUAAUUUAAUUUUCAAAAUCCUAUAAGUUAAUGUGCGAGUCACACUUCCAAGUGACUAGUGAAAAACAGUGACUUUAAGGGGUUAAGUAGCUUGCUUGAAGACACCCAGCUGGUAAGCAGCUCAGCGGGAGAGCUGGAUUUGGCUGCCUUCUGGCAGGCAGGAAUCCAGAACAUUUCCACUGAGCCAUCAUGCACACUGCCUCCCUGUAGCAUAUAUCUGCAUUUCCUUUGGAACUCAAAAGCAGAAUGUCAAAUGGAACAACAUACCUUUCACAUAGACGUAGAAAUUAAAAUAAUUGCUGUGAUCAGUGGGAAAAGUAGAUGUUCCACUGAGAGUUGCUGUUGAAUUGAACAAGGGCUCUCUACUUGUUGCACCAUUGUGUUCAGCUGAUGCUCAGUGUCUGCUGGUUCUAGACCAGUCAUCAGAGGUGGAAGGCAUGAUUUUCAUUGCUGCUACAUUAAAGCUGAACAGUGCUCAGGGCCAGAGACUUGUGAAAACUCUUCCAUGUUUUGAGGCCUAAGAGGUCUAUGAAAGUCAGGGGGUAAUAUGAAUAUCUUAGGAAUGGCUUUAUUUAAUACAGAUGGCUCAAUAUUUAAAAAUUAAGAGAUAUUUUUUUAAAAAAACCUUAAGGUCUGAUAUUUAUAGGGAAAAACAAAACAAAACAGGCUUCUGGGGGGUGGGAUUAUGGCUCAGCGGUAGAGCACUCGCCUAGCAUGUUCGGGGACCUGGGUUCCAUCCUCAGCACCACAUAAAAAUAAAUGAAUGGAAUAAAGGUAUUGUGUCCAACUACAACUAAAAUAAAUAAAUAAAUAUUAAAAAAAAACCCAAGCUUCUGAGGGGUAAAAUGCUUUCCUAAACUUCCUUUGCUAGGGCAUUAUGUCAACAUAAGAGUCAAUGAAGCAAGAACUCCAAGCCUCGUAGUUGCUGGUAUGUUUUGGCAACACAGAAAAUGCUCAGGGAUCUGAUUUCUAAACUGCUGCCUACAUGGGUGAAAUCAACAGAGAUGACCUGUAAGCAGCAAUUAAUAUGGUUUCUGAAGCCAGAGUGAUGAAAUUCAUGCUGAAAUAAGCUAUAAUGAGAUGCCUCAAAGUUUUAAUUCUAUCCUGUAAUUUCCUCCAGAACCUUGGAAAAGGAUGAUGAAUUUGUAUGGUGCCUGUGUGUGUGUGUGUGUGUGUGUUAUAUGUGUGCACACGGGUGUGCAAGAGAGAGAAGGAGGAUGUUUGAUGUAGCUAUGAAUAACCAUUUAGCCAUUAAUGGCCCAAAUGCAUUGAGAGACUAUGCAAAAUCCAACUAGUUCUUCCUUAAGUAAGCUAAAUCCAGUGGUAUCCUAGAAAUAACUCCAAUCCAAAGUUAUGACAAGUUGAGGACAGGCAUGACUAGCCAGUUCAUUCUAAUUGGCUUUCUUGGCCCCUUUUAUCCUCCAGAGAGCUGGUUUAUGUUGCAAGAAAGUAGAAGAAGGAGAGGGCAUUGUGGAAGGGUUUAAAAAUGUAGUUAUUCAUUGACUUGUCUGUGUGUUGCAACACAAUUUAAUGACAUCCUUACAUUUGCAUUAGCAAAUAGCCCUUCUUCAAAGUGGACUAAUACAAAUUGGGUUUUCAAAAUUGAGUAUUGUCUUAUUUCUCAAUUUGCAAACAAAGUUGUCUAUUCAUAAAUGACAUGCUAUGAGAAAAAAAUCCAAUAAAUAAAUAAAUAAAUAAAUAAACAAACAGACAAAUAAAUAAAUAAAACAACUCCAAAGUCUCCUUGGAGGCUUCCUCAUGUUGGUAUUUGAAAAUAAAAAAAAAAUUAGACUUUCUGGCAGUUAGAAAUUCCUGCUUUACAUUUUUAAUAUCAUUGUUAUUGGACUUCUGAAAAAUAAACCUGUCAUGGACCUGAGACAGAAUGUGAAUACAAAUACCACUUGCUGAUCAUUGGUGUCAUUUGUCCCUACAUGCACUCUGCUCAAAGAGCUAGUCUAAAAUGCAAUUUUGACACUGAAACAACAAACCUUUUCUCAGAAGCCUCUGGCAGAGAAGCUGAGGUAGCACCAGUAAGAAGUGCGCCAAAGCCUAAUUACUCCCCCGAGAGCCGAUCUUUCUGUGCAAACCUGCAUAAUGUUCCAUCUCCUGUGAGAUACAGACGUUGACAUAUUUCUUCCCUUGUUUCCUGCCGUUUGGAGAUGUUGCUAUUUGUCACAAACUAAACAGAGGAGAAGACAGCAAAGUGCAUUUCAGUUACCUGGGCAAUUUUUAUAAAUAAUCAAUAAGUGCAGCUGUUUUAAAAGCUUUCUUCUUAUGUGCCAAUGCCUUAUGAGGCUGCUUGACAUUCUUAGGGCUGGAGUCCAACCAACAGUGGCUGCUUAGAGGGGCCUCCACAGCUGUACCAGAGCACAAGGAAGUGAAUGGUCAGGACUUGACCCCUACCUCCUCAAACCCUUGCCCUUUUGUAGAACAGCAUCCUUAAAACAAUAGCCUUUUAUACUAGGGUUCUGUAUUACAUUUCAUUCAGGAAUGAAGAGUAAAUAAAUCAACUAUAUCUUGGAUGGCAUAUAGACCCUGUGAAUAAUAAAAAGUCAACUUAGGGCUUACUUUAUUUGUGAGAAUGGUCAGUGGCCAACUUGCAAACUGUCAUUAACAGUUCCCAAGCUACCUUGAUCCAGCAGAAAUAGCCAUUGGCAUACGGGAGUGAUCUCUGACUCAAAACCUCCUCACUGCUUCCUUUUGUCCAUAUCAGAGGCAUGGUUCUCUCAUGAUUAAGCUGGAAACAUAUGAAGAAGGUAGACCAUGAAGGGGUUUAAUAAGGCAGGUUAGAAGAAUUGACUUCAAGAGCCAUAAAGUCCCUUUGGUAUGAUUUCAACCAAAAAGAUCACUGUGGCUGCCCGGAGAGUGGCAAGACUGGAGAUGAAGAGACUGAACGUGAAAUUUAUUUUCUCUCCCUUUGUCAUCCAAGAAAUAUGCACAUGUAAUGAAUGAUAAGGGUGUGCAAGAACAGUGCCUCCAGAACACUUGUGAAAGGAAAGAGUCAUUUAUAGAGCUGGGUGCAGUGGCACACACUUAUCAUCCCAGCAACUUGGGAGGCUGAGGCAGGAGGUCUGAAAGGUCAAGGCCAGCAUUGGCAACUUAGCAAGACCCAUAGCAAUUUAGUGAGACACUGACUCAAAACAAGAAAAUAAAAACUAGCAUAGAUGUAAAUCAGUGGUAAAGCACCCCUGGGUUCAAUUCCCAGUACCCAAUUUUUUUAGUCAAAAAAAAAAUUGAAGAAAAUGUAAUUAUUUUUCAUUCAGGUAUUUGUUUCAUUGCUUUAUUCAAUUUGUUUGACAAAUAUUUGAGAGCCUACUCUAUGCAUGGCAGUGUUCUAAGUAUAGGGGACAAGAGCCACUGCCCUGUGAGAAUGCUUUAUAGAAUGGGAGAGACAGAGAAUUGGUUAUAGUAUGUUAAAUGAUGAUAAUGGGGUGGGGGACAAACAAAGAAGAGAUGGGGAUUCUUCUUUUUUUUUUUUUGGGUAUUGAAUUCAGGGGCACUCAACCACUGAGCCACAUUGCCAGUCCCAUCUUGUAUUUUAUUUAGAGACAGGGUCUCACUGAGUUGCUAAGCACCUCACCAUUGCUGAGACUGGCUUUGAACUCAUGAUCCUCCUGUCUCAACCUUCUGAGAGGAUGGUGUGCGCCACCAUGCUGGGAACAAUUAUUCUUAAAAGCCUAAGGAGGUGAGCUUUCAGCAGACCCAGUGUUGGUGGGUUGGGCAAGAUAUUUGUAUGAGCCCUGGAGGAAGAGCACUUUGGAUGGUGGGAAAAGCAGGAACAAAGACUCUAAGAGUCUCAGAACUGGAAUGCUCAAGGAAAAAUGAAAAUAGCAGUGAGGCAGGGCUGUAAGAAGUAGGGAAAUGUAGUGGGAAUGAGCUCAGAGAGGUUGAGUGAGGGCACAGAGCAGGGAGCCUCACAGGGCAAUGGGAACUUUUGGCAUUACUCUGAAUGAGGUGGGACCAGUUGGAGAGUUUUGAGGGGUGGAGAGAUUUGACCUAACUUAUGAUUCAAAGAAUUUCUGCCUGCUAUGAUGAGAAUUGACUUCUGGAGGCAAUGUUAAGAAAGGGAGAUCAGGAGGAAGUUGCAAUAAGAGUAUUAUGCCUUCGAUGUUUAUAGCAGCACAAUUCACAAUAACCAAAUUUUGGAACCAGCCCAGUUGCCUGUCAAUAGAAAAACAUCAAGAAAAUGUGGUAUAUAUACACAAUGGAGUUUUAGUCAGCCAUAAAGAAGAAUGAAAUUAUGCCAUUUGCCAGGAAACGGAUGGAAUUAGGGAACAUUGUACUAAGUGAAAAAGCCAGACUCAGAAAAUCAGGGGUAGAAUGUUUUCUCUCAUAUGCAGAAGGUAGAGCAAAAUAAGGGGGAAAGGUAGUGGGUUGGAUAUCAUAAAUGUAGAGGGAAGAUCAGUGGAUAGAAGAAGGAGCUCUUGAGGGAGAAAGGAGAGGUAGGAAAAGGGAGGAAAUGGGGAAUGAAUUUAACAAUAUCAUACUAUGUGCAUAUAUAUAAUAUAUAACAUAUAAAAUAUAUAUUAUAUAAUUAUUAUAUGAUAUAUAAUAUAUAACACACAUGUAUUUAUAUAUAAUAUACCAUAGGAAUUUCACUCUUAAGUAUAUGUAUAAAGCACGUAUCAUAAAUAAAUAAAUAAAUAAAUAGAAGGAAUAUCAGUAGAGAAAGGAGAAUUGGGGAGAAUUAAGGAAAAGGCAGGGGGUGCAGAUUAUGAUGCCUUGGACUAGAGCAACAGGAGCAAAGUAUAGGAUUUUGAAGGUAAAAAGGUGGAGCUGAAAUGAUAUGAUAAUGGUUUGGAUUUACAGUGUGAGAGGAAAGAGGAGUCAGAAAUGAAAGGAGAGAGUUACCAUGAACUGAGGUAGGGAGCAAGGUACAGGAAGGCAAAUCAGGAAUUCAUGUGAAGUUUGAGAGGUCUAUGAGACAAGAGGGCAUGGGGUCUGCUUGCCGGGUGCUCAGUGGAGAGGAUUGAGCUAGAGUUUGAGAUUUGGGAAAUCUCAGAAUACAGGUGGGAUUUAAAACCACAAAGUGAAUUGGAUCCUCAAGGAAGAGGGUGUAGCUAGAGAAGAAAGAUGUGAAAGUGGACCUAAAUUAAGAUCUGGUGCCAUCCAUAUCCAAGCCCCUUGAUAUAUCCUGAAAGCCCUUUAGUACGAGAGUCAUAAAAUUAUUUCUUUCAAUUAUCUCAUCUUCCUAUAACUCAUUCUUAUUCCAGUGCAAUUGGUUUUACUUUCUACUGAUUCAAAGUACAAAUUAAUAUUAUUUUAGCUGCCUAUUGGUUUGAACAGAAUUCACGGGUAACAUAUGAACUCAAUGAAUCUUUUUCAACUAUGUUUCUAUGGGAACAUAUAUUGUGAACUCCAAAUAGUUGUUUUUCAUAUUACCUUGGAAAUAUCCAAGUUUUUUAGCUGAUGCCUACUAAUUUUCAUAGUGUAAUAGACAUAUAUCCACUUCCUCCCAUCACAUGGCUUAUUUACCUCAAAUUAAUUCCAGUGCAGACUUGAUUUGUGUAGUUCUCAGGGUGAUGAUUUUUUUCCUUCUUGUGUCAGAGGAAUCCAGCUCAUUCAGGAUGGUAGUGGAAGGAAAGAGGAUGAGUAGCCAUUGAGAUGAUGGAAAUGGAAUGAAACAGCAGGGGAAUCCAUGUUUCUAAUUCUUGGUUUAAUUUUCUGGAAGCCUCCAAAAACACCCUCUCAUUUCCUCUGGCUAAACAUUUUUAUGCAAGGAUUAAACUGUGUUAUUCGCUAUUGUCUUUGGAAGAACUAAUUUCCUUUUGACACUCUUCUCCAUUGCAUGAUUCUUUUCUGACUACCACUGUGAUAUUUUGCACAUUUGGCCUAUUGAAUCAAGAGGAUCUCUCAGACUAGAAUCUUUUUGUUAAUCAGCAUCAUGUCUUACUCUUGUGCUGUUAGAAUUAAUCUCUUGCUCUCCUUUUUUGAGGUGAUAUUUCACUGUGGUUUUCUUUUUUUCUUUGUUCUUUUUUCUACGACAGUAGAAUGUAUUUUGACCUAUCAUAUAUACAUGGAGUAUAAAUUCCCAUUAUUGUGGGAAUUAAUCUCUUGGAAAAGCAAUGCAUUUCACCAUUCGUAAGACAUGUCUUCAAGUCCCAUUAUUUUAGUUUCACCAUGCACUGAGCUAAUCUUUGGAUGGGGUAAAAUGUCAUCAUUAUCACCAGAGGAUUUCACAACCUCUUUCAUUUGUUUCAGCCCAACAGUACUCUCCUGACUGGGGCAAAUGAUCAUUACCUUGCAAUCAAAUUCUUUGGUGCUACUGAACUGGAAAGCUUUGAUUUCUCUUUGGAUUUCUGCUUCAUGUUUUCUUUUCCAUGAUUCUUUCAUAUUUUCCUCAAGUAAUUGGAAAAUAUUGCUUGAAGGUGUUAUUCUGGUGCAGUAAAAGGAACACAUGUCCAAGCACCUGGAAUGGAGCCUCGUGGGCCAAUGGACAAAUUUCCUCUUUAUGUUUUCAGUUUAAAUAGAGUUUGCAUUGCUUUUUCUACUCCCUUCACUGGAGGCAAUAUAGUCUCAGAACUGGAUGAUCCCAGAGGGGCCCUUUAUUGAAAUCUCUACAGUAAGAUCCAUUUAAAAACAUUUUUCAUUAGUGGUUGUCCUUUUAAAUUGAGCAUCUUCAGGCAUGUUAAAUUUCCUUUCAGUUAAUGAAAAUCAUUAAAGUUUAAUUACACAUGAUUUUAAGGAAAAAAAAAUCCCAAGAUUGUUCUUCAUAAUGUACUUAGAAAGUCUUUGAGCAGCUUACCACCAAUGUAUCAAAAUUAUUUUUUUUUCAUGGAUUGAAGGUCAUCACAGCAGGUGGUAAUUUGUGAAGUAUCUAAGUGCCUCUCUUUCCAGACAAAGGUCAAUUUGCUGCCAUUUGAGGAAUCAGGGCUUAUCAGCUUUUUCUUUUUAUUGUGUUUUUCAUUAUUUGACAGACUUGCAGUUUUAUGAAUCUGUGGACAUUGUAAAGAGAUGGCAGGGGGCUGGGAUUGUGGCUCAGUGGUAGAGUGCACAUGUGCAAGGCCCUGGGUUCUAUCCUCAACACCACAUAAAAAUAAAUAAAAUAAAGGUAUUGUGUAAAGCUAAAAAAUAAAUAUUAAAAAGAAGGAGAUGGCAGUGUCCCUUCCACAGGCUAAAAUUCACAGGUAGCAUUAAAGGAAAAAUUUUUUAAAAGAGGAAAGAGAUAGAAGGGAGAAAAGGAUAAUAAAGGAGAAACAAAGAGAAAUAAGAGAAAUAAACCAAGAUAUGCAAAGGAAAAAUUUUGGGGAAAAAAAUCAGGAAUAGGAAAAUUCAGUAAAAUUUCUGUUCAAUGCCAAGAUGGCCCUUCCAUGAGUGUUGGAAUGAAAUGCAUGCAGAGGGGCAGUUCUCUGUUGGACUCUCUGGUUUGAGUGGGCCAUGCCUUCCUGAUCAAAUCAGUAGAAAAGCUUUCUUUCCAGGUUACUAAACCUCUAUUUCAUGAAUGACCAUCUCUCUUUUGGACAACAGGGAAGGGAGCCAAGGGAUGAUAGCUUCACUUUUUAACUACUGCAUUAAAGAUAUUAACCUUGGGUGAACAUAUAGCAUGGAUGGUGGCUAGGCAAUGAAAACUGGGCAUAUUUUAUGUGAUAAAAAUGAUCCAGCAAUUUAUUAUAAAAUUCAUUAAAUAAGCUCUGGGGAAUUCUGCAUGUUUUAAUCAGUUCUAUUAGUAGACAGAAUCUUUACCAAAUUCUACCACUGUCUUUAAAGUAAUUGGCAGUUUUCUGAAAGCACAUUGAUGGACGUAUUUUUUGAUAUGGGUAGUUUCUAAUUUAUUGACCUCUUCUCUGUGAAACUUUUUGGGUGGAAGGGCUACUGAAUAGCUACUUGUAGAUUACUUUUCUUGAAAAUUCUCAGGCAGUAACUACCUUUCCUUCAUAGAAUUAUUCAGUUAUGAUUUAAGUAUCUGAUAUUAUGUCUAUCUAUCCAUCUAUCCAUUCAUUAAUCCCCCCAUCCAUCAUAUAUAUUCAUUUCUCAUUUAUUUUUAUAAAGAACUAUGAGUUUUUGAUGUCCUGAGCUCAUUGAUAUUUGACUCUUGUGUGUUUUAUCUAGUGAAACAAUUAGGAUAGUUUUCUACUUUUCUUUUUUAUCAUAAAUCAUCACAUUAUAGUCCAAACUUCUUUUAGAAAUCACAGUUCUUCUUGACUAGUUAAAAAUUAUAACUUUAUAUAAGAGGAUCAUUAUGAAAAUACAUAACAAGGAAAAAUGUCUUGAUUUAUCUCAUUGAGCCCAUGGGAUAGGACAAAUUUUAUGCUUACUUAGCAAGCACCGCUUGUGGGCUGUGUAUUCUAAGACUUCAAGAAAGAAUGAGGACAUAAAGAGUUUAUAGAACUGUUAUUACAGGUGCUAGAUACCUGUAAGAAUAAAUACAAUUGAUACUUGUUAUAGUUUCAUGAGGCACACUUAUUUUUCAACUCCUAGCAAUUUAGUAGGGGUAAAACUCCAAAUGUAAAAUGUAGUUAAGGACUUAUCUCAUGCCUACUUGAUUCCAAAGCUGGGGACCUCUCUUCUCUUCUGUUCCCUGUGAUCUAACUUCAUGUUCCUAUCCUCUGCAGAUAUCAUACCUUUAUGCAAAUCCUAACGAGGAGUAUACAUAAUACCUUUUCAAACAGAUUAGAAAUUAAAUCAGAAUGGAAAACUGAAUAAGGUUUUAGAAAUAGAGGUCUUUAUUAUUGCUCAAUAGUAAAUGACAAGAAAUAAUGGGUGAAAGAUAUACUGGAGAGAACAUGGGCUUUGAAAUGAGCGUUCUAGUGCUUGAAGUCCAAAUCACUGUGAGAUAAUGGAAGAAAUUAACCCACGUUCUCUUAAUGGAAAGUUAACAAUGCCUGAGGUGUAUGUUUAGUGUGAAGAUUAAAUAUGGUAUGUUUGGGUGGAAGUGGAUGCAUCAAUAAAUUAUUUCUUUCCUUCUCUGUCAAUUACCUCCCUAAAUUGACAAUUGACCGGACUGAAUUAAGUUUUAUGUAAGUCACUUGUCAUUUCUAAUAUUCUCUGAAAUGGCACCAUAAACAUCACCUAUGUAAUUCAGGUUGUUAUGUAGAUAUAAGUAGGCAAAAUUCUGGAGAAAAUGUAUAGUUUGCUCAGGCUUAAAGAUACUAAUUCUACUUAAUUCACUAACUUACUAUGUAUUUAUGACCCAUACACUGGUGAGAUACAAAAAAUGCCAAAGGUGAUGGCUUUUAUGCUGCAAGAACUCACAAUUUCAUAGUGUAGUGGUAUGGAAAUGGCUAGUUAUGAAACAAUACAGUAAGAGCCAUCUUUGAGAGUGAGUACAUGGUGCUACAGAAUAUGGAAGAGCAAUUAACAUGUCCUAAGAAUGGAGAUCUUACAAACGAGGUGAUAUUGAACCUGGGAUUUGAAGGAUGGUAUAUUUUACCUGCUGGGUCUAAGAGCAUCCCAAAGCACCAUAUUUAAAGAUCCAGAGACAAAAGAGAACACAGCAUUUGGAGAGGGGCAAGAAGGGGUGAUCAGAAUGCUGCACGUGAUGCAGAUGAAAAAUGAAACCUGACCUUUUAUGCCCUCCUGAAAACUGUAAUUCUUAUCCUGUAAGUAAUGGGUGGACCAUAGAGUAUUUUGUACAAAAAAAUGUCCUUAUUAUGUCUGUGUUUUAAAAAAAUAGAUAUUUGAUAGUGUGGAAAUGCAAUGAUAAGAGGAGAGGCAGAACGACUGAUUCAUUAGAUAUUAUAUUAUUAGUUAUUAUUAUUGUCACUUUCCUUUUAUAUUUGGAGACCAUUAAAUUUUAGCUGACAAUCAUUCUCAUAGGCCCUUGGAAAGUUCAGAGGGCCAAGCCACAGUGCUCCAGUUCUAGCCAGCUAGUGGCCCUGCCCUGCAUUCCUUUUCUCCUUCAUUCUGUUUGCAUCCCUGAAUGUCACUUUUCCCUGGGAACAAGAGUCCACCUCCCCAGCUCUGCUUUAGAGGACAGUCAGGUGUCCUUUUUCCUCUUACAUUCUUCCUUUUCUCUAAGGGGCAUUAUGGGCUGAGCUGUGACUCUUCAUAUUUGUAUGUUGAAGUCCCAUCCCUCAGUAUCCCAGAAAGUGGCUGCAUUUGGAGAUAGGGUCUUUAAAGAGGGGAAUUAAAGUUAAAUGAAGUCCUCAGGAUGGACCCUCAUCCCCUUCUAAUAAGAGGAAAUUUAGAUGCAGAAACACAUAGAGAAAAACCACAAGAAGACAGAAAUAAGGUUACGAGCCUCCUUCUUAUGAGGAGGCCCUCAGGAGAAAACAUCUUGGAUUUCACCUUAUCUUGGAUUCCCAGCUUCUAAAAUGUGAAGAAAUAAAUUUCUGCUUUUCAAGUCUCUCAGUCCGUGAUCCUAUUAAGGGAGCCCUAGCAAACUAAUGCAGGGGAGGAUGAGAGAAGAGAGUACUCAUAUGUUAAUGCAUAUGGCAUGUGCAUGUGGAAUAAGUGUGUGUUGAGGUAGAUCUAAUGGAGGAGUGUGUGUACUCUUGAACACAUGGACUAGAUUCACUUUUAUUGAGCUAAUGCUUCUAUACAGCCUAUAGACAUGAGGAUGAACACAGAUGAAAUGAAGGAAAGAAACCAUUGAGUCCUCUGGACUAAAUAGGUAUGUGUAUGUGUGUAUGUAUGUGUGUGUGUGUGUGUGUGUGGGUGUGUAAAAAUAAAAUGAUCUUAUGUUAUAGUACCUUUCCAUUCUUUUUAAACCAUUUUGUUUGAUUAGGUCAGAAAGGACAGAUUGAAAAAAGUUUUACAGAGUCUCAGGCUUCUAUCAGUAACAGAAGGAAGUAUUCUGUUUUAUUUAAAAUGAAAUAGAAUACUUAGGAGGCAGAGAAAGCCAAUAGAAAAAAAAGUAUCUCUAGUACUAUGAAUGACAGCUUUCUACCCCUCUUAUGAUCAGAUAUGUACAAAUAUUCAAAACAAAGUUUCCUCCUUUCUACUGAGAGUACGUAAGAGUAAUAAAGGAAAAAUAGAACACAUAGUUGGUUGCCCUUACCUAGUUCUAACUAUCCAGGCUCUUGCUGAGUUUAUACCAUACUCCAAUUUGGUUGCAAGGUGGCACAGCCCUCAACCAUCAGGAGGUAGAUUUGAAAGACUGAGGAUAAUGGCUUUGAACUGGGAGACAAGAUUGAGAUUGUCCCUAGGAAGAAAAUACAUAACUACAAACUCUCCAAGUGCACUCUAACCUUGAGUUUCAGCUGGGUGGUUAACAUCCAUCUGGCCAUAUGCUCUGGGAAUAUACUGAGGAUGAAUUAAUUUCCCCAAACAAGUCAAUGAAAACCAGCAAAAGGGCAGGGCACUGAUAUUCCACAGAAAGUGUGACCUUUAGAGCAUCUGUGCUAUUUCCAAUGUGAGCAGAUGCUUUGAUCAUUAUAUCAUCAAUUUGGAAGGAAGGGAAUUAUUAUUUUUAAAAUCUGAAUGGCUAAAGUGUCUUCACUAACUGAGACAGCUAAUAAAGCAUGUAUCUUGUCAACCACCUACCAAAUGGAAACUGAUAGAUGUUUUAAUCUUUUCUAUGCAUUUAUUUACGAGUACCUUGGCUUUAAUUUGAGGAGGUGGUACGAACACUCAAGGAAGGCUUUCUGUUCCCUUUCCCAUUCCUCUCCUUUCUCCCUCUUCCCCCCAUAAAUUGGUCUCCAUAUUUUUUCUUUUAAGAUCUCAAAGAUUAUAAGGUGUGUUUAGCUUAAUCAUCUGAGUUCAACAUUACUCAUCUAGUUAACAUAGAUUGGCUAGAAGGUAUAUUUCUUUUUUCCUGGGCCAUUUCCGGUAACGCGGCCUAUUGCACCAUAUUUAUUGACAAACCCAGCACGGCAAGAGAAACAUGAGACUCAAAAUUUGCACUGACUCCAGCCAGGAGGCUUGGUUUUGUGUUCAUGGCUUGCUUUAGAAUUAUUGUUGAGCCCUGUGCUCAUUUCCAUCCUAGAAGUCAGUUAUUUUACAAGCAUCAUAGAACUGUAGCCAAGUAGCUGGAAGAAAAGAACAAGAGAAGAAGGGAGUAAGCCUAAGCCUGAAAGAGGCAGCAGGUAGCAGUAAAUCCAGUUGCUCUUGGCUCAGAGUUGUGCACAGGCAAACAUCUAGACACUGUGCUACCUCGAUUGCCUUACUUAUAGAAGAAAAACAACUACUCGUUUUCCUGCAAGAAAAGUGAACUGGUAACACUCUCUUCAUUUAACAAUACAGUUCCUUCCUUGUGAAUGUGUGCAUGUGAUAGGUUAGGUGUUUGCUAGAGAUCACUAUUGGGUGUAUCUAUAGAUAUAUAUCUCAUAAUCUUUUGACUUGUUUCUGAGUUCAUAAACUCUAAUUGGGUUUGUUUUAGAGCAUUAGGGUAAAGAAAAGGAAAUAAAUGAACAUUUAUUGAGAUUCCACAUGCCAUACUCUUGUUGAAGUUUUGUUUCCUACAUUUGUUGCCAAAAGCUCGGUCCCUGUCCCCAGUGCCAAUCCAAUAAUGAGAACACAGUUUUGAGAACAAGGAAAAAGACAGUAUUUUGCUUUGCUAGCAAAGGAGAAACACAGGGGACUCCUGUCCCAAAGGCUGUGAUUCAUGUCCAUCAGCAGGAACAGGGUUUCUGUUUUAUUUUAAUUUUUUUUUAAGUUCUAGAUGGACAUAAUGCUUUUAUUUUAUUUAUUUAUUUUUAUGUGGUGCUGGGGAUGGAACCCAUCACACAUGCCACCACCACAGCCCAGGAACAGUUUUUUUGUUUUGUUUUUUAAUAGAGCUGAUUUAGAGAAAAUGAGAUUAGGGAGGAGAUAUGAGGAAGGAUAAGUUUAGGGAAAAGAAGAUUGGGAAAAAGAAAAAAAAACAUAUAAGUUUUAAAGCUACAAGUGUUAUAGUCAAAGCAUCAAGUGAACCUCUACUACACAUUGAUAAUCUUAUAACAGUAACGUGUUAGUUUUAGGCUGAAUUAUAUAGCCUACUGGCAAUAUCAUAUGGUGCACUGGUCUUUAUGUUCAAGUUUUUGUGAUGAAAACACACCAUCAUACAUUUGCUCUGUCCCUAUCUAUUUCUCUCAUGACUAUCCCAACAGAGUCUUAUACAGUAUAGCAUAAAGCACUUGGUCUCAACUUCAAGGGCCAGGGUCUUAACUAAAUAGACACAGUCCCUCCAACCUCAGAGUUUCUGAUUAAGUAGUCUAUGUAAGACAGAAUUUCUGAUUUUCUAACAAAUAUUUGUUGCUGUGAUACUGCUGCUGGCCUUGGAACCUCACCUUGGAGAUCAGUGAUACAGAGGGAUGAUAUAGAUCAGUGAUAUAGAAGUGCUAAAGGCUUAUCCUUGGGAUAUCCCCAAGGAUAAGCCUUUAGCACUUCUUUUCCUCUUUUGACUAGAAAGCAACAUUCAAGAUCUAGAUUUCCUUUAAAAGUACUUUACAUAUCUAGUGUUAUCAUUUUUAACUUAUCCCUGAUUUAUAUUUCUGUGUAUGUGAUGCAUAAACUAGAAAGUGAAUAACUUUUAUUUUUAAAGAGCUCAGAAUCUUUCCAAUCAUGCAAUACAAUCAUAAGAUAGUACCAGAAAAACAAUUUUACAGAAUAAGUGAUUAUAAAAAUCUAAAAUUUGAAGUACUGGAAUUGAGGGGUUAGAUAAAGUACUCAGUACUAGAAAUUUUCCCUUCAAGUCCUUCCCACUUCUGUGAGAUUCUCUGAAACAUAGUACACCGAGAAAAACAGCCUGGGAUGCUAAUCUCCACUUUAAUAGAGAAGGAAUCAUAUUUAGAAGAGUACCAUGGUCUGCCCAUGGCUGGUUUGUGGAAGAACCGCAUUCUGCUGCCAGAGGAGGAACAGAAAUAUAGGAGGAGGUGACAUGGCAGACAUUUUGGCUUUAGACAGAGAAAAAAAAUUCAAUUCCUUUACUUUCUUUUAACUUUCACCCAUAUUGAGAACAAAGACAUUAGGGGCAAAUAGAAAAUGUUAUUUUAAUUCGGAUUGGCCAAACUGUUCUAAAAACCUUAGCACAAGCAAACUAUGUGAUCAUCAGAUGCUCUUGUUAUUUGGUAAUGCAUUCACAUGUGCUCAGCCCAUUGGUUAUGUUCAAAGCCAAAACAGCUUAAUUCUCCAUGUGUACCCUCCUGGGCUGUUCCAAGGACUUGAAAAUUUCGUUUGUUUUUCUUUCUUUAUUUUCCUGUGCCCUUGUACUUAUCUCUUUUUCUCUUUCUUUCAUUAUCUCUUCCAUUCUCUUUGUUCCUGCCUUUAUCACACCAACUUCCUUUUUCUACCUAAUUUGCUUUAAUUCACCCAGUUCCUUUCUCUGUGUGUUUUCCAUUUCAAUGAAGGUGACAUGCUUUUUAAUUUAUCAAGAGACUUCCCCUGAAGGCUUAUUGUGUUUUGCCCUGAAUAGGGACUGGUGAUAACUGUUUUUGGUCACCAAAAAGAACUCCUUGGAAAUGUCAAAAGAUAUUAAUACUAUUUACAUUUACAAAGUACAAAGCAGCUGGUGAAAUUUAGUAGUAGGUAAUUACUUGUUUUAUAAAAUGUAGAGGAGUGACCACAAUGAUCACUCUUCACUUCCUGUAAGAGCCAACUUUAAAAUGAAAUAGAGGAAGCAUUGCUUAGUGAAGUCCAGCUGGGUUCCAUAUCAGCUUUGUCCUAUGCCACCUUGGAAACAUAACCUCACUUCAGUGAACUCUGACUUCCUUGUCUGUUGAAUAGAAAUAGUAAUAUCUUCUUGCAAGUUGUUAUGUGGAUGAAAUGAAAAUAUGUUGUCAUCCUCCAAACUACCAGAGUAACAUUAAUUCAUUCUUUCACUCAUUCAUUCAUUUGAGGAUGUGUGUUAGGCAUUGUGAGCACAACAGUGAACAGGGUCUUGUGAAUCACAAUAAAGAUUUUGCCUUUUGUCCCCAAAGCAUUUAGAAGACUAUGAAAGGAACUAAACUAGGGAAUAAUUUUCCCUUUGAAUUUUCUGGGUUAAAAUAUCUGGAGAAAUGCAAGAAUGCAAGUAGUAUAUCUGUUAGGAGGCUUUUAGAAUUAUGUAUAUGUGAUCCCAGUGUUUGGAGGAAGUGCAAGUGGAGUCAUAAGAUACUUGACAGAAUUGUUGAGCUUUCUGAAUCAACUAGUGGGUAUAAGAUGGAAAGGUGGGGAUUGUUAUGCUCGAAUUCGGGACCCCCAAAAGACCAUCAGAGAUCAAUGUAAGCAGCAAAGAGGUGUUUAUUAAGAGCUAGCUCGGUCCUCCGCGCGCACACAGCAACUGGUGACGCUGAGAGGCCCUGAGCCCAGGGUUUGCAGCAGUUUUAUACACUCUUUGGGGAAGCCAGGGACUUCACAUACAUCAUAGCAUCUCUUAGCAAAUCAUCACAUACCACGGGAAAAUCAUAAAACAACUCUAAAACAUGAUUAUCACAUUCACUGGUGGGAACAAAUUGGGUAAGGGUGAUUGGUUAGUACAAGAGGGGGAUUCGUUUGAACUGAUUGGUUUAAGCCACAAGGGGUGUAUGUGCUGAACUACAUGGUUUCCCAACAUGUUAUCAACCAUCAUAAACUACUGGGGGUCAUCUGGCAUCCCAGAUAUUUUCCCUUGGUGGUUGCUAGGGGGUUGCUAUGGGUCCUCACCUAGACUGACUGAGUCAGGGACACCUGGUUCCACAGAUCUCUCCUGUUAUUUGUAGAUAAACAACUCAGCAGGGUGGGUAUGUGCCUAGAAGUGCUCUGUGGUCUUUCCAAGGACAAGAGUCACGCACCCUUCCUUGGACAGGCUUUGCUCUGAGGUAGAGGCUGGUUUUUCAGGAUGAUUACCCACCUUUGUUUUGGGCUUUGUUUAGAUAUUUGGAUAUGAUGCUGCCAUUUACCCCUAGAUGGAACAGAUUUGAAGGGGAUGCCCAUUUGUUCUUGCUUGGAUAUAUUGGAUCAUAUAUUGGAUAUGAUGCCUUUAAAACCUCCAACUAAAACUUUGUGGUGGGCAAUUCAAUAUAGAAAUCUGGACUAAACAAAAAUUGUGAGAGUAGAUAUUAAAAUAUGUAGGCUUGACAAAUGCACAGCAAAGCACUUAGACCAGACAGAUAAUGGUACAGAGCUUAGUCAAUGCGAGCAUGGAGAUUAAGGGUAAAAGUGGGAGUGAUAUAACUGACCAUCUGGAGGGCUGAAUGUAUCUGUAUUGGCAGAAGUUUUAAAGCCACAGUGUCCAAGUUCCCCCAGGAUUCCUUGGGUAGCUUAUUUAGGGCAAUGUAUUAGCUUUCCGUUAUUGAGACAACAGACCUCAGACAAUCAACUUAUAAAAAGGAAGACUGUGUUUUGGCUCAUGGUUUCAGAGGUUUUGGUCCAUGAUCUGCUGGCUCUGUUGCUUUGGGCAUGCAGUGGGUAGAACAUCAGGGUGGCAAGCAAGUGGUGGAGGAGAUGGAUACUUCAUGGUAAUUGGGAAGAGAGAGAGAGAGAGAGAGAGAGAGAGAGAGAGAGAGAGAGAGAGAGAGAGAGACACCAGGGUCCCAAAAUCAUCUUCAAGAGCAUGCCCCCAUAACCUAACUUCUUUCCAUGAAACCCCAUCUCCUAAAUAUUCUAUUACCUCCCAAUAGGACCAUAGGUUAGUUGACCAAGCCUUUAACACAUGUUGUUUGGGGACAUUUAAUAUUUAAACCAUAGCAAGUAGGGUUCAAAACUACUUGAAUCUUGAUGGAACCAGACCUUGGGCAUAGUUACUUCUCAGAGAAAUUGAAAAAAGGAAAAUACAAUCCCUUCCUAUUCUUUCCUAUUUAUCUAUCCAUUUAACUCCCCACAAAUAUUGCAUAAAUAUUUGCAUAUCUUUUUAAAAUUUUUUAUUUGUUUUAAUUAGUUAUACAUGACAGUAGAAUGCAAUUUGAUACAUCAUAUAUAGAUGGAGUAUAAUUUCUCAUCCUUCUGGUUGUACAUGACAUAGAAUCCCACCAGUCGUAUAGUUAUAUGUGUACAUGAGGUAAUAAUGUCUGAUUUAUUCUACGAUCUUUCCCACCUCCAUACUCCCUCUCCUCCCUUCACUCCCCUCUACCUAAUUUAAAGUAACUCUAUUCUUCCCUAGCCCUCCCUCCUUAUUGUGAAAUUAGCAUCUGCAUAUCAGAGAAAACAUUCAGCUUUUGGUUUUUUGGGAUUGGCUUAUUUAACUUAGCAUGAUAUUCUUCAGCUCCCUCUAUUUACCAGCAAAUGCUAUAAUUUCAUUCUUCCUUAAGGCUGAGUAAUAUUCCAUCACAUAUAUAUGUAUAUACCACAUUUUCUUUAUCCAUUUAUCAGUUGAAGGGCAUCUAGGUUUGUUCCACAGUAUAGUUAUUGUGAGAUGAAGUGUUAUAAACAUUGGUGUGAUUGUAUCACUAUAAUAUCUGUAAUAUGCUCCUUUUUAAGUUCUUUAGGUAUAAACUGAGGAGUGGGAUAGCUGGGUCAGAGGUGGUUCCAUUCCAAGUUUUCUGAGGAAUCUCCAUACUGCUUUCUAUAAUGGUUGCACCUGUUUGCAUUCACACUAGCAAUAUGUGAGUGUACUUUCCCCCCGCCAUCAUCACCAAGAUUUAUUGUUGUUUGUAUUCUUGAUAAUUGCCAUUCUGACCAGAGAUGACAUUUUAGAGUAGUUUGAUUUGCAUUUCUGUAAUUGCUAAAGAUGUUGAACACUUUUUUUCAUAUAUUUGUUGAUUGAUGGUAUUUCUUCUUGUAUGAAGUGUCUGUUCAGUUCCUUAGCCCAUUUAUUGAUUGGGUUAUUCGUGUUUUGGGUGUUAAGUUUUUUUAAUUUUUUAGUUCUUUAAAUAUCCCAGAGACUAAUGCUGUAUCUGAGGUACAUGUGGUAAAGAUUUUCUCCUAUUCUGUAGCAGGUUAUAAAAUCAAUGCUCAUAAAUCAAAUGCACUCCUAUAUAUCAGUGAUGAAUCUACUGAAAGAGAAAUUAGAAAAACUAUCACUUUCACAAUAUCACCCCCUCCCUAAAUGAAAUACUUGAGAAUCAAACUAACAAAAGAAGUGAAAGACCUCUAAAAUGAAUACUACAGAUUUUAAAGAAAGAAAUUGAAGAAGGUUUUAGAAGUUAGAAAGAUCUCCCAUGUUCUUAGGUAGGCAGAAUUAAUAUUGACAAAUUGGCCACACUACCAAAAGCAUUAUACAGAUUAAUGUAAUUCCUAUUAAAAUCCCAAUUAUACCCUUCAUAAAACUAGAAAACACAUUCAUGAAAUUCAUUUGCAAAAAUAAAAGACCCAGAAUAGCCAAAGCAAUCCUUAGCAAGAAAAAUCAAGCAGGACGCAUCACAAUACCAGACCUUAAGCUAUACUAUAGAGCAACAAUAACAAAAACAUCAUAGUAUUGGCACCAAAACAGACAUGUAGACCAAUGGUACAAAACAGAAGACACAGAAAAACUCAUGUAAAUAUAGUUAUCUCAUACUAGACAAAGGCACCAAAAACAUUCACUGGAGAAAAGAAAGCCUCUUCAACAAAUGGUUCUGGGAAAAUUGGAAAUCCAUAUGUAGCAAAAUGAAAUUAAACCUCUGUCUCUCACUUGCACAAAAAUCAACUCAAAGUGGAUCAAAGACUUAGGCACUAGAAAAGAGACUCUGUGCCUAAUAGAAGAAAAAGUAGGCCUAAAUAUUCACCAUGUCAGCCUAGGAUUAAAUUUCCUCAACAAGACUCCUAAAGUGCAAAAGUAAAAUCAAGAAUCAAUAAAUGGGAUGGAUUCAAACUAAAAAGCUUCUUCUCAGCAAAGGAAACAAUCAAUAAUGUGAAGAAAGAGCCUACAGAAUGGGAGAAAAUAUUUCCAUAUCUUUAAAACACACUUUCAUAGCAAAUUUACGAACAGAGAAAAAGCACAGAAAAUGAUAUAUUUAAAUAAAGCCAACAAUUGGUACAAAAUUAAAUAAUUUUUAUUGUGUGAAAUUUUGAAAAAAGUGUUGGUUAGCUAAUUAUCCAGAUUUUAAUUCCCACUGAAAUUAUUUGUACAUUGAGUAGAGAAUUUUAUUCUGCUAAUCCAUGAAUAUUUAAUUACAAUCUGCUUUUUUUACAUUAUAGUCUUAUCUGCGACCAGAGUAAUAAAGAAUAAAUAAUAAGUGGAACAACAUAUGCAACCACUCACCCACCUGCUCGUGCAAUCAAGGUAAUGUAGUGCAGUAAUUGACAUUGUGGACCCUGUAACCAGGCUGUCUGGGCUUAAGUCCCAGCUCUGUCACUCACUGGCUGUGUGUGCUGGGGAAGGUCAUUUAACCUCUUCAUGCCUACUUUUCCACAGUUAUAAAAUGGUUGUAAUAGUGGUUUCUAGGUCAUAGGAUGUCAUGAAGAUUAAGUGAGUUAACAUAUGUAAAGCACUUAAAAUGAAGCCUGUUGUAUACCAAGUGCUAUAUCUAUUAUCAGCACAUGCAGAGACCCUUGUAGGAACCACAUGGCUCUGCUCUCAAGGAGUUUGUAGUCUUAGUGGGAAGUUUAAACUAGGAGAUGCUAGAAUAAGGCAGGAUAAGCCUGGUGAAGGCACACAGGAGGAGAAGUAAAAGUUUCAAGUCGACCUCGGAUUUGAGACCUGCGCUAUAAAGGGAUGAUGGCAUGGACUUUUUGGGAAAUACGUUUUGUGUAUAAAAAUUUUUAACAUAUAACUCUCAUAAUAAUGAGAACAUACUUAUACACUGACUUAUAAUUUUCAGUGUAAUGAAAAUGCCUCAAUUUUUUUGACUACUUUUUUAUCUGCGUUAUGAAAUCAAUAUUUUGAAAUAUUUCUCUAGGACAUUUGUUGGAGAAGAAUCUCAUAAAAAUAAAACAUUCUGCAACCUCAAAAAAAAAAUAGUUAGGUAGACUGUUUUUUUGGGUCCAAAUUUUAUAUAUGUUGAAAUUGAGGUUUGAAAGAAUUAAAGUACUUGCCUAAAGUCACAUAGCUGGUGCUACAAAAAAAUCAACAGGAAUGCCAGCCUCUGAAUUGUGUAUGGUUUUUAAUUCUUUCAUCACAUAUAUAGUAAUACUGGAACUAGAUGAAACCAUGUAGUCAUAGGUACAGACCACCUGAGUUUCUUUCCUCAAAAUAAAAUUUGAAAAUUGCAUGCUUUGGCAUGAAAGGCUCGACACACCAAGGUUGUGCAGGUGAAGUAUAAACAGAGCUCUCUGCAUGUGGCUUCUAUGGGUUUGCAAUUCCAUAGCAUAUCACUUGCCUCCAGGUUAUAUAAAAAACAUCUGAGCCUCCUUAUUCAAUAGCUUCCCUUGGCUAGGAUGCCAAGGCCUGUCACAGGGACAUAAAGGGAAAGGGUUGGGAGAUGUCUGCCCUUGGGUAUGAGUGACUGAAGUCAGUGUGCAGGGUUUGGAGCCAAGGACAACUGUCCAAAGUCAAAGGCAAGCUAAGGUAGAAGGCAGCUGGGGCAGGUUGGGGUUAGUCACUGAGCUGCCUUAGAAAUCCAGAAAUCUACUGCCAUUGGAGAGGGUAGUUCAAGGGUAUGCAAUGUCAAUGAGUUAGAAUCAAGAUAAGGCCACAGGGAGUGGGAGAAUUAAAGGUGGGUGGGGGUCAGGCAGGCAGUUCAGAGGACAGAUCCGUAUCAAGGAAACUGGAUCUCUGAAUAGGCUUCCUGUUCCUGCUUCUGAGGUUUGCUUCAGCAAUGCCUUGGCAGGGUCUGCCACAGCAGGGCAGCAAGCCUGGUCUAGACUGCACAGGUGAGAACCAGCAAUAUGUUUAUUUGGCUGAAGUGAGGCAGGCCAGGAUGGAAGGCCAGCUGUUUCCCAGUGAGUUAACGGAAGACAACCUUAGAGAUGAUAACAAAUUCCCUUCAGUCCUAGGAGACCAGCCUCAUAAACAUGAAUAUACUAAUAAAGAUUGUACUUAUCCAAACACCAUGACUACUUCAAGGGGGAGAAAACACUUUAAAAGUAUUUAAUUUCCUAAAAGUUUCAGAGUAGACUUGGGUAGUUACUGGCUUUCAGUGGGAAGAGGAGAGGAAAACAUAACGAAGGAAAUAUCAUUUUCAGUGAAUCAAAAACAUAUAUUUUGCUGUCUUUGAAAACUGGGGAUCUAAAAAUAAAGGAAGAAAGUUAAAACCUUUGGAAAACCUCAAAUAUUUGGAUUACUAUACCGUUAUUCCAAUUGCAAACCAGUGUAUAAUGUUGAAAUAAAAGUAGAUUUGAACGCCAACCUGAAUUAUGAAGUAUCUGAAGAUGUUGGGAACCUUCAUUUAUUAGUUUCCUAUUACUAUAGCAAAGUGCUUGAAAAAAUUAUCUUAUGAAGACAAGAGGUUUAUUUUGGCUCAUGUUUUUGGAGGUUUCAGUCCAAGAUCAAGUGGUUCCCUUGCUUUGGGCCUCUGACAAGGCAUUUAGUAAGUGCUAAAUUACUAAAUGCCUGCUCUAAUGCAUUAACAAUGUGGGAAGAAAUUAUGAACCCAUGAGCUGAAGUAUCAUGCACAAUAUCAUAUGCACAGAAUCCAGCAAAAGGCGGUUGUGGUGAAAUAUCACAAACCUACCUAUGCUCUUCUUUGUUUGCAAUCAUGUGGCCAGACACAUUUUGGGAACCCAGGAGCAUUUUGUUACAACUCCAAAUUUGUGCUUCUGUGAAAUGAGGAAGCUAUGUUUUCCACAUUACAGUUGGCCCCAAAUAUAGGUUCACUUCCUGGUUAAAGCAAUGAUUACUGUGUUGAACAGUGAAAUGCAUAAAAUACUUUAGACUUUGGUGUCAAAUGCAGAUAUGUAACUGUCAGAGAGAACAUCAUUAUUUGGGUCCAUAGUUUCUUCCCAUAUUGUUAAUGGGUUAGAGCAGGGCUUAAGGAUGAAGAUUAAUUCUGAUUGCUGGGGUUAACUUAGCUGACCUUACUAACUAUGCAACUUGUAAAGUACUUUCUCUUCCAGGGACUUAUGUUUCCUUUUCUACACAGUGGGGAUAAUGAUACAUUUGGCUCUCCCUAUCAGAACAGUGAGGAUAAUAACAUAGUUGGCCCUCUCUGUUGGGAGCUUCUAUAUCCAUGGAUUCAAUCAAGAUCAGAUGAAAAAUAAUUUUUAACAAAUUGCUUCUGUACUUGGCAUGUACAGAUGUUAUACCUUGUCAUUAUUUCUUAAACAAUGCAGUAAAAUAACUAUUUACAUGGGAUCUACAUUGUAGUAGGUGUUAUAAGUAAUCUAGAGAUGAUUUAAAGUAUAGGAGGAUAUGCAUAUCAUAUGCAAAUGCUAUGCCAUUGUACAUAUGAGGAACUAGAGCAUUCACAGAUUUUUAUAUCCAAAGGGGGUCUUGAAACCAAUGUCCUGGAGAUACCAAGGGAAGGCUUUUGUCCCUACCAUUCAGAGUUAUUGGGCACUUAAGUCUAACACAAAGUGCUUCACAUAUGGCUUGGCUACUUCUCUGCAGAUAAAACUAGAGGAAAUUAGUGGAAAUGGAUCAUUAAGCAUAAUUAUCUUUAUUUCUGGUGGUCCCUCCCCCUUUUAAAACCUCCACUAAUUGUAAACAGCAUUUAAACACUGUUAGGAUGGGAAAGUGCAAGGUACUCUUUCUGUUCUGUUUUGCCCAUGUAAAUAAAUGACUAGUUCUUACUGGAUUAAUGUUACCACUGAUUUUUGAGAGAAAAUGAGAAGAAAUGAUGAAUAUAAGGGACAAACAACUGAGAUUAAACAUUAGAGUUAUUUUAAUAAGAUGUAUUUAAGACUUGGGAAGGCUGAAGUAGCUCACUGUUAGAGCACUCACCGAGUAUGUGUAAGGCCCCAGGUUUUAACCCCAGAACAAAAAAAAAAAAUUUAAAAAGGGGGCAGAGACUGAUUAGGGGAAAAGAAAGAAAGCAAUGAUAGAAAUGAUUUGUUUUAGAAACUUAGAAAAGCUGUGGGGGUGUGUGUGGUGGGUGGAAGUUGGUAUCAGAUAACUUUAUAGGCGAUAACAUCUACAUUAAAACGGCACAUUUUUGGAAACUUGUACCCUGAACAGUAUUUAAUAGAGACUCAUUUUUAUAUUGAACUGCUAUGUAACACUUGUUUUAGGAUAUCUUCAUGAAUUCUCCACAGGUAAUUAAUUUUGUGGAAUAUUGUUAGUUGGCCUGCUUCUUUCAGUCUUUUCCACCAGUACUGAUAAUAUCAGGAAAUUUUUAAAAGCUCAUUAAGACAUUUACUAGAAAAUUCUAUGUAGCUGGGCAUGGUGGCACAUGCCUGUAAUCCCAGUGACUCAGGAGACAGAGGCAGGAACACUGCAAGUUCAAAACCAGUCUCAGGAACUUAGGAAGGCCCUAAGCAACUUAGCAAGAUCCUGUCUCAAAAUGAAAAAUAAAAAGGGCUGGGGUUAUUGCUCAGUGGUUAAGCACCCCUGGGUUCAAUCUCCCAAAAGAAAAGAAAAUUCUAUGUAGAAACAAAACAAAGCUCUUUACUUAUACCUAGUUCUACCUCAUUAGAAAAUAUAAUGGAAAGAAAAGAUCCCAUUUAAAAAUUAAAAUAACAAAGUGUUAUUUUAAUAAGAUAUAUUUAAGACUUGGGAUUUUAGUGGAAAGACUUUUGUGGGAAAAAUGGCAGAACUUCACUGAAGUAUGCAAAAGAGACACACACACAUACACACACCAAAAAAAGAAAAAAUGGCAAGAUUAACCACAUUCAUGGAUAGAAAUACUCAAUAUUUUAAAAAAUGCAAAUUCUUUUCUACAUAAUCUACAAAUUCAAUGCAAUACUAAUUGCAAUCAAAUAUAAAUAUAAUUUUAAAUUGGAACCUAACAGGAAAAUUCUGAAAAUUUUUAUAAUAAAGAUAAAAUAAAGAUAGAAGAACAGCAAGGAAAUUUUGAAAAGGAAGGUCAGAACAAAAGCAUGCUAAUAGCACUUGAAAGGAAAUAAAAUGAAGUUGUGCUUAAUUAAAACAACGUGUUGUGGAUAUACAAACAGGUGAGUAGGUCAGUGAACCAGAGCAAAGGUUAGAAAUAAAUGUUCUCCUACAUACAAAUCUGGUGUGUAAUGGCUCAUGUGUCUAGAUCAGAGUUGAAGAAUCCUAUUUAGACCAUAUCUGGUCUCCAAAGGGUAAGAGUAGGCAAACUCAGAAUUUUUCAAGUCUGUUUUUAUCAACUCAUUGUCCAGUGCAAGUCACACAGGUAAGCAUGGUCAGAGUAGCAGGAACUGUAGUGUUGUAUGGCAAGGACAUAGAUGUAGGGAGAGGUCUUGAAUUUGGGACCAUUAUUACAAGAAAUUAUCAUAGGUAGGAAUUAAUCCUAAACUGGGAGUUUGGCAGGUCUGGGUCCAGUGUCAGCCACCACUUACAAUAUGUGAAUUUUGAUGCAGUCAUUUGGCUUUUUAGUUCAUGAGGACUGUAAAAAUAAUAAUAUCUAUAACAUGAAAUAACUGUUGGAGAUCAAUUUCAAUUAUGCAUAUGGCUUAGCCUCCUAGUGUUUAAACCAGAGUAAAUGCUCAAUAAAGGCUAUUUAUUAUUGUAAUGGAAAUGACCCAAGAAGACACAGUUGAACAUAGCACAAAUGUCUGGGAUAGCUUCUGUUUUCAAGGACAAAAUAUAAACCCAAAUGAUACACCCUCAGUGACCUACUUAAUUCAGCCACACCCUACCUGCCUAUAGUUAACACCCAGUUAAUCCAUAUUGGUGGAUUAACCCACUGACUGGGUCACACCUUUCAUAAUCUAAUAUUUCACCUCUGAAAAUUCUUGCAUUUUCUCACACAUGAGCUUUUGGAGGACACCUUGUAUCUAAACAGGGGCAUAGCAGGGUAGGUAGUGUCAGAAUUGAAUCAGAUUGUAGGACAGCCAGUCAGUGUUCACCAGAGAACUGAACUGAAUUUUUUGUGGUAAAAACCAUUGCACAUCUGGUAUUAGAGUUCUUGGGAAUGUAAGAAACAGUUUUUAUCAGAAUGGGUUAUAAGUUCUAUAAGUUUAUCUUCUGUGUUGGAGACUUGGACUUAGGAUCAACAUUAAGGUAUUCUUUUGUUUGUUUAUGGCCUGGAGUUUUGGCAAAAUGGAUACUAGGCAUAUGUUUAAAAUCUUCUGUAAUAGUCUAGGUAUUCAAUAUCUGUCCCAUUAUUAGAUCUGAUAUCAAUGAAUGUUACCUGAUACCUUGAAUGUUGGGUCAGAGAAACCUUAUCAUGUUAGGCAUGGAAAAUAACUAAAUUAGCUAGAUUUAAAAAAAAAAUUAAAUUGUCUCUUCUCCAUGAAUAAGACGAUGUGCAUUAGCAUCCAGACAUGACUGUCAUGUGAGCAAUUAUAAUAUUGUAAAUACAGGCCAGGCUUCUCAGCCUGGACAUGUAUGGUAUGAAGUUCAUGUGUCAUCACAUGGUCAGGAGCGCCGGCUGUGAUCUGAGGGUUGCUGAGGUGGAAUGACAGAACUCUGACUUGUAUGUGGCCUCUCACGUUUUCUCUUCUUAUGUUUGUCUCCUCCCUUUAUUGAUUCCUGCUUGCAUCUUUCAAAUAACAACAAAUCUCUGUUGCUAUGUGCCUCUAUUGGAUGGUUAAAAAGUUGGCAGGUCCUGCACCUUGUCCAUGCUAGGUCCAAUGGAAUCGGAGGCCUUAUGACAAGACUGUUAUGCCUACCUGUGAUCCUAAUUUCAUCCUCUUGGAAGGGACCUCUUGGGAAAUAUGGGUAAUUUUCUGCUUGCUACCCUGUGAGUUCAGCUUCUUAUCACCUUAAACCUUAAAAACUCAAAGAAGCUCAUUCAUGUAUUCCUUAACUACUUAAUGACAGCUGGUUAUGAAGAGAUAUUUAUAACAACAACAUAGUCCUUGGCUUAAUGGAAAUCACAUUCUAGUUGUGUAGAAACAAACUGCACAGUGGUCAGUGCUCCAGGAUCCAAAAGCAUCCCUCCCGGCUCAGGUUCAUCGGGCACAUAACUACAAAAUAAUAAAAUGCUAGCAUCCACCCAUGAGCUGUGCAGCCACAGGUUUCCAUGUUGCCCGGACAUUUCCUAUAGAACGGGUGUUGCAGUUUCACUGAUGUUCUGCAGUAACUGUGGGCUCCAUUGUUAAACUGGAGACCAAUCCGGUGUCUGCUUCUGCUGAGUAUCCAGGGACUGCCCUGGAGAGAGCAGGAGGAGAAAGAUGAUACAUUUUUCCUGUAAUGUGACUAUUUCAUGUCUGUUUUCUCUUUCAGGGAGAAAUUGGUAAUAAAAUAGAGAAGAUAUACAAACCUCUGGGUGUUUAGAGGAAUUGAAAUUCUCAAAAGCAUUAUUCAAAUUAAAUCUAUUUCUGUUCAUAUUCUGUUUUGGCUGCUCUCAAUGAUUAUUCCUGGCAUUUUGAUUAUAGGCAGUAAUCCCUUCUGUUUUCUCUACACAUCCCUGCUCCCUCCUAGGCUAAUCUUUUUGAGCUAAACAUUUUAGAAGGUUUGUGAAAGAAUCAUUAGCCAUCAUUAGAUUAUUUUUUUAACUUGGGCACUACAGCAGCUUCUGCCAAAAUGCCUUUUUCCUUUCUUUGUAUUUGUAGUGUGCCUGUGAAUGUGAUGGUAGUAUUAGAAAAUGCUAGAAAUAUUGCAAAAUUUUUGUUGUCAUGCAGAGAUGGCUGCUCUGUGUUUGCCAAUUGUGGUUUCAGCUGGAGAGCAUUUAGAUGCAAAGAUGAGGAUGUUUGUGUUUGAUUGUUGGAGAAACACAUACAUGUCAAAAGGAGUGUGUGAGUGUGUGUGUGUGUGUGUGUGUGUUGAGUCAAGAGGGAUUGAAAAGAAUUUUUAAAAAGAAAAAUAGAAAAAAAAAUCCUUCAGGAUAGUAGCCCUCCACUCUGCAACAAUUUGUUUUUUAUACCAAAUAAGGAACAGAUAUAAGGGUCCUUGCAAUUUUGAUAAGAGCGUCUAUGCAAAUACAUAUGUACUAAGUGAAAUAUAACUGUGUUGGCAGCCAGGGGUUAUGUACAAGUCCAUUAAGGUCAUGAGGAUUACUUAGGAGAGUUAGGACAAAUGAAGUUGCCAGGGCUGUGGACACGGAUUCUGAGAGGGAUCCCUCAGUUGGAAUACUUAGCUUAUGUAAAUCAGGUACAACACUCAGUCAAAACUCAGCAUGUACAUUCACUUUCUUAGUUCUCUACCAUUGAAUUUAUUUUCAACAAAAUCCCCUAUUUAGUAAAUAGUGGCAACUUAAGCUUAGUAAGUUCAAAGUAAACUCAGUAAAUGUGUUCUUUUAGUCUUCCUGUUUUCUUAUUGACGUUGCAUUCACAUUUUAGAAUAUCGAGGCAUUAUGAAGCAGCUGUCGUGCCCCUGCUAUUGAUUGAAUGUGUGUCCCUCCAAAACCCGUGUUGAAAUUUAACUUCCACUGCAACAGUAUGAAGAGGUGGGGCCUGUAUGAGGUGAUCAGGCUAUGAGUAAAGAGUUCAGUUCCUUUUUUCUGUCUCUUCUGUCAUGUGAGGACAUAAUGUUUGUCUUCUCUGGAAGAUGCAGCAACUAAAUACUGCAAUAACUAAGUUCUGCAGCACCUAAGUACUGGGAGCAGAGAGCCAUCUUCACCAGCCUUGAUCUUGGACUUCCCAGCCUACAGCAUUGGGAGAAAAUAUUUUAUUGUUUUAUUGCUGCAUCUGUGGUAUUUUGUUAUAGCAGCACACAUGGACUAAGACAUCUCCUGAUCCCAGCGGCAGGGUUUGUUUUCUUGGAGCCCAUAGCAACCCAAUGUCACAUCCAUCCAUGUGACUUUUGCCUGUUUGUCAUGCUGUUAUGCUGUACAGGGCUGUGUAAAGCUGCCCUAGGUCCCUUUGCUUACAUGUCUCUUGCAACUGUUGACAUCCUACUGUUUCCAUGCUGGGCUGGGGAAGCAAGGAACAUGGUGUACUGUUCUGAAAAUCCUGAACUGACCAAGAGUUUUUAUUUUGUUCCAUUACUACCCUGACCUAGACUGGGGGAAGGGGCCAGAUGCAUAGUAUUUCUCAGAGGACCUGACCAACAUUGGAAUUUCUUUCUUUUUUCAAUUAUUACUUUCUUUCCUUGAUUUUCUUUUACCUUUAAUACUAUUGUGUCUGCUGUGCAUAUUGAAAAAAAAUUUUGAGGGUAAAAAUGAAGAAUUGGCUGCUUUUUUGUUGUUGAGCAUCAUCUAGACACAAGCUCAGAAUGCUUUGACUGCUGUCUGAUAGGCAGUGGCAGAAAUUGCUGGGAAUGAACAACACAUCCAUGAGUAUCCCACAUGCCAGUUUACCACACAGGUGUGUGUGUGUGUGUGUGUGUGUGUGUACCUGCACACCUAAAGAUCACAGUUAAUGGUCUCAGGUCAAUUCUUAGUAAGUUAGACUUUGUGCUUCCCAAACUCCCAAGUUUAAGAAUUCAUACAUUGAUUACAAAUCAGUCAUACUUGCCUGGUCAUCAUCUUAUUGCAUGGCAUGGCCAUGCUGAAAUGCCAGACUCAAUUUAAUAUAGAUUGGAGAGGCCAGUCUGAUGGUAGUUCUGGCAUGAAUGCCCCCAGAUCAUUCUCAGCUGUCUCCAGAAAGAAGACUGACCACCUUCACUGACCUCCUCUGAUGUACUCAGCGGUGUGACUAUCUAUGUAUAUACUGGACAAGGAAGUUCAUCCUCCUGUGAUUUGGUUAAGAUAGCUUUAUUAUGUGUUCUGAAUAUAUAGUAAGAUGUUCACAUUGCAAAAAAUAAAAAAAAAUCAGAAAAUACAGGUGUUUAGAUAUAAAAGAGCACAGUAGUCUGUGGUUUUGCUCUCCAAGAUUUUGGUUAUUUUUGGUCAACUAUGGUUUAAAAAUAUCAAAUAAAAAGUUUUAGAAUUAAAAUAAGUUUUAGAUUGUAUACCUUUGUUUUAGUUUAUUAGUGAUGAUUAUUGUUCAUCUCGUAUUUUGCUUAACUUAUAAAUUAAACUUUAUCAUAGGUGUGUACAUAUAGAAAAGCCCACAGUGUAUGCAAAUUUUGGUAUUUAUCAUGGUUUCCUGCAUCCAUUGGAGGUCUUGAAAUAUAUCUCAAAUGGAUAAGGGAAACUACUGCAUUAAGUAUAUUCACAUCCAGAUGUAAUUCUAUUAAUGGGUUGUAGAUAUUUUAAUUUCUAACAAGGAUGUAGAGAUAUACACAUACACUUAUAUUACAAUAUUGUGUAUGAUUUCCAUUUUCCCCUUAAAUUAUAUACUUGAACAUCUUUACACAUCAUCAUGCAUGAUCUAUAUCAUGUUUUUUAUGGGAAUAAUAAAUUACUUAACUAAUAUCCUACUGAUGGACAUUAAGUUGUUUUCACUGUAAAAGUAGUGCUAAUACAAAAAUCCUCAUGUCAAAAGGAGCAGACAGUUAAUAAUAACACCAAUCUUCCACCAAAUAGUUUGCAUCAAUUUAGAUUUUUACAAUGUGUUCCAAUAUCAUGGUCCACAUCGUGCAAUUUGAAAACCAAGACAAAUCUGUGUAAAUGUCACCAAAAGUAUAGUCUGUUACAACCAUCUUCCCUAUUGGCCUGGCAUUACAAAUUCACUACUAAGGACAUUCUUAGGAAUUAAGCUUUUGUCCAUGAGAACAUGCUUGAAAUGCAUCUGUGAUCUGGAUAAGUGUUUUUGAAAAAAAAAAAAAAAACAGUCUGUGUGUGUGUGUGUGUGUUUGCGUGCAUGUGCGUGUAGGUACACCUUCUUUCCAGGUGUAUACCUGAAAGAAGAGCAGCAAUUGCAGCUAUAGGUACAACACAUUUAUGUUCCAGAUUUUUCUAGGAAAGAAUUGUAUUAUUUUCUAGUAAAAUGAUUUAAUUUCCUCAUAGAUACAUUCAUUUAUGUGCUGUCUUAUGUAUUUAUGUAAAGGCAUUUGCAACUUCCUAAAGUCUGCUCAUUUGUUUUGCUUUUCUAUCCCAGGAAGUACCACCAUUGGUAUGGCUUCUACCCUGAGUAAAUGCAUGCCACAUGUCGGGCAGUUUGGCCAGUCCAUAAAAUGAAAUCUUUAGUUCUAGGCCAUCAGGCAGUUUUAUAGCCACAGGCUCUUGCAUCUGGCUUCUUGUCCUACUCUCUAUCUGUGUAAAACAGUAAGUACCACCCUAUGAGCCUGGAUUCAUCUUCCUCUGAGAUACCCUGUCCCCAUCUGCUCUCAGAGCAUCCUGUCUUUAUUUCUGCCUUUUUGAGGUGAAGUGUGGGAGUAAAGAAUCAGAAAAUGUACAUUUUUUUUUUCCUGAAGGUUGAGUGGAGGCUUGAGGAUAUUUUUGUUAAAACCUUACUAACCUAUUUCAAACAGGUAACCUUAGACCUUCCCUCCCACAUCCCUAUCCUACCCUGUCCUGCCCUGUCCUGUUUGUGUUUAUUGCCUCAAAUUUGCUUGGCUUCUUUCUUUUCCUUUAUAUAUAUCCUUGCCCCCAAAAGAAAGGAAUUGGGAAAAUGCUAUUGUAGAUUUGGAAGGUGUGGAUAGAAUCUCGCAAUAUCUUCUUAUUUGAGAUAUACUAGAAAACAAUGGAAACAUAACAUGGGGGAUAUCUGUGAUAACAAAAAGAAAAUGAAAAAGGGUCGGGGGAGGGAGGGAAGAGCAGCAGAGGCAGAGGGAGGGAGAGAUGCAUCUGAGAGUUGCCACACAUGUUAAUGCCUGCAGGAUGGAAGAGCAAAGACUGCUGGUUUCUCAGUAUUGAUUUUCAGGAGAAUGCAAUGACUGUUCUGCAGGGAAUAAGGAGCUCAAUGAAGAAACAAAGGUCAAACUUGUUCCCCAGAGACAAACUCAGGGGAAAACAAAACAAAACAAAAAAAUACAUCAAUCCUCUUUGGCUGUAAUCAUUUCCAGAAGUUUGUGUUGUCCCUCCCCACCAUACCCUCCUUUUCUAUUUGCUUUACAAAAAAAAAAAUGUAGCUAAUGAAUGUGAAGCAAAUGAGCCCAUGACAGUUUAACUUUGUGUGCCUUCAUUUCUGAUUAUGAUCUGAGGUGGAGGGGGAUGCCUGGGACCCUUCCCCACUCUAGCCUCUUCUGUGCAAUCAGGAGCCAUGUUUUUUUUUUCUCUCUCUUUCUCUUUUCUUUUUUUUAAAUUCCAUAUCCAGGUGAAGCAGCAGUGGGCAUUUUUUUCUCUCUCUCCUUUGUAGGCUGCCUGUGUCAAGGGAAAGAGCUGACUUUUGACAUUGAAAUAAACAGGAUGUGAUCUUCCCCCAAACUGGGCCAGAUAGGAGAGCUGAGGGUGGCAGAAGGGACCAGGUGGGAGUUGUAGUGGGCACCUACCUGGAGAUUUCUAGAGGAAGGGAGAAAUAGUAACUUUUCCUAAGAGUUCUUCUGCUACUUCACAGAAGCUUUAUUUGUUUUACUCCCUUCACCUUUGAUACCCCCAUCUCCUUCCCUUGGCCAUGCAGGGUUGAUGAAAGUGGCAGAUGGAGGGUUAUAUAGACAGCAAAGAGCAUCGUCACAUGCCUUCCCCUAUUUAAGUUUAGAAUAAUGCUACUUAUGGGUGCGCAUUAUGGUUUUCUCUAUUUUGUUGAUGUGGAAAGUAAAACUCAGAGAGUUAAAUGACUUAGUUGGGGUCACUCAGCAGGGAGUAGAGCCAGAACUAAAAUCCAGGCUUCUGACUUGAAGUCUAAUGGUUUACAGGAUAUUACCCUGGUGUACCAGUUGUGUAUAUGAUUUUGCCAAGUUUAUUGGCAAUUUAGAACAUAUUUUGUUGUUGAUGUUGUUGUUGUUUUUAUAAUGUUUUCAAUAGUGGUAAGAAAAGUCUCGAGAAACAAAGAAAAGUUAAAAGGGUAAAAGAACUAAAACCUACAGAUUGAUUUCCUUAACACUAUAUUCUCAUCUCUAGGUAGCAGAGACACAUGGCUUAUCAAUCAUUAUAGUCAAAUCACAAAGUGGUUCAAAUUGAAAAAAGAAGUGAAUUGGUCAUGAAAAGUGAAGUGAGGACCUAUAGAGUAGAGGGAAGGGGCCUCCAGGAGGGUGGAGGGAGGGAAAGGAGAAAUACUGGGGAAUGAUAUUAACCAAAUUGUAUUAUUAUAUGCAUAUAAAUAAUAAUAAAUCCCACUAUUAUGUAUAAUUAUAAUGCACUAACUAAAAUGUGGAAAAAUAAAUAAAACAAAUAUGAGAGGUUAGUAUGACAAAAUAAAUAAAUAUAUUGGAAAGAGAGCACAUAAAUUGAUAAAAGAGGUCAGUGUGGAAAUAGGGAAAUUUGAGUGUUCUGGUUCUGGAACUGGAUUACCUGAGUUCCAGUGCCAGUCUCAUUGCUUUCUAGUUACCCAGCCUCAGGCAGGGUGGCUCACCUGGGUAAGUCUCAGUGUCCUCAUCUGUAAAAUGGUGGUAAUCAUAUUUAUCUCAUGGAUAAUUCUUAUAGGUUAACCUUGUGGAAUGAGAGAUAUUACUAUGGUUUUAAUACAAAGGCAUAGGCAGGGUAUGGUGUGAAGAGGCAGUCUGAAUCCUCCAUCUGGGGCACAUUUGGGGUCCCAUAGGCAAGUUCAAAGCCUUCUUUCUUGAAUGUGGAGGAUGUCCCAGAGGAAGGAAUUCCUUCUUCUUUAAUGGAAACAGUAAAGAAGGCAUAAAUCAGGUGGAUAUAUGCCUCUCAUUUGUGCUGCUGCCAAACAGGUGAUAUCGCAAUGCACAGAUAGAAAGAGGUUCUUCUAUGAUUCUCUGGCCCAGUUAGCCCCUGGGAGGGAGGCUUCUGGCUGCCACUGUGAUGAGAUCCUCUGGGGCAGUAACCUGGGAUUCCAAGACCCCAGUCCCUUGCCUGCUGUGAGGCUCGCUUGAGAAAAAUCCCUGCUACCCCACAGCCCUUCUAUUUUGAGGUCCAUACAUCUACUUAAAGGGAUGCCCAGAAAGCAGCUGGAGCCCCAGAGAUGGGGGGGUGCUGAUUUGUGAAUGGAGGACAGAGGCCUCCCAACAGUCUUUCUGAGCUAAGAUAGGUAGGGUCUGGGGGGAAGGUCUGGGAUCAGGCUUAAGCAGGUUAAGGGAACCCACACCUACCUCCAUCCCUCUGUCACUCCCAGGCAUCUACUUCUGCUAGAAAGCCACUGGCAUGCUUAACAAAGGUGGGGGUCUGAAAAGCACACACCUCAGUAUUUUUUCUUCUGAGCAGUGGAAAGGAAAGCACCCCAGGGAGCUGAUGAAUUAUUCAUUAAGCCUCGUGGGGUGGUCACAAGGGAGCAUUGCUGAGAUGCAAUUAAGUGGUGCUUUAAUUUGAGCAAUGUUUAUUGGGUUGUAGCGUAAGACGUUUAUUCCUAUCUUUGUGAAAACCACAAGUUGAUGAUAGAUAAGGGAAGGAAAAUCUGGAGUGGUUUGUAGAAGUUGAUUCCCUGAAUAACUUUACUGUAUCUCUGCUGGUCCCUGUCUAGCAUCCUAUGUGCAAGAUCAAUUUGAUUUUUAAUGUAAAAAUAAGUAACACUUGUUGAGGAUAAGCUCUAACAUAGAACUGUAUUAAGAACCUUUUUCUCAUCUGUUAUUAAACAGGCAUCUCAAUGUCACAUGCUGUCUAAAUCCAGCACACUGGUUCAUUUUAUUGAGGAUAGUAUGUUAAAUGGAUCUGGUGAGCACAAAGUAACCCUGACCCCUAUGGAAAGACAUUUGCCUGCCAGAGGGUGGGAAAUAAAUUCUACAAAAUUUGGGGUCUCCCAUCUAAUUAAAAUUUCUGUGUCCAAUGGUGCGAGACAUGUCAAGAUAUCCCUAGUAAAGGGUAAAUUGUUACAUAUAGUCCAUUUUAAAACCAAAAAGGAGACUCAGCAUAGUCCUCUUUAGAUUUUAGAGGCAACAUUUUUAUCCCUUGGGUGAAUUUUCCAGCUCAUUUACCAACUGACCCCAAAAAGCUGCUAGUUUUGAGCAAAAGAAGAUUCUACAAUAGUUUCAGGCUGUGUUGCAAGCCACUGUGCACUGUGUCUGAAACUGGAAUAUAAAUUUCACAAGGGCAGAGGUUUUUUUCUGCUUUUUCUAUGGCUAUAUUCCCAGAACCUUGAACUUAGGCCAGCACAAAAUAAGCACUAGAAUAACUAUUUGUUGAAUGAAUAAACACCCUUUGAGGUAACAGUUAUUUAGUUAUUAUUAUCCUCAUUUUAGUGAUAGGAAAAUGGAGAACUUGAAUUUAAGUUGCUCAAGGUCAUGUAUCGUUAAAUGACAGAACCAGGAACCAACCCUAGAUCAAUCGGGUGACUGAGCCUUUUAUAUCUCUGAUCAGGUGGGUUCAUCAGAACUCUCAGUUAUAGCUGGGGAGAAAAGGGAAGCCCACAUAUUUUCCCAGUGUUCAUUUACUCAGGUCAAGUUUAGAGUUCAUGUCUUCCAUGGUUCUUGUAUGGUCCCUUCCUCCCAGAACCAUGGAGCUCCUGGAUAAAAGGCGCACAAACUGAGCAAAAUCUGGGAUUUCUCCAUAACUGGUGUUCCCUGAAGAGGGCGCUCCAGGCAAAGCUGGAAACUGGAUGACACCACCCCUGAAUCACUUUAUAUCCACUUCCUUUCAUUUGUAGGUAAAUGGAUGGAGUUAGAGAAGAUAAUGCUAAGUGAAGUUAGCCAAUCCCCCAUACAAAAUGCCGAAUGUUUUCUCUGAUAUAAAGAGGCUGAUUCAUAGUAGGGUAGGGAGGGGGAGCAUGGGAGGAAUAGAUGAACUCUGGAUAGGGCAGAGGGGGUGGAGGAGAAGGGGGGGGACAUGGGGUUAGAAAUGAUGGUGGAAUGUGAUGGACAUUAUUACCCAAAGUACAUGUGUGAAGACCAAAGUGGUGUGAAUAUACUUUGUAUACAACCAGAGAUAUGAAAAAUUGUGUUCUCUAUGUGUAAUAAGAAUUGUAAUGCAUUCCGCUGUCAUAUAUAAAUAAAAAAAAUAUUUUGUGUUACUUGAUGAAGAACUUUUGUUGUUGUUGCCUAUUUUUCUUCAGAAUUUGUUAACUUUCAUUGAAUAUUCUUCAUGUAUUUUCUUGCGUAAUCCAAGAGAAUCUAGAUAGCGCUCAAUAUUUGGGAGAAUUUGUAAUAUUUCACUAAUUGUGAUGUGAUGAAUCCAGGGCUCUGCUGUGGCUCAAGAAACCUAGAUAUUAAGGAAAUUUAUGAAUAUUUACCUAUUUAUUACCCAGACACAUCUUGUAUCUAAAUGAAUGUUAAGAACACGGUGGUUUCCUGACUAAAAAAAACAACCCUCAGUCUUUUUUGCUCGUUGAUCCCCAUUAUUUUUAUUUUUUAUAAAAUGUAGGUUUAGUGCACAAGUUACCAGUGGUGAUUGUCUAUGUAUGUAAUCAUAUUCUUAAGAAGGGCUUAUUUUCUUACUCCCUCUCCUUGGGUAGUUACUGUAAUAAUCUUGAAAAUUUCUAGUCUGUGAUAAUAAAUACUUCAAUUUUACUUGUCUUUAUGAGAACUCAUUUCUCCCCAAAAGAUUUUUCCUUUUUUUAAUCUCCACUUUCUUACUAGAAUUUCUUAAAAUAUAAUUAACAAUAAUAUUAUUAUUACAGGCUAAGUAUACCUUAUUCAAAAUGCUUGGGACCAGAAGUGUUUUGGUUUUCUGUUUUGUUUUUUUUUCCUUUUUGAUUUUGAAAUGUUUGCAUAUACAUAAUGAGAUAUCUUGGGGGUUGGACCCAAGUUUAAAUAUGAAAUUUGUUAAUGUUUCAUAUAUAACUUAUAGCUUUAAAGAAAUUUUAUACAGUACUUUUCUGUGUGCUGAAUAUGACUCUACAUGUCACACAAGGUCAGAUGUGGAAUUUUCCACUUGUGGCAUCAUAUUGGCAUCAUGUUACCAUUCAAAAAAAUUUGGAUUUUAGACAUUACAGUUUUUCAGGUAAGGUAUGCUAAUCUGUAUUAGUAGCAACAGUAGUUGUGAUCCUCUAAGUAAUUUGAAAUAAUGCUAAAGAUAGAGAGAAAUUGACCUGCCUUAUUUACUACCAAGCCAUGCAUUUGGCAAUUUGUUAGUUCACUAGUGUUUCAUAACACAGGACUAUGAAUUGGGUGGCUUGAACAACAGAACUUUAUUGUCUCAUAGCUUUUGAGGCUAGAAGUCCAAGGUCAAGUAUUAGCACAGUUGGUUCCUUCUGAUAGCUAUGAAAGAGUCUAUUUCAUACUUUCCCCAACUUCUGGUGGUUUGCUACAAUCUUUGGCAUUCCUUGGCAUGUAAAAGUGUCAUCCAGAUCUCAACCUUCAUCUUAAUGUGGUAUGUUCUUCCUGUGUGUAUCUCUGGCCCAGUUUUCCCUUUUUAUAAAGCUUACCAGUUUUAUUGGGUUAGAGCCUCUCUACAUUAGAACAAGCUCAUCUUAAUCUAACUAAGCACAUGAGCAACAGCUAUUUUCAAAUAAGGUCACUGGAGUACUAGGUGUUCAGUCUUCACAAUGAGUUUUGAGGGUCACAAUUCAACCCUUAUCAAUCAUUUUUACUGAUAAAUAUUUUGUCCUAUUGAUAUGGUCACUAUUCUCUUUCCUGGUACAUGCUUUCAGCUCAGGUUUUCAGACAUCCUGACACCAUAUAGAACUAUACUUGAUUCCAUUGAGUUUUAUAGAUAGUCAAUUUUUACUGUAAACAUAAUGUACCAUUUAAAAAACUCUUUUAAAAGCAAAUAUGCUGUCAAACAUGGCUUAUAUCCUGGUUUAAGAAUCUGAUGACAAUCGAUGAUGAUAAUAGCUAAAUUGUUGAGAACUGCUUAUGUUUUAAAAAGUAUAUGAAGUACUUUAUGUGCAUUAUGUCAUUUUUCCAUACAACAACUUUAUGAUGCUAUUAUACUAAUUUAGAAAAGAGGACACUAAGGCAUGAUUUACUCAAAUAGCUUGCACAAACUAUAAAAGGGCAUUUAUGAAAGGUCCGCUAAGUUGGUAUAUAAGCUGUUUGUCUGAUCACUGUUGUAGAAGCCAGCCACUUUGAAUAGCAUAAGAACAUGAAAAGUGUCUCUUACCAAAAUGUUUUUUGGCUUUUAACAUUUUGUGUGUAUGCAGACAGCUUAUAUUUGAGGUAAAUUGACCCUGUGUUGUGAAUUGGAAUGUCAAGUGAACAGCUUGUACCUAGCCACUGGAAAAGAGUCCCUAGAGGCCAGCAUAACAUCUCAGCAAUGCAGAAUUACACUUUUUUAAAAAGCACCUUAACUGCUGUAGAUAUGAUAAAACAUGUGAAACGAGUGACAGAUUGUGAAAGGAAAAUCACAAUUUUUUUUGUGACAGUGUAAAAUCACAUAUUUUUUUUUUCAUGGAGACAAAAGGCCAACCAAAAUUGAGAAAAGAGACUUAAGUUGUAUGUCAGAUUGUACAACUGUUCACCUUUAUCCUCACUCUGAUUACCUAUACCAACCUCUCUGCCUCUGCUCUGAUUGACUGUGGGGUUAAGAGUCGUCUUCUCUCCACUAGCAUCCAAAACACCUUCAUGUUCUCCAGGGAGACUCUAGCAACACUAUUUGAAACUCCUGUUAUACCAAGGAGAUUUACUUAUGAAGGUUUCCACUUUGGGAUUUUCUCCAAGAUUGUUUUGAUAAAUUUUCCUACAGUUGAAUGUACCAUUGAUGUUUGCUAGCAUGCUAAUCCAGUUUAGGCAGUAAGAAGCCCCAAGUCUGUAGUUUGAGUAUCUAGUAUUGAGUAGAUAUGUUCUGAGAAGGCUCUAAAUAAGACCUUAGAGUGGUGCUUCUCAAACUUUAAUGUGCACACCCAUCACCCUGGGUUUUUGUUAAAAUGUAGAAUCUCAUCCAUCUCAGCUCUGAGAAGUAUCUCAUUUCCAACAAGCAUUUCCAACAAGCUCUCAGGGAUGCUGCCACUGAUGGAUCAUGGUCCAUACUUUGUGUAGCAAGGACUUGAAACAGUGGUUUAUUAAACAUAUCUGCACAUCAAAAUUACCUAUGAAGCUUUUUUUUUUAAAAAAAAAUUACAGCUUAAAUAAAUAGAAUUCAUAUAUCAUACAACUCACUCUUUAAAUUAUACAAUUUAACAGCUUUAGCACAUUCACCGAGUUGUGCAAACAUCACUGUAACCAAUGGUAGAAUAUUUUAAUCACCCCCAUGAAAAACCUUGUACCACUUAGCAGUAUAUUCUUUCAUUCCUUCCAACCUCCCUUCCCCCUAUCCCUCAAGCUUAGGCAACCACUAAUUCACUUUAUAUCUCUAUAGAUUGGCCCAAUCUGGCAAUUUCAUGUAAAUAAAACUCUGAUAUUUUGUAACUGGCUUUUUAUUUUUUACUUAGACAAUGUUUUCAUUCAUUUUAUAUAUCAGUACUUCAUUACUUUUUAUGGACAAAUACUGUUUCAUUGUAUGUACAGAUAACAUUUUAUUUAUCCAAUAGACAUUUGGGUUGUUUUUACUUUUUGGGGGGGGAGGGAUGCUAUUAUGAGAAAUGCUAUUGUGAAUAUUUGUAUAUGCGCCUUUGUUUGGAUAUGUGUUUUCAGUUUUAUUGGGCAUGGUCCUAAGAGUGGAAUCACUGUGUUAGAUGGUAACUCUAUGUUUAUCUUUCCAAGGAACUACCAGAUUGUCUUCCAAAGAUGCUGUACCAUCUUACAUUUCCACUAGCAAUAUAUGAGGAUUCCAGCUUCACUAUAUCCUCACCAACACUUGUCCUUUAGAUCAUAGCUCUCCUAACGGAUAUAAAGUUGUAUCUCAUUGUGACUUUGAUCUGUAUUUCUCUGAUUGCUAAUGGACAGUUUUUUAAAAAUAUUUAUUCCUUAGACCCUCCACCCCAGACUUAUUGGAUCAGCAUCUUCAAGAACUUGUAGAUGGAGAAAUGGAUAGUUUUUACUAAACUGUUCAGAUGAUUUUGAUAAUCAAUUGACCAUUAUAGUAGUUUCCCAUUCUAGUAGUUUCCCCAAAGGAAAUGUUUGAACCUCAUGGAGAAGGGAUCUCUGGUUGUAGAUUUCAAAAUUCCAUAAAUCAUGUGACUUGAUGGGGUAGAUGAGAAAAUGUAUUUCUUUUAAUACACAUAGAUUAGUGGAUUGUUGAUCUUCCGAAUGAAAAUAACUCCUAAAGUCAUAUUGACAAAUUUUUCUAUCGACAAUAGAUUUUUUUCUUAGUGUAUAUUCUUAAUAGAAAUUUGAUUUUGGAGUCUUCCUUGAACAUGAUUACAUGAUUUUAUGGUUUAUUUAUUUGAAUGGCUAGUCUGUCUCAGAUGUGAUUUGGAUGCCUCCAGAAUCUGGGAGCAAUCAAUUGGGUAGCAGUUUAAAAAAUACAUGAUAUCCGAGAGACUUGGGUGAUUUAGUGGAUGUGUUCAGGGACUUGGGAAAUGAGAAUUCUUGUUCUGACUCUAAUUUAUCUUGGCUAUUAGGCAAGUCACUUUCUCUUUCAUCUGAGUUGUCUCACCAAGUGAGACAGAAGUAAAUUACAGAUAAUAAAAUACUGACUCGGAUAAUUGUUGGUGUCUUGGUGCCCACUCUUGGAAGCUACCACUAAAAAUAGAUAACCAUUUAUUUACUGAGAGUUUUCUACUUGCCAAACAUUGCGUUAAAUGCUUCCUGGAUCUCUUAUUUAAUCUUUGUACCUUCCUCUGUAGUAAAUAUUGUUGUACACACUUUGUAAACCAGGAAAUUAGCAUUAAUAUCAGCUAAGAAACUUGGUGAAGGCUGUACCACUAUUAAGGUGUAGGAUACUGUUUUUUUUUUUCCAGACCUGAUUUUAAAGUCUUCAGUCUUCCUUCUGUAAGAUAAAACAAAAGGCCCCAAUAAUAUAAAAAACCAAAACUAAUUCUCAGAACUGUGUAAAGAAACAAAACCUGUGCAUUCUCCCUAGUCUCAUGUCUGUGCCUGUGCUGUUGUAGAAUGAACCCCAACGUGGAUGCACGUCUCGUCAUUGAUGGACAAGUGAUGUUAAUGUAGCUGAAUGAAGUCAGUGUAGAUGUGAGGGUCCUGCUGACUGUGGGUUGAAGCCAGGCUUAAUCCUAUGAUUCUGGGCAGAUUAACUUUUUGAGGCAAAUUGUAUUUAUUAAGUUCUGAUCACAAUACCUGUUUGAUGAGCUGAUCUAACAAUUAGAAAUAAUGGCUAAAACAUACAUAAUUCAUUGGUAUUUAAUAUGUGAUAAUAAUAAUGCCUUAUUUACUGGGAUGUAAUAGAAACACUAGCUCACCCAGGUUAUCUGACAUCCCAUUGUUUAGGCCCAAAAUCUAGCAGUAAUUCUUGAUUCUUCACUUUGCCUUAUAACUUAUAUUUAAUCCAUCAUCGAAAAUUCCCAACUCUACCUUCAGAAUGUUUCUCCUCCAAUGACUUCUCUUUGCCCUCACUUCUACCACUCCAGGGUGAGCCUCUUUCACCUUUCACCUGGAAUCGCCUUUUAAGAACAUAAAUCAGCAUUUGUUACUACCUUGAUCAAAGUCCUCCAAAGCUUUCCAGUGCACUUAGAAUGAAACUCAACUCCUUAACCAGAUAAUAUGAACCCCAGCAUCUGCCACUGGCUUCCUUUCUGAACUCAUCAUUAUGACUUUCUCUAUUCUGUUCUAUUUUCCUUUUUGCUGCUGACCUACUGGCUGGUUUACUCUUGGGCCUUUUAAUUGGGGGCUAGAAUUCUCCUCAUUCCCUCUCCUGAGCCCUUUGUCAGGUUGGCUUCUUUGUUCAUUUCAAAGAUAUCUACCCAGAUCCCCCAUCUGUAAUUUCCCUCCCACCUUUUGUCUGUCUUGGUCCAUUAACAUGAUUUAUUUUUUUCAGACCACUAUACUACUUUUAAUUUGGCAUACGUAUUUGUUUACAUAUAUGUGGGGAAACAAUUUCUUGUUUGAUGUUAACAAUUAGGGAAUGGAAUAGUUUGAAGGGCCAAUUAAUUGUAUGCACGAGAGAGCACAAUAGAACUCAGAGAAAGGAGAACCCAGAGGUCCAAUUCUAAGCAGCUCAAGGAGCUAGGUUCUUUGAAAGGGGUUCAAAUCCUAAUGUUCAAAUCAAGAACAGCAAGGGGGCAGUAAGUUCAUGCUGAAUAGGAGGCCAGAGGCAGUUUGACAUGACUAGAUGAGAGUACCUGGUUUCCAGAAAUGAGUGUGAUGUCUAGAAAGGCAGAUGGGGGUGGAUCGCUGAGUCUCAAAUGCUAGUUGCAGGCAUUUGUGAGCAUUCCAGCAAAGGACCUUUAUGUUCUCUAUUUUCAGAGCUGGCUUCAGUAAUGUCAGAUUGAGUUGCUAACACACAAUCCCAAGGGAGAGCCUCCUGGUUUAGAACUGCUGAAAUACCAGUGAUUUGCAUUGGUGAUUUUUGUAUGUAGUUAAGUGUGUGUUUCAAAAGCCAGACAGUAGUCAAGCCAGUAAGGAUGAAGCCAGAUUGGGUUCCUCUGAGCCAGAAAGUAACAAUAGCAGCUGGUUAUUGUUGAUUAUUGAAAAACAAGGUGUGCUAGUCCUGUUUGCUUUAGGAUAAGUGAUGCCAUUCUGCAGUUUUUCAAAAAGGAACUGUUUUGGUUGCCUAAGGAGGCUUAGACUUCACAAAUGCAAUUGCAUUAGUAAUGUUUUUGCCAUAAAGAAAACAAAGUGUUUUCUCAGUUCAGCAAGAGGCCUGUAGUAAUUUACAUACAGAGACUGCUGUGAUGAUUGGGGGAUUAUUUAUGGUGACAGGAAAAUGUGCACAUUUUUGUAUAUUCUUCUUUGCUCUCCCUUUUCCUUCAGGGAGAGAAGUUUAUAUUUUCAUAUUUCAAUGUCUUAAAGAAUCAAAGUGUAUGGUAAUGAAUGUGCCACGGUUGAAGUUUUUUCAAACUUCAAAGGCCAAGUGCCCUUGGGCACAGAAGGAACUGCCUGCCACCCAAGUGGUUGCUGGCAUAUACCUCCCCACUCUAACCACCUCAAGGCAGGCAGGUCCUCGGCUGCUCUGGGUGUUCUGAGGGCAUCCGGGAGCUAAAACAGAUGUCUCCCCAGAAAUGUUUCUUCCCAUUUGGAGGACGAAUAAGAGAACAGAGUGAGUUGAACUUGUAUGUUUGGAGAUGGUAGGAUAUUGGGGAAGCUGCUGCCACACAUUUCUUUCCUCAGGCUCUAUCUACCACAGCCUGGAUCAGCUUUCAAGCCUGGCCUGGCAAAUCAAGUGUCCACAACAGCCACCCAUCCUGCUGGAAAUCUGCUUCUGUCUUUAAUUUUAGUUGUCUUGAGUCUUUUGGCUAUGCUCCAAGGUACUGUGAAAUCUGAGCCAAUAUAUAUUGGAAGGAAAAGAGGGCAACAUUUUGUUUACUCGUGUAUAUAAAUAUAUAAGUAAUAAAUAUAUAAAUAAACAAAUACAUGCCUAUAAUAUUGUUAUGAUUUAGUAUAAAGUGUUCCCCAAAAACUUAUGUGUGAGUUAAUGCAAGAAUGUCCAAUGAUAAAAUGAUUAGGUAAUGAGAGUUUUAACCAAGUCACUGGAUUAAUCCAUUGAUGUGGAUUAACUAGAUGGUAAGUAGAGACAAUCAGGGUGUGCAUGGAGAAAGUAGGUCACUGGGGGCAUGCUUUUGGAGUUCAUAAUUUGUUCCUGGUGUGCAGAGCUCUCUCUGUGUGUCCUGGCUGUCAUGAACUGAAUAGAUUUCCUCUGCUGUGCCCUUCCGCCAUCAUGUUCUGCCUUACGUCAGACUCAAAGCAGCGAAGUUGGCCACCCAUGGACUGACUGUCUGAAACCGUGACCCAAAAAUUUCAUCCUCUAAAUUAUUCUUGUCAGAUAUUUUGGUCAUAGCAAGGAAAGAAAAGUUGACUAAAACAAACAAAUAAAAUGCAUACACACACACACACACACAUAUAUACACAUGUGUGCAUAUUUAUAGUAUAUAUUUCACUUACUUUAUAUGUAUCUGUGAUUUAUGUAUAUAUACAUUGUCUACUUUGUGUGUAUAUUCCACAACCCUUUGAAUGUUCUUAUAUUUCCUUUUUCCUUCUGUUUCUCCAGCAACUCUGCUGAGGUUGUUUAAGUGGGAAUUCCCUGACUCGUCUUUCUGACAGGAUGAGGAGGACAGAUGACGGAGCUCCGGCUAUUCUCAGGGUUGCAAGGCAGGAGACAGAAGACCUACAGGAAGCUUCCUUGCUGGAGUAACACAACAGAGUCCUGUCUGAGGCACUUCCGAAGGGGUGGGCUUGCUGCCCAUAAGGCUGGGAAAGACAGCUUUGGCUUGGCCUGAGUUCAUGAACAUUUUCCCCUAGAUAUCAAGAGAAGUUUUCUGCUUCCAGUUCAGUUUAGUAAGUGAAUGACAUGCUUUUCCCUCAAACUCCUGGAGAGGUGGAGGUGGAGAUGGAGAUGCUGAAUUUUGUACCUAGUUCAAUUUCAUAGGGUAGGAGGUAUCCCUUCUACUUCUAGUCUUCACAAUGGAUGGUUGACUAAUAUAGUUCAUGGUAACAGCCUGAAGGAAGACAAGGUUAAACCAAGGAAAGCAUUUUUCCCUAGUGAAAGGUGCCAGCAAGUUUCUUAUGGAUGAGUAGAAGGAGACAGUAAGAUUUUUUAGCUAAAUACAGCAUUUAUGUUACCUGUGGAUCAUAAAUUGUUAAAUGCAUAGACAGUUGACAGUUGCUUGGAUUUCAAUUCUUACUUCGGUUGUAGAUUUGCUAUGUAGGAGGGACUGAAAUAGGCAAUUAGAAUGACCUAUGAAAGACUGAGUCCAUUUUUGAUAUUUCCAUUAAAUAAGUUUUUUUCCUCUCAUAGCUGAACACUUAGGAAUUGGGCAAUAUUCCCGGAUAAUGUUUUCCCUACAGCUGGUUACAUGCUUAUAGCAUGUUGGCUUGUGGUCUCUCGUGAUGUCAGAGUGAAGGAAAGGCCAUUAGCUACUAAGUUGAAGACCACAGAUGUUCCCCGUUGUGCACAGGUUUUUCAGACGUAAAUCUCAAUGUUCUGGGAGGCUGGUAGGAAGUUCUGGGAAAUAAUUCUGGGAUAAAAGAAGUUUUAAACAAUGCCCAUUGCAAACACAAGGACACUGUAAAUAAACCAAAUCUCCUGUGUACUUCCCUUUCAGCCAUAAAUACAUCUUUUCCUCUUCUGGAUCUUGCUGGCUUCCUUGUACAGGGCUGCUAGCCUGCAGCACCCUUGACGACUUAGUUGAUUUCCACAUUUCAUCAAUUCCUUCCUCAUUCACCUGGACUUCCUGUCGCUCUUUUAGGAAAUACACUUCUUCCUGCAAUUGCUCAAAGCACAGACAUAAGACCUUCUUGAACCACCACUGGGGCAAGAGUGGAGAAGUAACUCAGCAGUCCCAUAGGGCAUGGUUCUUAAAGCCAUAGUUGGUUUAUUCUCACUCCUUCAUGGUUUAUGAGUCUUUUAGAUGACACCAGGUUUGUCUUUUAGGACUUAUAUAUGUUACAUUUUAUUUCACAGAACAAACAGAAAUUAUAGGAAGAAACCUCACAAUCUCACUUAUCAACCAUGUCAAUCUAUCUAUCUCUGCACUCAUGCUCCUCUCCUUUCCCGUUGUUCCAGUAGAGCAGUAUUUCUAAAAGUUUUGUCCCUAAAGUACCCAAUAGGAUUACCUGGAUUGUGUGUGGUUUUAAAAAAAAAAAGCUAGACCUAUUAAUUCAGAAACCUAGGAGGUAAGUAGGGCAGGAGAAUCUGAAUUCUAAUGAGCAUACUUGUGGCUUCUCAUGUACACUGGUAUUUAGGGACCACCACCUUAACCUAUUUACCAUGUUUUCUGUAAUGCAUUAAUCCCUUUCUCCGUAGGAAACAGAGAAGGGUUUCUUAUUUGUUAAAAUCAAGGAUCCUGAAGCUAUGACCCUUUUUUGCUGAGCAAGUUAUUUAAAGUCUAUGCUUCCAUUUCCUUAGCUAUAAAAUUAGGAUAAUAAGAUUACUUGUUUCUCAAAGGCUUAUUAGGAUAAUAAGAUUACUUGUUUCUCAAAUUAAAUGAGUAAUAUAUGUAAAGCAUAUACAAAUGUUUGCAUAAAGAACAUAUAACCAAGAUAUGUGUUUGCUAUUAUCUUCACUUAACAUUUAAACACAUGCAAGACUGUACUAUUUUUUUUAGACCAAAAUUUAAAAAAAAACAAAAUUCUUCAGAGCCUCUUUAUCUCUUUCCAGGGCCACAAUAAUAUCACAUUCUUUUAUAUUAUUUCCUUCAAAAACAUUUGUCUUUUCUCUCUCUCAUCCAUAAGGAUUUAGUAUAAGGUGAAAUACUGUUCCCAACACCACAUUUUAUUUUGUUAUCUUUGAAUUCUUUUUCUAUUGUUAACUCACUACCACCUUUUGCAGAGAAGCAUCAGACUUAGCAAAUGCCCCUGU